GUUGCAGCGGUGGUGGAGGCGGAGGUUGUUGCCAGGAAGCCUGAGGUUGACUCGCCGAAGCAACAGAAACUGCAGGGUGAUUGCCUACAUACUCUGGGAUGUAAGGCGAAUGAUACGAAGCAGUGUGCAUGACCUGCUUCGGCUGAGCCUGUUGUGCUGCCGCUUCGGCUAUUUCUUUUUGCUUCUGGAUGGUAACAUGGCACAUCCUGGUGGUAUGACCUUUGUUCUCACCACAGAAUAAGAAAAAGAUUCUUCUCGGUUGAUCGCCAAAUCUUCCUCCGAAGCCCCUGGCGCCUCUGCCUCUUGGAGCUGGUGGUCGGAAGGAGCCUUGCUGUUGCCCCGAAGUCUGUGAGGAACAUUGUGGCCUUUGUUGUUGGCUCCCUCUAUCAUCAUUUUGUGUAGAGUUAUGAAUUGAUCUAACAUGCCUCGGGUAGAACCUCCCUCCGAAGCCCCUGGUCAUUUCAGAAAACCUGAAAGCCUCCUCCCUUCUUUGGCGAAAAUCAUUAUCGGCCCGAAUGUACUCGUCCAUCUUCUGGAGCAGCUUCUCCAAAGUUUGAGGAGGCUUCCUAGCGAAGUACUGAGCUGACGGUCCUGGCCGAAGCCCCUUGAUCAUGGCCUCAAUGACAAUUUCAUUGGGCACCGUUGGUGCCUGUGCCCUCAAACGCAAGAACCUUCGGACAUACGCCUGAAGGUAUUCUUCGUGAUCCUGGGUGCACUGGAACAGAGCUUGAGCAGUAACCGGCUUCGUCUGAAACCCUUGGAAGCUAGUUAACAACAGGUCCUUCAGCUUCUGCCAUGAAGUGAUCGUUCCUGGUCGAAGGGAGGAAUACCAAGUUUGAGCGAUACUCCUGACAGCCAUAACAAAAGAUUUGGCCAUGACUGCAGCAUUGCCACCAUACGAAGAUAAUGUUGCUUCGUAGCUCAUCAAAAACUGCUUCGGGUCUGAGUGGCCAUCGAAUACGGGAAGCUGAGGCGGCUUGUAGGACGGAGGCCAAGGUGUAGCCUGCAUCUCAGCGGACAGAGGAGAAGCAUCGUCAAAAACAAAAUUCCCAUGAUGGAAAUUGUCAUACCAGUCAUCUUCGUUGGGAAAACCCUCCUGAUGAAGGUCUUGGUGCUGAGGCCUUCGGUGUUGCUCAUCCUGGGCAAGGUGACGAACUUCUUCAGAGGCUUCGUCUAUCUGCCUCUGCAGUUCAGCUAGCCUGGCCAUAUUUUCUUUUUUCCUCUGCACUUGUUGAUGAAGCAUCUCCAUAUCUCUGAUUUCUUGAUCUAUCUCGUCCUCUGGUGGUGUCGGGCUAACAGCCUUCCUUUUCUGGCUUCGGGCCUCCCGAAGGGAGACUGUCUCCUGAUUGUGGUCCAGCGGUUGCAGAGCUACAGCCCCAGUUGCUGAAGCUUUCUUCGGCGCCAUAACGAAGGUUUAUGAUCGCCGAAGGUGUUCAAAAAACUCAAAGAGUGGAAGUGAGUUCACCGGAGGUGGGCGCCAAUGUUGGGGACUUGUUCUCAAAUGCUAUGAGUCAAGAACAAGGCAACAUAGAAAAUGUUAAUCGGUAAAGUCCUUCGUCCUUCAAAGCAUUAUUCCUCUUAGGAUAUAAUGGUUUUCGGACGAAGGUUAUGAAUGGCAUACCUUCUUAAAUACAUUAUAUAAUGACGAAGGAUGAAUUAUAAGGAAUAUAACGAACAACAUAAACAAUUAUGUUUUAUUAUCACGUAUAAAUAGAAAUAAUCAUUGGAUUACAAAAUGUACCUUUAACUUGAAGGAGAUGAAAGUACAAGCGUGACGCAAAAGUGAAUGCCAAAUCAGCGUGAACAGUACGGGGGGUACUGUUCACCUAUUUAUAGGCACAGGACACAGCCUAUGCAAAAUUACAUUCAUGCCCUUUACAUUUGAUAAUAAUUCUAUUGUAAUCUAUCGAGGUCUGAAUAGCCUUUUCAUCUUUAAGUCGGUUUCAUUUUGUUGAUAUCAUGCCGAAGCUUUCCUGCUCACACCUUCGGCGCUGUAUCAACCUUCGUAUUAUUCUGGUCUGCUGUGAUACCGACUUGAGUCCGAAGAUACCUGUUCACACAUUAAACUCCAGAAAUACUGUUAAAUCCUGUUUUUGAGGACCUUCGUAAGCCGAAGGCCCCCAACACUUAGAAGGAUCAAACCUAGCUAAUUUAAUUAUGCUAGAACGGGAAAAGUCAAAAUCUUAUAUUAGACUCAUCUAGUGCUUUUGGCAAACCAAACCCCUAAGCCAAACAGCUGCAUGGUCUAGAGGUAAAGGAGUAGACUCCUCACACCGGGUAAGUCGAGCUGAGUAUUAGUAUACUCAGCCUUGCUUGUGGCACAAUUUUUGCAGGUAUGUUGCAGGACAUGGUUGAUAGUGUGAUUUGGCCUUCCACCCUGCCACCGGAAUGGACGGUCGAGUGGGAUGCUGCUCCAGCAGGAGAGGAGCAGGAGUAGUGGGCUAGGCCUUGCCCUAUUCCUCAGCAUUUGAACGUUAUCGACUAUCCGCUGCAUUUAAACUUAUGAACUUUUUUCUGUUUACUUAAAAACUCCAAUUUAUGUAAUAACUCCAGUACUUUAAUUUGUGGUUUCCUGCUUUAUUGUAUUCACUCUGUGACUCACCUUCGAGUGAGCUAGUGGUAUUUGAUCCCGGGGAAGUGGCUUUAUUAGAUUAGAUCUCAGGGACUGAUGGGUUAUUUCGAUUUAAGUGUGUUGCUGCCUCUAAGGCGUGACUUGGGCACUUAAGCUGUAAUAAUUCGGGCGGUUCCGCCAUAGCAACUACCGUGGGUGGUUUUGCACAAGCUCGGUGCAGCCCCCCAACCAACUCGUUCCGCUCAGCUCACAAUCUCGGUGUAGACCCACUCUCCCUCUCUCACGACAGUAAUGGCGACGCUACUGUUGCUAUGCGGCAAAGGGAAAGGGGAGAUAAUGGAGGAGUCGAGCCCCCGGUGCCUAGCUAUAUGAUUCCAAUGAGUUCGGUUGAGAGGUCCACACUACUCGCGCGGAGACCGGCGCUGAAUUCGGACCCUCGCUGCGCCCAUGAACUCCACAUCUCGCACGGACGGCGGGCGGCGUUGAACAGUUCUACUGACGUGCGGGCCCCAGUGGCAAGGCGUGGAGGGGUGUUUAGGUGGAGGAUCUGCGGCUAACGAGUGGACCCGGUUCACCAAUGUCCCCAAGUUCGUGCACGCGGUGACUAACAAGCUAGCCCCAGUGCUCAACGCCAGAAGAGAUCUCAUCCAGGCGCGCGGGUCGUGGGUCUGGUGCACGGGACCCAUGGAGCAGUGGAUGGCGUGCGGGGUGUGCUGGCGUGAUUGACUAGUGGGGUCCGGUUGUCAGCGUCAUUUCCUAAACUUGGGCCGCACGAUUGUAGAGGGUAAAUGGGCCGCGCAGGUGAAUCCGGCCCAGGUGAGUAUGGCAGCUUACCUUUUUCCUGUUAUUUAUUUGUUUUAGUUUUCCUUCUUUCUUUACUUCCAUUUCAAAUUUAAAUUUCAAGUUUGAAUUCCUACCUGUUGUGAGAUUCAAACUUAGGUCAAAUGCCUAAAUUCAAAUACCAACAUGAACCAAAUUUAAUUAAUAUCUCUCCUACUCUAUAUGUUGUUACUGUAGGCGUGCACACCCGCUCUGUUCUGCCUGCCGCGCGCAAUCCGCCGCCUGCCGUUCUGUUCUCCACGCGCAAUCCGCCAGCGCGCAGACCUUUCCAUCCGCACCCGCGCUAAAUCCGCCGCACCUGCGCCAAAUCCGCCGCCACGCCCCUACUCGCCGAUGGAAGGUCCGUCGCCUGCCGCUCUGUUCUCCACGCGCAAUCCGCCAGCGCACAGACCUUUCCAUCUGCAGCGGCCUCUCCCGCAAACCCCGCGCGCGUCGCCUCCACCGCAAUCAGCUGCUUUCCUCUUCACGCCAGAAGUCCCUAUCCCCUCCGAUGGCGCGAGGUCGCGAACAGGAAUAGCCUUGGUCUCUCCUCCAAUGGGGCAACGACUCACCGGCUGCCUCGCUUUAGAGCCCGAGAUCUAUCCAACCCACGAACGGGAUCCUGAUGCCCAUGGCGGCCUCGGUUCUUCUUGCCGCACCGGCUACCUCGCCCCCGCUGACGUGGCAGAGAUGGGCUCCUCUUCUUGCCCCGUCCAAGAAGCCCACCGCCAUUGCCGUCCCUAGGCACGCUGCGGCGCCGCGCAAGUCUGACGGUGGCGGCAAGAAGCAGCUCAACCUGUUCCAGCGCGCGCCGGCGGCCGCGCUUGACGCGUUCGAGGAGGGGUUCGUGGCCAACGUCCUCGAGCGGGCCCACGGGCAACCCAGCACAGCCAACCCGGCUGUGCAGAUCGCCGGCAACGUCGUGCCCAUCGGGGAGAGGCUGCCCGUGCGCAGGCUCCCCGUCUCCGGCCGCAUCCCGCCCUUCAUCAGCGGCAUCUACGCGCGCAACGACGUGAACCCCUGCUUCGACCCCGUCGCCGGGCACCACCUCUUCGACGGCUCUGCCUCAAAGUUGCAGCCUGCUACACUGGAGCUCUGUUCGGUCGCACCCCUCGGGCCCCAACCACGGCAGCAAAACCAUCCUCACCGGUCCCCUCCUCCUUCCCCUCCCGCAGUCCAGCAAGCAGCAGCAUGACCCUCUCCCCCGCGUCUCCAACUACCUUGGGCACCGCCAUCGCCCUCAACGGUGAACCCGCCCAACCAGGCAUGGCCGCCGGAUCAGGUGCGACCCGACCACCGGCUAAUCAGCUGCCCUUCCAAAUCUUUAUCUGAAUUCCUGUGUUCAUAUGUUGUAUGUUCUUGGGUGGAAUGAUAACCAUUUACUAAAGUAACAUUGUCGAGCUUAAGCUCCACAAUUUCAUCUGUACCAGUGGAAUGAUAUGCAUGGUCAUCCUUGCUGCUGGGACCAGAAAGGAAGGAUGCCAGCCCAUCACCAUCAUGUUCACUUGAGUAUAAAUGUUUUUGAGUUCUGCUAGAACCUAGCCUAAGACUCUCCAAACUUUCUUCCACCUGAGAAAUCUGGUCUGCAAUUGCUCUAAUGAAUUGCCUGAAUUUUAAGAUUGCAUUUUCUCUUGACUUUGACUUGUCAGAGAAUGCAGCAGCAUUCACCUCCCUCUCAAAUUGCUCCAGCUGCAAGUUAGAAGAAUAAAUGCCUUAGAAAAAAACGAAUGCAAAUGUUAGUCUCUAAAAUAUUGAUAAAUCAUACAAGGCUCGGAGUAGUUGGAGGCUUUAUAUGGAAAACUUGACUGUUUGAACCUGCCAUUUGGUAGUUCCAAGAGCAGUAAACACAUCUCUCUCAUAUUGUAUUGGAGCAUGAAACUUUGCAUCAGAAGUAACAUCCUGCAUAAGUUUCCUUUCAUGCAAAAGUAAGCGGUAGACACCCUCCAUUCUGUACACCAACCCAAAAAGAGAAAAUAUCAAUACAGCAAGCAAACUGGCCAUUAUUUAUUCUUUGUUGAUGUGUUUUACACUCCAUUGUAGAAAGGGAGGGGAGAGAUCGGACUGGUGUGUGUACUGUGCUCUCUGUGUUUUUUGUUCUGUUUUCUGUAUGGGAUCUUUACCCUAUAAAAAAGCUACAUGGUAGUCCUGCGUGCUCAAGAAAAAAAACUUUGCCGAAUGUAAGAAAGAUCUUAAUAGUACAGUUAUACACUUGGACUACUUAGGGCCAAAUUAAGGUUGUAGUGCUGCUACGCUGCGUAUCUAGCUUUUGCGGAAACCUUUACAAAUCCCAGUAAAGGGUUGUUCAUUUUCAUCUUAAUCCAUGUGGAUUGGCAGGAUUAGGUGAGUUUGAAUCCAUAGCAAGUGAAAAUAUAUACUAUUUUUUCCAAUCUCAUCCAAUCCAUGUGACAUAGAAAUAACUGAACAAGGCCUAACAGUUUGUAGUGAUAGGUCCUAAAAAGAUGCUUUUAACAAACCACACCUCCAAAUCUAGCAAAAAAAUGCUUUUGAAAUGCCACCGCAAUGCAAAGUACCAUGCAAGAUUAAACACAUACUUGAUGGUGACAUUCGAUGAACUGUACCUCACCAAUAUAAAAACAGUUAAAUUGCACAUUCGGGUUUUUCUGCCCAGCCCUAACCCAGAGGAACUCGCACUGUGUUUCGAACCCCUCGCGUCGCGUGAUGCCAGGGCACAGAAGAGUUAGAUUGCACAUUUCGGGUUCAGGCUUCGGGUUUUUCUGUACAAUUGAAGACUCCGAUGAUUGUGUAGUGUGGACUGUGCCGCUGUGGAGUGUGCACUGGUGUGAGCUGAGCUGUGAAUAUGUGAUUUGUGAACAUUGUGUGAUUCUAUGAUUCUGUGAUGUGAUCUUGAGAGCAUACAGUGCUGACUGCUGACUGCAGCAGUGCUGCAGUUCUCUGGCACAUUCCUCAUGGGGACCCAUGUCACCAGCACCAAUGCACCAUGCAGAAAAAAAUUCUGGUUGCGUCUGUGUUCCAAGGGAAGGACUCUCUGCCCUUUGCUAGACUGAUAUCCUCCCUUGCUGCUGCCGGAACUUGGCUGCAGAGUGCAGCCUGCAGGUAUGUGCUCCGUCGCCCUUUUGAGUUCUGCAGUUCUGCUGCACCAUGCCAAUCAGAUCGGAAUCGCUGAGAUUUAACAUAGUUUCUUGAGAAUUAGGAUGUGCUAUCAGUGACAUGAUCAUAGAACCAUCUCUAUCAGUUGCGCUACGCACAAAAGAGGACCUUGAUCAACGGUGAUGUGCCUUCCAAAACUAAUUUUGGAGGCCUUCAUAUGCUUUCUAUGAUUUGAUCUAAGGCUGUAAAAUACUUGGACCCGAUAUUUUGGGUACUCGAAAUUUCUGGUCGAGUUCAGGUUCAACUCUUGGAUACCCGAAACAUUUAAAACUCGAAAAACUCGACCUGAAAUUUCAGGUAUAUCCGAACGCCUUCCAACACUUCACAAUAUGUUUUUUGCACCUUGCAGACCUCCGAGCCGCCAGACGCCCACACCUUUCUGCAGCACGACGCCACUUCAUCAUCGCGUUCUUGCGGAGAGGGAGGACAGGCUCGUUGAAGUAGGUGUUUGUGCGUCAAGUGUUUAAUUCAUAUGGUUGAUUUGGGGAUAGCUAUGUAUGCAAUGGGUGCAAAUUGGUCUAGAUCUAGCAUUGAAUUGUCAUUAGGAAUUUAGGAUUAACUGUAGCUACCCAAGAGUAUUGAUGAGUGAAGGACAGAGCUAGGGACACAAUAUAGAGGCACGCUGAUCCUGGAUACUGUCAAAUAACUAGCAUACGAGAGAUUUAUAGAUGUAUUUCACUCAUCAAUACUCUUGGGUUGUGCAUGAGUAUUUCCGUUGCAAGGUUUUGAGCGUGUGGUAGAAUCAUGUGAGAAGUGGUGAUAUUGAAAAUUUUAAAAAGUUGUGUGAUGAGAAGGGGAAAUGAUGACAGGACUGCAUCCUUCUUAACAGAAGAUAUGCAUGGGGCUGGAGAGGCACAAGUGAAAGACUGAUAAGUUUUCUUUCUUGUCGGCUUCUAAUCCACGCAUUAUUCCAUGUUUCUCUGGUAUACUUGAAUGAGUUUACUUGCAUGAAUUCUCUAUGAAUCCCUUAAGUUCCUGAAUACUUCUUUAUUGUAGCCUAUUUGUGCAGUCUUUAAACUCAUAGAAAAAUAUUAGUGGCCAGUAACAUUAGUAACAGAACAUAUUUUGGUUAUGUACUUUUUAUUCUUUGGUUCAACUAUGUGCAGGACCAACUUCUUUGCAACUCUUAUUUAUGCAGCAAUUUUUGUUGUUCAAAAUAGUAAUUGCCAUUACCAUGUCCUCAUGAUCGUAGCUGGUGGACAUGUAACACAUGUUUGGGAAUUAGGGGAUUUCAUCACCUCGUCGGAGGUGAGCUAGAUGUUUGGAGAGGUAAAACUGGUGCUUACCAAUCAAUUAUUGUCACCACUAUUGUGAAUAACAUUGCACUGAGCUUUAAUCACGAUUUAGUAAUGAAGUCUAUGUUUCAAGUAUAGAGUUGCAAUCAUAUGAUGUGCUCUCUUUUUUCCAAACCAACAAGACAUUAAUGAGAUUCAUGAACUGAUUGUGUUGCUAUCGUAUUCCUUUGGCACAGAUGAUUGGUGUAUGGGCAAUGUGUCUCUAGGAGCAAAUGGGAAAUGCAACAAAGAUGAUUUAUAAAUAUGUACAAGGCUGAGUUAUUUAUUUUUUCCUUGCAUUGCUGUUAUUUUCCAUUUCCCACACCUGGGGUUCUCAUGUUACCUCCAAUUAUAGCAAAAGUUUGCUAAGAUGGGUGAAGUGCUUCUUGCAGGCACAUCCUGGAGGUUUUCUUUUCACGAAGUUUGCCAGUAGUAACCAGACUCUUUUUGACCUUUUCCCGGUAAAAGUCCUUAUCUUACUCUUUAUUCUUGGUUUUUUUGUAUGUACAUGUUUAAAAUUUUGGUAAUCUGAUGAACCAUGAUAUUGACUUUAUUUCCUUGAUUUGCACUGUUUUAAUUUAAUAUGAUUUUUGAAAAUGCAGGAUAGCUUUGGUAGCAGGUUACAUGAAAGAAGCAAAGAAAGUCCGAAAACAAUGAAACAUCUAAAUAAACUUUUCCCAAACAAAAUUUUGAUCUAGCUUCCACAGGUGAUUAUAUCUAUUGUCACACUCAUUUGGUUGUUAUUAAUCAUAUUUUCUGACCUAAAGAAUUAAAUUUACAGGAUGAAGCCCUACUUACAGAUUGGAAGCAGCAGUUGGAUUCCUGGCACAACCUCGCUUCGCCAGCCAAGUAUUGCAAUAUUUACUUAUGUGUUUUAGAUUCACCUAUUUUACUGCUUUAUUAUGUCUGACUGUAUCCUAGAACGCAAGAGAUUUCAUCGCUGACUGAUCCUGCCAAGGUGGCAAUAAAUAAGAAAAUAAGAGGAACUGAUUGUUGUGUCUUUAAAUUCUUUAGCCGGUAGUGUAAUGGGAUAAAAGAAGAGUGGAAGCCAGAAAUCCUUGGCUGCAAGAGGCAUAUCAGCCCUGGUCCUGUACUUCGUCCACACUUAACUCCCUAUGAGAGCUGUCUCUGCAUCAUCGAUUGGUUUAGGUACGCAGAAUCCUCUUUUUUUUAUUUCUGAUCCUUUGGCUAUUUUCUUUGCUUGGAAGUUCUACCGAUCUGGAUUAUUUCACAUGACAUCGUCGUUGAUUCAGCUCACGUGAGUGCUGAGAAUGGAGUAGGUUUAGUAAAACUGAUGGAUCAUUGUAGCACUUAGUAUUCUAACAGAUUGCAUAGAGAUGCCUACACAGUUCAUACUUAUAAUCACUUGCAUUCAAUCCACAUGAACACACAUAUUCUUUGCUUUACUACAGGUCUACCAAUCAGAACUUUUAAUACAAAUAAUCAUUUAUGCCUGUUGUGUUCUUAUGUCACUAACUUGUCCAAUGAAAAAGAGUCAGGUAAUAACCAUUGUCAUUUUUCUUGUAGGUAUUUGACUUAUUUGAUACAAAACACAAUGGAAUUCUUAGAUUUGAAGACUUUGCUCAGGUGUUGUCAUCAUAGCACAAGGAUAAAUUUACUCGCUGAGUCUGUUUUAAUUUUUUGCUGAAUCAUGUUUUGUUCCUCACUGUUCUUAAAUAUGAAUGCUGGUCCUUUGUUCCUCACUGUUCUUAAUUAUGGUUGCUGCUCCUUUGAAGUUCAUGCGUGAGACUUGAUGCUCCGAAGGCCCUUACCUCCUUGUGCACACAAGGUCUGAGAUGAUGGAAAAGUGAAAUGAAAUUGUGUUUGAGAUCUUAGAAAAGGUUAGUUGGUAGAUAUUUUGCAAAUAUUUAGGAGAAAAGGUGUCGUCAUAUUUGUUUCUCCUUUUCCGAUCUUUAAAAAUAAUUUGUGUGAUAUUGAUAAUGUUUACCAUACGGAUUUUGUAUAUCAUAGUGAUGUUUAUCGUUCCGUUUCUAUGUUUCAUACAAACUUUUUUACUCCCGUCGCAACGCACGGGCACUCACCUAGUAUAUAUAUAUAUAUAUAUAUUACCUUAUUUGUAAACAUUUUCUUCUCUUUUCCUUUAGAACGUAAAUUCUAAUUUGGGUGUCCACAUAUUUCUUUUUUACGUUAUUUUCAUAUUGUCACAAAAUGCACACACAAUAAAAUCUCAGCAUGAUGUAUAAUUUAGUGGUAUGUCUUUUAUUAAGAAUUUGUUUUUAAAUGUGGUGUUCGCAUGUGAUGGUGAAUAAAAAUGGCACACAUAUAUAAAGGAAAUAGUUUCUCCUUUUAUGUUUUCUUACAAAUUGGGUAUUACAGAGGGGCUGAUUGACUCGGCAGAAGGAAUAGUUAUCAAUGACCCUUAGACAAGUAGUCAAGGUUUUGCUUCGGAGCCUCGAGCCAAUUGUUCUCAGAAUUGAUGUGAGUCUCAAGAGCUUGUGGGGGAUAGACAUCCCUCGGGUCUUCAUAACCUAGAUCGGGUCCAUGGGUCGUUAAAGGGACUGAGUGAGCCAGGAAGAUGUUUUUUGGGCUACCCGACAAACUCAGACCUAGAGACAAUGCAAGCGAGCCAGGAACUCUGUCUUGUGGGCUCACCAGUGGACUCAAACAUAAAGACAGUACCACACUUGGACUUCAAGGCACCGACAUUUGUUGUGAUUUUUCUCCGAGAUAGCCGGCACGGAGCCACGUGUCCCAAGAUAGUCGAAGCAGUUGCACAGAUAUGCAGAAAGGGCGUUAGUGGGUGGUCCUAAUCUCGUUUCUACGAUACAGCGAGUGGAGGACCCCUAUAGAGGCAUCAAGUAGACGGUAGUCGAGGCAUUCAUUGUUCAAUUCCUCAUACACUAUGUAACCCAUAUCAAGAGAAAAAUCAUCCAUAUAGGAUACAUGAUGUAUGGUGUUAUGCCUCCCAACAGUCCAAACCUGUCUAAAUCCUUGUGUUCCAUCGUGUUGAUCAUGAACCAUUGGCUAUGGUCAAUCUCGCCACCACCAAAAGUGCAUGAUACACCCCAUACUGCAUUCAUGGAGCAAAAAUAAAAUAUCACUCAUGUGUUGUAUAGUUUUGUGGCAGUGGUUCAGUCGAUGAUCAAGGUUCGAGCUCGUUGUCCGGUUGUGGCUCUGAUAUUUCCCCUUUUAUUAUCUUCUGAGUUUAUUAUUGUAUAUAUCGUUUUGCUAUUGGUAAAGAUCUAUAGCCGGAAGAAGUGGGAAACCUUAGUAGGUCCAAUUGUUGCUGAGGAAUUGAAAGGUAGUGUCAUCUACUGGAAAUGGAAGAUUUGUUUGGCCACAUUUUAUGCACCCUUGUUGAUGUGUUCUACCUCACUAAUGUUAGUCUCUCUCAGCUUGGAGAACCAAGGUGAUGAGAAGGCAGUCUACCUUUGUUUUUCACCAUGCUUCUCAUAAUCUCAUCCCAUGGAGCUAAAAUAAAAUACUUAUUUGGAUGGUAGGAAUCCUUUUCUCUUCCUUAAUCUUUCUGUAGAACAAAUUCUAAUUGUAUCGUUCUUUAUUACAUGGUUAGCGUAUCACAGUGUAAGGACAUAAAAAGGAGAAGAAUGUGAGAGUCCUGCCUCCAUCAUAUUGUUUAUGUUUGUCUAUCUGCUUAUUUUCUACUGAACUCGAGUCAAUAGAAACUCUAUCCAUGACUCUGUUUUGUGAUUUUUAGCUACCAUUAGUCAUUGGGUGUGCAAAUAUUAAUAUGUCUGUGUUGGUCACUUGCUCUCGAAUGUUGUGGAUCAAGAACAAGGCAACAUAGUUGUUAAGAAUUAAAGACCUUCAUCCUCCGAAACAUUAUCUCCUCCCGAGCAUAAUGAUCUUCAGACGAAGGUUAUGGAGGACAUGCCCUCCUCAUUUAAUACGAGAAUGAGAAUACAUAAAGAUAAUGAAUGUAAUUCCUUGAUUCAUUCAAAUUUGUAUUUCAUAAUGUACACAUGAAUAUUAACUGAAUUUAUAUUACAAUGAUACCUUUGGCUUGUUCGAAGGUGCUGAUGCGAGAGUGAUUACAAUCCAGCGUGAACAGUAUGGUGCUACUGUUCAUCUAUUUAUAGGCACGGGACGCAGCCCGGGUAAAAGUACAUUUGUGUCCCUGACAUUUACUUAUGACCACAACAUAAAUCAUUAAGGACUAGCUACUAUUUUUCCCUUGCGGUCAGCGUCAUGUUUGGUCUUCAUCAUCAUUUUAAGCCGAAGCUAUUACCCUUCGGCUAUAGCUACGAUGUUCAUUCUUAUCAUCUUCGAAUUAUAUCUUCACCUCGUAUGCCUUUGUCAUGGGAGAAAACUUCCAUCCUGAAGCCGAAGCUCCCUAUAAUAAUCCAUAUCAUGCUAAAAACGUACGGUUAGUCAUGUUUUUGAGAGCCUUCAGAAGAGGAAGGCCCUCAACAGUAGCCCCUCGCAGUAUUAAUUUGUUUCUUUGUAACAAAUUUAAGUUGUGAUAUGAACGAAGGCCUUUAGCUGAAGGUCCAAAAAAACACCGUCCCUUCGCUAGUAUAUAUAAAGAAGGAUUUGUCGUGAAUAUUUUUCGUGCCAUCUAGUUGUUUGUGCUGUGAUUGCCAUCUUAGCCUUCUUUUAUUUUGUGAGCUCGAUUGACUUUUGAUCUACGACAUUUGCUGCAACCAUCAUCUGAAUGGCUGAGGACAAGAAGAUUACAGAACCCUCAAUGUCUGGGUUUUACGAAGUUAUGGAGAAGACUAGCACAGAAAAGAUCACCAAUGUGAUGUUGGCUGGGUUGUGUGAGGAUUGAAGAUGUCUAAGAUCGGCCAUGGAGGCCGAGCCAUGUUGUUUUUGGGAAGUCAACUGUCAAACAAGGGCAAAUUGAAGAGAUGAACGACAAAUAUUUUCAUGAUGUUUCUGUAUUGAGGGUCGGGGGGAAGCACCAUUCCCCUUCCCAGAGCUAAUGAGGUGGUGGUCUUUAAGAGCUUCAUGAAAGCUGGGCUUCGCUUUCCACUCCACAAGAUGUUGGUUGUGGUUCUAAAGACAUUCGAAAUAUGACAAAGGACCAGCUUGUGGACAACCUUGCUUACAAUAGCUUGAAGGUUUGCACAUUUUUUGUCUUUACCAUCAGGGUCAUCGCGGAUGAAUUUUUUCUCAGAAGAAUAGGCUCCUACCUUUGUAAAACUGUUCUUCAGAGUUUUGGCACAUUUCAAGGAUAUCUCGUAGCAUCUUUCUUUGGAGUCAUGGAGCUCUUCGACAUUCUUUUGCACCAUUAAUCUUGCAAUUUCGCUUAUUUCGUGCUUCGCAUUUGCAACUUCAAAUUUUUCAUUCAUUUCCGCAAGCUUUUUCUUCAAAUCUUCAACUUCGGCCUUGUGAGCUUCGGCUUGUGCACUAAGUUUGGCUUCGCUAGUUUUCAGCAUAUCCACUAAGGAAAACAAUAUCUUAUCCUUCUCGAGAGCUUCAUUCCUUAGUGAAAUGACCUCUGACCGAAGAUUCCCAAGAGCUAUCUAGACAGAGAUAUCUUUAUUGUCUGGUAGGGAAUAGAGAAAAUCAUCCUCGUCAUUGCCGCUAUACACCAAAGAUCCUUGCAGAUACUUCAAAUCCUUGGCGUAUUGCCUUGUUUCGGCAAUCUGCUCCUCCAAUAAUUGUUUACCCGAAGCAUGUCGAACAAUAAACUCCAACUCUUCGGUAGGUGCUUCGGGAGCAGGAGACUUGGACUUCUCAGGGACACCUUCUUUUUCCAAGAUUAGUGGUUGUAACGCCCUGAAUUUGGGGGUAGAGUUUUUUCUUCUUUUCUCUCACCAAAUUCAGGCGUUACCCCUUUCUUUUUUCUCGUUCCCUCGCUAAACCUUGAUCUGUUCCAAAGUUAUAGCGGGUUUUGGCUUUAGACCCCGUGUAAAGCAAAACCUUAAAAUACUUUAUUUUGGAUGGUGCACCAUGCCGAACCAAGCAUACUUUCGAUUGUUUAAAAAUGUAAAAGCAUUCAUCCAAAGAAAAUUAGAUUUUAGAAAAAGAAAACCCUUUUCUUUUUCUCUCCCUCCCUCCCUUUCCCAUUUCGGCCCAGCUGCCCCCCCCCCCCCUUGGCGCGCCGGCCAAGCUGGCGGCCCGGCCGCGCCUCCCCCCUCCCCUCCCGCGUGGGCCUCCUGGCCGGCCUAGCCGCGCGCUCCCCCAUCCCCCCCUUUCGGCCCAUGGCCGGCCUAGCCGCCCCCCUCCCUUUUCUUUUUCCAAAAAUCCCUCCCGCGGGCCCCGCCCGUCAUUCUCUCACCCUCUCUCUCUUCCCCCAAACCCUAACCGCGUCGCCCCUUGCCCUGCACGCCGCCGCCGCCCCUGCGCGCCACCCCGCGCCGCCCCCCCCCCGGUGAGGCUUCCCCCCUCUCCUCCCUCCCUCUCCUCCCUCCGGCGCCCUCCCCUCACCCUCGCCGCCCGGCUCGGCCCCGGCCCGGCCGCCCGUGCCCCCGCGCCGCCCGGCUCGGCCACCCCGCCCGCGUUCGGCCGCCCCCGCGCCGCCCGCCCGGCCGACCCCGCCCGGCCGCGCCCCGCCCUCCCCCGCGCCCACGCCCCGAGCUCGGCCGCCUCGGCCCCGCUCCGGCGAGCCCGCCCCGGCUUGGCCGCGCCCCUCGGCCCCGCCUCCGGUGACCAGCCCGCCCCCGCGCCCGGCCGCCCCUCCGGCGAGCCGCCCCUCCCCCUCCCGUGUCCGGCUUGGCCCCGCCCCCGGCGAGCCCGGCCGCGCCCGCUCGGCCCCGCCCGCCCGGUUCCCCGGCGAGCCGCUCGGCCCCUGCGCCCGCCCCGCCCCCGGCUCGGCCGCCCGCCUCCCAGCGAGCUCGGCCGCCCCUGGCCGGUUCAACCGCCCCGGCCCGGUCGCCCCGCCGUGCCUUGAUCGCGUCGUGUCGGCCCCUACGUGGUCUCGAGCUUGGCCCAGAGUGCCUAUGGCGCGCGGCUUUGAGCUCGGCUAGCGCUCGGCCCCGACGUGCACACGGCUAGUCCGUGGUGUGUGCGUGCGGCCUCGCGCGCGUGCCCGCGUAGUGCGCGUGCCUUGGCACGACCCGUCGUGCCUCGUCUACCCCCUAACCCCCCGUCUACCCCCCCCCCCCCCCCGUAUCCUAUAUGCGCUAAUCACGUCGUUUAUAUUAAUAAGAUAGGAGUCUCAAUUUGGAAAUUGGUUACGUUAGUUAAUUUGUAUAGCCAAUCGUCUAUCUUAUUCAAUGUUAAUCUACUAAAAGUGAUCGCGUUUACAUUAGUGCAUGUAGCUAAUUCUUUUGUUAGAACUAAUUGGAACUAGAACACGUGACGUCUAGUCAUUCGUUUACCCGUAGUGCCCCUCGAGCAUAAGCCUUAACCCCUGCGAGACCUUCCCUCGUUUCUUUCUAACCAAGGUAAAUCCAUUAUCGUAUGUGGUAUUCUAUGCAUAUUUGCUUUACUUGUUCUCUUGUAUGGUGUACUGUUGGUUUCCUAAUUUCAAUGAAUGGAUGUAUGUAUGUUUGCACCCGCUUAGAGAACGAUCCGGUUGAAGAGCCCGAGGAACUCGCAGGAGAAGCCCCUGAGCAGCAGUCGGUUGGUGGAGGCAAGUGUCCUUUGACCUAUCUCUGUCCUAUUCAUUAUUUAAUUCACCUCCCGCUUUACACAUUUAUGCCUAAGGAUUGACUAGCCUUUGGUUAUCCAUGUCCUUGUUUACCUAUCUGGGUUGGAUUAUUAUUGUUUAGCUUUAUGCUAUUGCUCAAACUCUAAUCAAUGAACAUGAUGAGAUUAUCUAUGAUACGCUGUUUUCCCUUCUCUUAUUAUGAUGUUGUACUUGUGGUCAUCAAGGGGGCUCGAGCGGUUUCUCGAGUGCCUCUCCGUAAGGACCUGUUCUUUGGAUGACCGCCCGGGAAAACAGUGCAACCAUGAGGGUGGAAUGGGAUGCCCUUAGCUGAAUAAUUAGAGGAUCCGGGGUGUAGUUCACUUAGCCGUCGUGCCGUCAAUGGGGCUCGGUGUAUGCGGCUCGCUCUGCCAAGUUUGGGUUCGCCCCUUGGGGAGGAGUGCAGUGCAUUUAGGAAACCUAACGGGUGGCUACAGCCCCGGGGAAUCUUUGUAAAGGCUACGUAGUGAUGCCCUGCUGGGUCACCUUGGUAGUGAUCAAUGGAGAGUCAUGAUCUCCGGGCAGAAUGGGAAUCACGGCUUGUGGGUAAAGUGCACAACCUCUGCAGAGUGUUUGAAAACUGAUAUAUCAGCCGUGCUCGCGGUUAUGAGCGGCCAAGGGAGCUCCAGUGAUUAGUGGUACUUGAUCAGAGAUACUUUGGUUUACAGGUGGCAAUGAGACUGAUGGUUUUGGUUAUGAAUAUGUUGCUGGUAAGUGGUAUUCUUUCCGUUUGGAAAGGGUACAUCGGGCUAAUAACUUGGGUUAAAGCUAAAACCUUGCUUUCUAUUAGUAAAUAAUAAUCUGACCAACUAAAAGCAACUGCUUGACUUAUCCCCACAUAAAGCUAGUCCACUACAGCCAAACAGGAUACUUGCUGAGUAUGUUGAUGUGUACUCACCCUUGCUCUACACACCAAACCCCCCCAUCCCCAGGUUGUCAGCAUUGCAACCACUGCUCAGGCGAAGAUGAAGCUGUGGAAGGAGACUUCUAGGAGUUCCAAGACUAUGACGAGUUCUAGGCGUGGGUUAGCGGCAACCCCCCAGUCGGCUGCCUGUGAAGGCCGCGGUUAUCUACGUUUCUUUUCCGCACUUUGAUUUAUUGUAAGGACUAUAUGGACGUCUCAGACGUAUGAUGUAAUCGACUAUUUCCCUUUUAAUACUCUUUUGAGCACUGUGUGAUGAUGUCCAUGUUAUGUAACUGCUGUGUACGUGAAUAACUGAUCCUGGCACGUACAUGGUUCGCAUUCGGUUUGCCUUCUAAAACCGGGUGUGACAUAAGUGGUAUCAAAGCCGUGCUGACUGUAGGACCGCUAACCUAGAAUAGAAUGGUCGUUGUAAGGACUAUAAACCUCUGUCCCUGCCUUGACUUUGAUAUCCCUUCAAAAGUUGGUCAUACCGACCAAACCUAUGUUCUACUAUAUAAUAUACCUUGCUGAAAAUGGUGUUUUAUUCUAAUCCUUCAUUUACUUAUGAUUCAUUAUUUGCUGGUCAUAUUAAUUCUGUUCUCACCCUUUUGCUUGCGAUGUCUUUUGUAGAUGGCUCGACUUAGACACACUGCACGAAAGUCUAUCAUCCCCUUCUUACCCUCCCGCCUUGCUGAGCGUCCGCUUCGCCGUCCCGUGGCCGGACAGUCCAGCCACUUGGAGAGAUUGCACCACCGCCUGCAUGAGGAGCAGGAACGUCGACGACAGGAGCAGCAUGGCUCUUCUUUCUCGCUCCAACAGGAGAUAGAGUCUGUGAGGAGCUGCUCCCCUGUGCUUCCCUUGGAGGUGCCCCCUGCACCACCACUGGGCGCCCCAGCUUCUGGAGUAGCUGCUGGAGGAGACCCAGACGACGGAGGUGGCGACGACAGCUCGAGCCACGACAUCGACCUUUCUGCUAACCAUGAGCCGGAAGGAUGGGUUGCUCGACACAUCACUCGCGACGCUGCUCGCGGGUGUCACUUCCAUGAUGCGCUCGACACCCUGCUACAUCGGGCACUUAACCGGCAUACUUGAUCCAUCGAGUAUCGUUGUGUGGUCUACCAGCACAGUCGCGGGGUCUACCCGGACCGCUGGGAGGCAACCUGCUUGGUGCGCCGCCCGGAGAACAGUCUCCAGGGUGCGGAGGCCUGCUUAGAGCACUAUUCUAUCUCUGAGCGGGACUCAGCUGAGGCAGCCAUGCAAGAUGCUGCACGGCGUGCGCUUUCGCACUACUGCUCGGUUUUCGGUGGGGUAGCUGACGGUCUUGACCUGAAGUAUUACCCCCGCCGUCCAUCUGGCAGCACAGGAGGCGUGAUUGUCUCACCUGUCGGUGAGGGCAAUCCUAGGUUGAGCAGCACAGUCAACCUAGCCGUCGUGCUAAACACGGAGCUGGACCAUGCAUUAGACGAGCUGAGUAGGGCUCGUGCUGAGAUCGCCCUGCUGCGGGCUGAGCGCACGGAACGUCGUCACCUGGAUGGUGGUUCCCCCGCUCACGUUGGGACUCAGCACCCGUACCGCUCACCUCGGCGUGGACACCAGUCUUAUGGCAAUCCCGACUGUAAGACCAAGAUAACUCUAGAACCAUAGCUCGUUAGAGUUGGAUCUUGUAAUUAAUACGAAAUAUAUACAUAGAAGCUACAGUCUUAGCGUUAGUCUCGCUUUAGUUAGUCUUAGUUAGACAGGGUAGUUUGUUAUAUCCUAUGCAUUUAUGGUUGUCAUGAUGAACUAUGUUUGGUUUGGAUCUUUGUAAUGACUGUCACCAGAGUGUGGGUAUCCCCUGCAUUUUGGUUUACCUAUUAUGUUAAUGGAGUUAGUUAUAUAGUUGGGAAACCUUUUAUUCCACUUUCCUCUUUAUCUGAGAAGUUGUGUGGUCUGUGUUGGAGAUCAGUGAAGAUGCUCGUCUGUUCAGUGCUGUUGAAGAAUUCUAUACUCUUUUCUUAUGCUGCAAGAUUUGCCAGAUCAGUUCUGAUGUGUGGUUGCAUUCUGCAGAUGUCAGAGAACAGGCGCAGAGGAGGUAGGCGUGCUCAGCAGGAGCGAGCCGCUCAACAGGAUGAGGUGCCCCAGCAGCAGCACCUGCCGCCCCCGCCCCCGAUGUCGAUCGAGCAGAUGUUUCUGAUGCAGACUCAGGCAGUUCAAGCCAUCGGUCAGACUUUGGCCGCCAUUCAGCAGCAGCAGCAACAACAGCAGCAGGCCCCACCUCAACCUCAGAUGCCUCAGAUGCCCAGAGACAAGCAUGCUGAAUUCAUGAGAGGUCAUCCACCAACGUUCGCUCAUUCUUCUGACCCCAUGGAUGCUGAAGAUUGGCUGUGCACUGUGGAGCGGGAGUUGCAUACCGCUCAGUGCGAUGACAGGGAGAAAGUCCUGUAUGGUCCCCGUCUGUUGAGAGGAGCAGCCCAGUCAUGGUGGGAGUCUUACCUCGCCACCCAUGCCCACCUUGACGCCAUCACCUGGGAAGAGUUCAGAGGAAGCUUUCGUCAGUACCAUGUUCCUGCAGGUCUGAUGACAGUGAAGAAGGAGGAGUUCCUGGCCCUUAAGCAAGGGCCAUCGUCUGUCAGUGAGUACCGGGACAGGUUUCUGCAAUUGUCUCGCUAUGCUCCUGAAGAUGUCAACACCGACGCCAAGCGACAGUACCGUUUCCUGAGAGGCUUGGUUGACCCUCUGCAGUACCAACUGAUGAAUCACACCUUCCCGACAUUCCAGCACCUGAUUGACAGAGCAAUCAUGACAGAGAGAAAGCGUAAGGAGAUGGAGGAUCGUAAGCGCAAGAUCAGUGGACCCUAGCCUGGAAGCAGCAAUCGUCCUCGUUUCUCAGGCAAUCAACCCCAGCAGUUCAGGCAGAACCAGCGUCCACCUCAGCAGCAUCAGCAGUUUCAAAGGCAGUAUCCUCAGCAUCAGUACCAGAACCGUCAGAGCAAUCAGUCAGGAGGUCAGUUUCAGAGGCAGAAUCAUCAAGCACCUCGCCUUCCUGCCCCAGCAAACCAGCAGAACAAUCAGGCAGCACCAGCUCAGGUUGGAAACAGGGCAUGUUUCCACUAUGGAGAGCAAGGCCACUGGGUGAUGCAAUGUCCGAAGAAGGCAGCCCAGCAGCAGUCAGGCCCCAGCGCCCCAGCAAAGCAGAACGUGCCUCAGCCUGGAUCAAGCAACCGCUCUCAACCGCGCUAUAAUCAUGGAAGGCUGAACCACUUGGAGGCUGAAGCAGUUCAGGAGACCCCCGGCAUGAUAGUAGGUAUGUUCCCAGUCGACUCCCAUAUUGCAGAAGUGUUAUUUUAUACUGGAGCAACACAUUCUUUCAUUACUGCAUCAUGGGUAGAAGCACAUAAUCUUCCAAUUACUACCAUGUCAACCCCCAUUCAAAUUGACUCAGUCGGUGGUAGAAUUCGAGCCGAUAGCAUUUGUUUGAAUAUAAGUGUGGAAAUAAGGGGGAUAGCAUUUCCCGCCAACCUUAUAGUAAUGGGUACUCAGGGAAUAGAUGUCAUCCUAGGGAUGAAUUGGCUAGAUAAGUAUCAGGCAGUUAUCAGUUGUGAUAAAAGGACCAUCAAGUUGGUGUCCCCACUAGGAGAGGAAGUGGUGACCGAGUUAGUCCCGCCUGAGCCAAAGAAAAGGAGUUGUUAUCAGCUAGCUGUUGAUAGCAGUGAAGCAGACCCGAUCGAGAGUAUCAAGGUUGUGUCCGAGUUCCCAGAGGUGUUUCCAAAGGACUUACCGGGUAUGCCACCAGAGCGGAAAGUUGAGUUUGCCAUAGAGCUUCUUCCUGGAACCGCCCCUAUCUUUAAGAGAGCUUACAGAAUAUCUGGACCAGAGUUGGUGGAGCUUAAGGAGCAGAUUGAUGAGUUGUCAGAGAAAGGUUACAUUCGGCCAAGCACCUCGCCUUGGGCCGCCCCUGUCCUAUUUGUGGAGAAGUGGCCUAUCAGCUCAGUUUGCCCGAGAAUUUGUCUGUUGUGCAUGAUGUCUUUCAUGUGUCUCAGUUGAAGAAGUGCUUGCGUGUGCCAGAAGAGCAGUUGCCAGUGGAAGGUCUUGAAGUCCAGGAGGACUUGACCUACAUUGAGAAGCCAGUGCAGAUCCUUGAGGUUGCAGACAGAGUCACCCGAAGGAAGACCAUCAGGAUGUGCAAAGUCAAAUGGAAUCAUCACUCUGAGGAAGAAGCAACCUGGGAGCGUGAAGAUGAUCUGAUGGCUAAAUACCCUGAGCUCUUUGCUAGCCAACCCUGAAUCUCGAGGGCGAGAUUCUUUUAAGGGGGAUAGGUUUGUAACGCCCUGAAUUUGGGGGUAGAAUUUUUUCUUCUUUUCUCUCACCAAAUUCAGGCGUUACCCCUUUCUUUUUUCUCGUUCCCUCGCUAAACCUUGAUCUGUUCCAAAGUUAUAGCGGGUUUUGGCUUUAGACCCCGUUUAAAGCAAAACCUUAAAAUACUUUAUUUUGGAUGGUGCACCAUGCCGAACCAAGCAUACUUUUGAUUGUUUAAAAAUGUAAAAGCAUUCAUCCAAAGAAAAUUAGAUUUUAGAAAAAGAAAACCCUUUUCUUUUUCUCUCCCUCCCUCCCUUUCCCAUUUCGGCCCAGCCCCCCCCCCCUUGGCGCGCCGGCCCAGCUAGCGGCCUGGCCGCGCCUCCCCCUCCCCUCCCGCAUGGGCCUCCCGGCCGGCCCAGCCGCACGCCCCCUUCCCCCCCUUUCGGCCCAUGGCCGGCCCAGCCGCCCCCCCCCCUUUUCUUUUUCCAAAAAUCCCUCCCGCGGGCCCCGCCCGUCAUUCUCUCACCCUCUCUCUCUCAUGCCCCAAACCCUAAUCGCGCCGCCCCUUGCCCUGCGCGCCGCCGCCGCCCCUGCGCGCCGCCCCGCGCCGCCCCCCCCGGUGAGGCUUCCCCCUCUCCUCCCUCCCUCUCCUCCCUCCGGCGCCCUCCCCUCACCCGCGCCGGCCGGCUUGGCCCUGGCCCGGCCGCCCGCGCCCCCGCGCCGCCCGGCUCGGCCACCCCGCCCGCCCGGCCAACCCCGCCCGGCCCGGCCACCCCGCGCCGCCCGCCCGGCCAUGCCCCGCCCUCCCCCGCGCCCGCGCCCCGAGCUCGGCCGCCUCGCCCCCGCUCCGGCGAGCCCGCCCCGGCUUGGCCGCGCCCCUCGGCCCCGCCUCUGGUGACCAGCCCGCCCCCGCGCCCGGCCGCCCCUCCGGCGAGCCGCCCCUCCCCCUCCCGUGUUCGGCUCGGCCCCGCCCGCCCGGUUCCCCGGCGAGCCGCUCGGCCCCUGCGCCCCGCCCUGCCCCUGGCCGGUUCAACCGCCCCGGCCCCAGCUCGGCUGCUCCCGCCCCGCCCCGCCCCGGUCGCCCCGUCGUGCCUUGCUCGCGUCGUGUCGGCCCCUGCGUGGUCUCGAGCUUGGCCCAGCGUGCCUAUGGCGCGCGGCUUUGAGCUCGGCUAGCGCUCGGCCCCGACGUGCACACGGCUAGUCCGUGGUGUGUGCGUGCAGCCUCGCGCGCGUGCCCGCGUAGUGCGCGUGCCUUGGCACGACCCGUCGUGCCUCGUCUACCCCCUAACCCCCCCCCCUGUAUCCUAUAUGCGCUAAUCACGUCGUUUAUAUUAAUAAGAUAGGAGUCUCAAUUUGGAAAUUGGUUACGUUAGUUAAUUUGUAUAGCCAAUCGUCUAUCUUAUUCAAUGUUAAUCUACUAAAAGUGAUCGCGUUUACAUUAGUGCAUGUAGCUAAUUCUUUUGUUAGAACCAAUUGGAACUAGAACACGUGACGUCUAGUCAUUCGUUUACCCAUAGUGCCCCUCGAGCAUAAGCCUUAACCCCUGCGAGACCUUCCCUCGUUUCUUUCUAACCAAGGUAAAUCCAUUAUCGUAUGUGGUAUUCUAUGCAUAUUUGCUUUACUUGUUCUCUUGUAUGGUGUAUUGUUGGUUUCCUAAUUUCAAUGAAUGGAUGUAUGUAUGUUUGCACCCGCUUAGAGAACGAUCCGGUUGAAGAGCCCGAGGAACUCGCAGGAGAAGCCCCUGAGCAGCAGUCGGUUGGUGGAGGCAAGUGUCCUUUGACCUAUCUCUGUCCUAUUCAUUAUUUAAUUCACUUCCCGCUUUACACAUUUAUGCCUAAGGAUUGACUAGCCUUUGGUUAUCCAUGUCCUUGUUUACCUAUCUGGGUUGGAUUAUUAUUGUUUAGCUUUAUGCUAUUGCUCAAACUCUAAUCAAUGAACAUGAUGAGAUUAUCUAUGAUACGCUGUUUUCCCUUCUCUUAUUAUGAUGUUGUACUUGUGGUCAUCAAGGGGGCUCGAGCGGUUUCUCGAGUGCCUCUCUGUAAGGACCUGUUCUUUGGAUGACCGCCCGGGAAAACAGUGCAACCAUGAGGGUGGAAUGGGAUGCCCUUAGCUGAAUAAUUAGAGGAUCCGGGGUGUAGUUCACUGAGCCGUCGUGCCGUCAAUGGGGCUCGGUGUAUGCGGCUCGCUCUGCCAAGUUUGGGUUCGCCCCUUGGGGAGGAGUGCGGUGCAUUUAGGAAACCUAACGGGUGGCUACGGCCCCGGGGAAUCUUUGUAAAGGCUACGUAGUGAUGCCCUGCUGGGUCACCUUGGUAGUGAUCAAUGGAGAGUCAUGAUCUCCGGGCAGAAUGGGAAUCACGGCUUGUGGGUAAAGUGCACAACCUCUGCAGAGUGUUUGAAAACUGAUAUAUCAGCCGUGCUCGCGGUUAUGAGCGGCCAAGGGAGCUCCAGUGAUUAGUGGUACUUGAUCAGAGAUACUUUGGUUUACAGGUGGCAAUGAGACUGAUGGUUUUGGUUAUGAAUAUGUUGCUGGUAAGUGGUAUUCUUUCUGUUUGGAAAGGGUACAUCAGGCUAAUAACUUGGGUUAAAGCUAAAACCUGGCUUUCUAUUAGUAAAUAAUAAUCUGACCAACUAAAAGCAACUGCUUGACUUAUCCCCACAUAAAGCUAGUCCACUACAGCCAAACAGGAUACUUGCUGAGUAUGUUGAUGUGUACUCACCCUUGCUCUACACACCAAACCCCCCCCCCCAUCCCCAGGUUGUCAGCAUUGCAACCACUGCUCAGGCGAAGAUGAAGCUGUGGAAGGAGACUUCCAGGAGUUCCAAGACUAUGACGAGUUCUAGGCGUGGGUUAGCGGCAACCCCCCAGUCGGCUGCCUGUGAAGGCCGCGGUUAUCUACGUUUCUUUUCCGCACUUUGAUUUAUUGUAAGGACUAUAUGGACGUCUCAGACGUAUGAUGUAAUCGACUAUUUCCCUUUUAAUACUAUUUUGAGCACUAUGUGAUGAUGUCCAUGUUAUGUAACUGUUGUGUACGUGAAUAACUGAUCCUGGCACGUACAUGGUUCGCAUUUGGUUUGCCUUCUAAAACCGGGUGUGACAGUGGUGUAGUCUCCGAAGGUAUUGCUUCGGCAAAAUCUGAGGAUCCAGCCUUCGAAACAUCUUGCUCAGUGCCAGUUUCGUCAAAUUUCUUUAAAAUUUUGCCUUCUGAACUAGGCACUUCAACAGAAGCAGGAGUUGAUGCCUUCACAGAUUCCAUGACAGCGUCUAGCACGCUGGCCAUUCUCCUCUUCCUCGGAGUUGUUGCAGGGAUCCUUGACGCCUUCGGCAAUUCCGUAUCGCAUGGUGGACUCAAGGUCUUCAGCUGCUCUGCCGCCUUCUUCAGUUUUGGCUCUUCAGUCGGUCCUGUCUUAGCUUCGACAAGCAUAGAGCGACUUGGCUUAGAUAUAGAAGCAGACCCUUCAAUUAGCUUCGGCACUUCGUCCGUUUCAAUGCGCUUGGGUCGGUGCGUCAAAACUUUAACCUUCUUUGACCUCGGCGCACUAGAAGUCACCGAAGUAGUAGUCUUUCUUUUCUUUCCUUGCUUUCAUGAAGGAUAACAGUAAUUUGGAUAUACAAAUCCAAUGACAUCAAACACCAUGUUCAACCUCUUUUUGCCUCGAGCCCCAAAGGCCGUUGUCAUGGCAUCAUCUUGAGCCUUCGAGUAGGCUCCAAGCAAUUCAUCAUUGGUUGCUUCUAUGGCAUCUAGCCAGUCAUCAUUUGGCUCAUCAAACUGACUUCUGUAUUUGAAGGUUUACUUCAGGUAGAUUAAACCACCUUGGCUAGAGCCAGCAGCAGCCUCCUUCGGCAUCUCCCACCCAUUUGCAUGUGGCCAUACUCUAUAAGCAAUGUGCUCCUGGACAAUGUCCAUUGUGCCUAUGUAAGUGCAUACUGUAUUGAAAGCCAUCUGGCAUGCUUGUAUAUCAUUCCCAAGGGUAUUGGAUGGUCUCCUAAUGCCAAAGCGAGACCAUAUAGGACGUUGAAUAAUCCCCUUGAUAUCCUCCAUUUCACUCAGGUCAUUCUUCACGUAGAACCAUUUCUGCUUCCAGGCCCCCGGCCAUCUCUUCUGAAAUGUGGGAACUGGGUAGCUCGCCUCAGAGCGAGGCACGAAGCUAUAACAACCGAAGUUGUUGUGAUAUUGCUCUUUUCAUGUACCCUUCUGUUGGUCACUUGUUCUCAAAUGCUAUAAAUCAAGAACAAGGCAACACAUGUAGAUGGUUAAAGACCUUAGUCCUUCGAAACAUUAUCUCCCUUAGGAUAUAAUGAGCUUCGGACAAAGGUCAUGAAGGACGUACCUUCUUCAUUUCAAUAAGCAAGGAUGUAAACUAAGACAUAUGAAAUGAAAAGGAAAUAUGAAUAACCAUUUCAUAUCAUUAGACGAUUCAUAUUUUUAUUAUAUAAACAAACAUCAAUGAUAUUCGAAUUAUAUUUGUACCUUCGGCUUGACAGAAGGUGAAAAAGAAAGAGUGAUGCGCGAGAGGUUACAAACUAGUGUGAACAGUACGGUGUUACUGUUCAUCUAUUCAUAGGCAUAGGACAUAGCCUAGGAAAAAUUACAUUCAUGUCCCUGACAUUUAGUGUUACCCGAAAGGUAACCUGUCGAGGACUAAGCAGUCUUUUCACCUUUAGGUCGGUUUCAUUCUCCACCAUCGUCCUUGUGCUAAGCCGAAGCUUCUCCAUCCACAGCUUCGGAGCUGGUUCAUCCUUCUUCCAGAUCGCGCUUUUCAUACCAUGCACACCUUUAUCUCAAAGCCGAAGCUUCCUGUGACAGUAUAUUAUACUGAAAAACAUGUUAGUUGUGUUUUUUAGGACCUUCAGAAGAAGAAGGCCCCCAACACCUUCGUCUCGUAAGACAACUCAUGGAUGUUGCAGAAACAUUUUGCAUUUGGCUCCAGUCCCUGGCUCCUCAUGGCCCAUAUAAAGAUCCCCACCUUGAUGAAAGCUUCGUGAGUAAGUUGAUGAAGGUAAAUUUCAAAGGUUCUCAGGACUUCGACCGGCAAUUUAUCUAGAGGGAACCGAAGCCCUGCCUUCAUGAAGCUUCUAUAAACUACCACUUCGUCAGCUUCGGGCAGAGGGACAUUAUUCUCCCCUCCAGCUCUCACAAUUGAGAUAUCACAAAAGUACCUCCCCCUCAUCGCAUCAAUCUGCCCUUGCCUAAUAGUUGAUUUCCUGAAGACAACAUGGCUUGGUUUCCAUGGCCGAUCUUUGGCAUCUUCAUUCCCACUUUCUACAUUGAAACUUUCACUAUCGCUGGAGUUCUCAGAUAUCCCAGCCAGCAUCUCGUUCGCAAUCUUCUCUACAUUAGUUUUUUCCAUGGCUUCAUAGAACCCAGACAGCGCCGAAUCAACAAUCUUCUUCUCAUCAGCCAUUAAGUCGAUGGUUGUUGAAAUGCCGAAGCUUGAAAUCCAAUUAAACUCGACAAAGCAAGAAACUUUAAAAAGACGAGCGCAAUGCAAGCAACUGAAAUGGCACAAGAAACGCUUACAAUGAAAGCUCCUGUUUAUAUGUCCAGAGCCCCACAGUUUGGUGGGUCCCGCAAGUCAGUGUCAUUCGCUAUUCUAGCGAAGGGAAGGUGUUUUUCGGACCUUCGGCUAAAGGCCUUCGUUCACGUCACAGUCUAAAUUUGUUACAAAGAAACAAAUCAAUACUGUGAGGGGCUACUGUUGGGGGACUUCCUCCUCCGAAGGUCCUCAAAAACAUAACUAACCAUAUGUCUUCAGCAUGACAUAGAUUAUUGUAGGAGGCUUCAACUUCGGAAUAGAGAUCUUCUGUAACAAGAGUACAGGUGUAACCCGAAGGUAUCAAAAAUGGGCGACAAAGCUAUAGUCAAGGGACUUCGGCUCAUGUUGAUGACGAAGACCAAAUACAACAGUGACCAAAAAUGGAUUGUGGUGGAACCGCCCGAAUUAUUCCAGCUUAAGUGCCCAAGUCACGCCUUAGAGGCAGCAACACACUUAAAUCGGAAUAACCCGUCAGUGCCGUAGAUCUAGUCUGAUAAAGCCACUUCCCCGGGAUCGAAUACCACUAGUUCACUCGAAGGUGAGUCACAAAGAGAAUACAAUAAAGCAUGAAACCACAAAUUGAAUUACUAGGGUUAUUACAUAAAUCAGAGUUUUAAAUAAAAGGGAACAAGUUCAAAAAUAAAGUGCAGCGGAUAAACGAUAACGUCGAAUGCUGAGGAAUAGGGCAAGGCCUAGCCUACUACUCCUCCUGCUCCUCUCCUGCCGGAGCAACAUCCCACUCGACCGUCCAGCCCGGUGGAAGGCCAAGUCACACUAUCAACCAUGUCCUGUAGUGUACCUACAAAAAUUAUGCCACAAGCAAGGCUGAGUAUACUAAUACUCAGCUAGACUUACCCGGUGUGAUGAGUCUACUCCUCUACCUCUAGACCAUGCAGCUGUUUGGCUGAGGGGUUUGUUUUGCCAAAAGCACUAGAUGAGUCUAAAAACAGUUUUAGCUUUUCCAGUUCUAGCAUAAUUAAUUUAGCUAGGUUUGCUCCUUUCCAAGCAUACAUGGUAAUAAUCAUUUAGUACAAUCAACAUGUUAUCUCAAGUAAAAUCGCAUUCCACUUUUUACUCACACUACACCAAAAUCAUACACUUCCCACGGUUUUUUAACUUCAUAUAGCUUUUAUAACAAACCAUAGGAAAUAAAUAACUUCCGAGAGGCAACUGGUAGCUUUAGGAAAUAAACAUAACUUCCUACGGUAUUUUAUAAAAGCUCUAGGAAAUUAGCUUUCACAUGCUGACCCCGUGUGUUCGGUCAAGCGAGCCGCUAACUUCCUACGGCCUCCACUAGGAAGUUAGCUUUUAGUUGCUAAUCCGCGGUUGUGGUCAAAUGAAAAGCUAACUUCCUACGGCCGGCUCUAGGAAGUUAUCAUGGGCAGCUAACUUCCUACGGCCUCCUCUAGGAAGUUAGAUUUCAGCUUUUGACCAGUCAAACGAAAAGCUAACUUUCUACGGCCGGCUCUAGGAAGUUAGUUGCCCAGCUAACAUCCUACGGCCUCCUCUAGGAAGUUAGAUUUCAGCUUUUGACUAGUCAAACAAAAAGCUAACUUCAUACGGCUGGCUCUAGGAAGCUAACUUCAUACGGCUUUACUCUAGGAAGUUAUAUUUUUAUCUUAAACCUCUACUCAAUCUUAUCUCUUCUCUCACAUUUCUCACUCUCGUCUCACUCUCGCGUCUCUCUCUCCCUCAGUUUCUUCUUCCUCGGUCCUACCUGCCGCGGCCGCCCCUGCCCCCAGCCGCCUCCUGUAACACCCCAGUAAUUCCCAGAGUUCUUCUCAGUGCUAACUAAAGAACCAUUAUUUCAUGUGAAUCAAAUUGAGCAAAAGACACCAAAAACUUGAGAGAAAAAAUUCAACUAAUUCUUUUGUCCUAAGACUCAUUCCUAAAUCAUAUCAUGCAUUGAAAAUGGGAAAAUGUUUAAACCCUAAGACAACCCUAAUUAGGCCAUUUAAGUAGAAAGGAAGAAAUUGGUAAAAAGACCAUGAAAAACAUGGAAUCAUGGCUUAGGACAAUUAUACAAAGUUGAAAUACACUAAUUAUGCUACAAUAAAUGUUAUAAAAGUUUGGCCAAAAUAAUUGAUUAAAAUCCCCAAAAAGGUCAUCCAAGUAUAAGCUCUCUAGGGAAAAUCUGAAAUUCAGAUUUCUGAAUUUCAGCCUUCACCUACAACUUGAGCACGUUCACCUUGAUCCCUAGCUCAAAUCCUUAAGUCCCCAUUGACAAAAUUGUUCUAAACUAACCCCUCUGCAACGUGUGUGAAGAUGGCAUCGAGAUUCGUGCCCUAGACACGUCAAAUCUGGGAUUUCCUCUCGGAGUUCAGCAAUGAGACAAACCAAACUUCAUCACUCCAUAUCUUUGGCUCCAGUCAGCAAAACCCAUAAGCCUCCACACACAAAUGACAAAGGAAUGUCAGGGGAAGAGAUCUCUCAAUGGGAUCAUGGCCAUAAUCGCAAAGAUUUGGAGCCAAUCCACGCUUGAACUUGACCUCUCUCUGCGUUGCCUCGUGCUCGACGUCGUGCCCACGCGCCAGAGCGCGCACUGGCGCUCACCCACGCACACCCUAAAUGCGUGUCAGAGCCACCCUUCGGCCGUGCUCGCCCGUGCCUUUAAGACCACCCCCAGACGUGCCUCACCUCACUCUGCACUCACCUUCGCUGACCAGACACUAUCCUUAGCUCCGGCGAGCUCUGCGCCACCCGCCCGAGCCACCCGAGCGCCGGCCACUGUGGCCAGCCAUUUCCAGAGACCCUCAGCCUCAACUAAGCCCUUGGACAGCUUUCUCGAGGAGCCGUGAAGCUUCUCCAAGCAAGGAUCGAAGCCCUGCCUCACCGGAACAGCAAGAUCACCGUCGCCGGACUACGGUCGCCCGCCACCGCGCGUAGGCCGAGCUAUCCGGUGAGCCAUUCUCCAAUUCCUCGCGCCUAUGCCUUCCCUAGCACCUAGUGAAGCUCACUGACCGGUUUAAUUGAACUCUACCGCCUGGAUAAGCCGGAACCCUCAUCGCCGACGAGCUCCCCCGCCUGAGCACGUGGACCGGCCUACUCCGACUAUCCCCGGAGACGAUCCGCACAUCGGAGUGACCGUCACGACCUCCCCUACACCCUCGGCCACCUCACCGGAGCAAUCUCGCCACCGGUAAGCCCCUCCGCCCUUUCCUCUGCCGCGGGUACUAUUUAAUUGGGAGAAGGACCUCGGGUUAGGUUUUGCAAAACCCCAGGGGGUUUUCUGAACUGUCAGUGGCACAUUUGAAUAGUGACCCGAGGACUAGUCUGUGAGGGAAUUUGAAAAUAAUCGCUAGGGACCCCGAUGCAAAGUUAGUUUCCAUUUAACCAUUUCUGAUUAUUUUUUUAAUGAACACAAAACUUAGGAAAUUCAUAACUUCAAGAAUAUUUAUCCAAAAUUAGUCAAACCAAUUUUGUUGGUUUCAAAAUAAUAUGAACCAUCAAACAAAAAUACUAAACCCCAUGUUUUGUGUAUUAAUUUUUAGAGUUUUGAAUUAAAUAGGGAAACUUCCCAAACCUUAUUAAUAUAAAGAAAAAUAGAAAUGCUUCUGUGCUAGGCUUAAGAAAAUUUGUAGAGAUACAUACCCAACUUAGGCACUGUUCAAAAAUACUGAGCACCCUACUAUACAAGAUUAACUCAUGUUUUGCUAUUAAAAACUAUAUCUAUCCAAAACUUAGAAAAUUAAGAAAGGUAGUGGAAAAUAAUAAACAGAGAAGGAGCAUAUUUUUCCUAGUAUACUUAAGUGAUGAGGAAUCUAGGAAAAAUACAGAGAACCCUAGUCCAAAGCUAAUCCAGGGUUAAAUAUUUAUUAGGCACUAAGAAACCAAGAAAAACCAUGAUUAAAAAUGCAAGGACCACUAUAAAAAGGGUAGAGAAAAUUCAGUAGACUCCUAACUACUAGAACACCACUACAAAAAUAAUAAACACCCCAACCCCUCAAAAUAAGUGAGCUAAACAAUUCAAAUAUGGUUUUGGCCCAUGUUCUAAUUAAAUCAUAAGAAAGUAUAAAAUUGUGCAAUAGUAGGCAAAUGAAUUUUUACCCAACUAUUGAUGAAGUAGACCACCAGAGAAAAAUACAAAACCUAUUCAAAAAUAUAAGAUAACAUCCAUUACCCCCUACCCCAUGAAAAAGGCCAUAUAAUCCAAGAAUUUCUACCCCCUCUUCCCUUAAGCAAAAAGUUUCCAAAUUCUAGAAUGAUUGCUCUUGCACAAAGAAGAAGAUAGGAAAAAUUAGAAUUCUGUUGGACAUUUUUUCAAAUAUAGUGGUAGUAGAAAGCACCCCUUUGGCCACAAACUUUAGGAAAUCACAGUAAAAUAACCAAUAAGUAUUAGUGGCUAAAAUUUGGUACAAAGUCAUGUUAUUACACCUAAAUGCCAGCAAAAAUAAGCCUUAGAGAAUAAUCCACUGUUAGAGAUGAGUUAUAGUUCAAAGCACCCCCAUCUGCCCUAUGAUUUGAUAAUUUUGUACAGAGAGAACCCUUAACUUUUUAAGCCCCAAUUUUUGAGACAGAGAGUUAUACACAUGUAAGAAGCUAUUGUAAUUUUUACAGAGUUUUUGGAAAUUUAUAAAACUAGAUUGUAGUUCAAACACACCUUAAAACAUAAGAGGAAAGGGAAAGAAGAGAGAAAUUGGGAAGAAUAAUGAAUCUCACCCCAAUAAAUUCAGCUAGGAAUUAUAAUAAACUUUCACUAAAACAUAAAAAGGAAAUCAGUGGAACACUAAAAUAAUCUGACUAUUUAACCUAACCAAACUUGACCUAAAUGGCUAAGUGUACCAUGAAAAUUUCCAGUAGUAAGGUUAAACUUUACCAUAUUAAUUUAAUCAUUCACCAUCCAAUUAUAAUUGCUAAAUUGCAUAUCAUGCCAUACAUAUAUCUUACUCAUUGCAUUCAUUAGAUUGCAACCUCGUUGAUGGAGAGUACGUGCUCAUUCCCGAGCAAGGAGCUGUCCACGAGGAAGAUCAGGAGCCAGCUCCUGAGCCUGCCAUAGAAGAUUUCCCCUCAGCCCCAGCAUUUGAAGGCAAGCCCCGGUUUUAUGCAUAACCAGUUUAUAUAUGCUACUUUACUACACUUAAUGUUUGUAGGCUUGUAAUGUGCACUUAAGUGUAGGAGUUUCUUGAAACCCUUAGUUGCAUAAACUCAUGAUUCCUUUUUGAGAUGGAUACUAGUAUGCUAGGUCGAGUAGCUGCUUUGCUAAUUAGGAUCUCAGUAGAAGUCGAGUGAUUUUUCUAACACUCACGCGAGGUCAGGAAUUGAUUGUAUUCAUCUUGAUAACGGGAUCUAUGAUGAACUAUGGACUUAGAUCCAGGGUGGAUGCCUUGUCCAUGAGACGGGAAAAAGGAACUAAGGAUUAAUGUGUGGAUACCUGAGUCAAGUGUUUGAACGUACUAAUCACAUGUCGGGAAAUAUGGUAACCGGUAAACCUAGUACCUGAGUAAAGCCGGGCGUGGACUUUCCCCCUCACUUGUCUUGAGACUGGGUCUCACAUGCUAGCUAUGGUGGGUACAAGUGCGGUCAAUGCACGACGGCAGCCGUGGUCAUUGGAGCAUUGUAUGCCAAGGCGGUGAGCCCUGGCCGCUGUUGGGGGCCUUCAUCUUCCGAAGGUCCUCAAAAACAUGAUUUAACAAUGUUUCCCAAGUGUAAUAUAUGUACAGGUACCUUCGGACUCGGAAUGAAAAUGUACACAAUAUGAAAAGCAUGGUCAAGACGAAGGAUGAUGCAGCUCCGAAGCUACGCGUGGAAAAACUUCGGCUUAGUGGUGGAAAAUGAAACCGACUUAAAUAGGAAAAGGCUAUCUAGUCCUCGAUAGAUUGCCCUUAAGACAAUAGUAAAUAUCAAGGGCAUGGAUGUAAUUUUACACAGGCUGCAUCCUCUACCUAUAAAUAGAUGAAUAGUAGCACCGUACUUUUCACGGUGACUUGUAUUUAUUCGUGCCUCACGCUUGGACUAUUGCCUUCUGUCAAGCCAAACGUACAAAUGUAAUUCAAUAUUGUUCAUAUUCAUUUAUGAUGAUUUAAUAAAGAUAUAUUAAAGAUGUUGUAUAAUUAUUCAUGUUGUCUUUCAUGUUUCAUAUGCUUCUUCUUUCAUUAAUAUAUAUUGUGAUGACGAAGGUACGUCCUUCAUGACCUUCAUCUGAAGAUCAUUAUAUCCUAAGGGAGAUAAUGCUUCGGAGGACAAAGUGCUUUAAUCAUUAACAUUUUGUGUUGCCUUGUUCUUAACUCAUAGAAUUUGAGAACAAGUCCCAACAUUGGCGCCCACCUCCGGUGUACUCACUUCCACAAUCUUCGGCAAAGCAUCAACCUUCGUCAUGCCACCGAAGAAGAUAACAGCGCCAGGGGCUGCACUACAACCACUAGACACAAACCAGGAGACUCUCUCUAUCCGAGAGGCCAGAAGCCAAAAGAGAAAGGCCACCAGUCCAGCACUUCAGGAGGAGGAGUUGGACCAAGAGAUCAUGGACCUAGAAAUCAUUCACCAGCAGGUGCAAAGGAAAAAAGAGAAGAUGGCUCGGCUGGCCGACCUUCAAAAGAAGAUCGAUGAAGCUACCGAGGAAGUGUGUCAUCUUACUCAAGAUGAUCAAGACCGAAGGCCCCAACACAGGGAGCUUCGUCAAGAGGGCUCAUUCAACAAAGUUGAAUGGUACGAUGAUUUUAAUCAUGGUACCUUUACUUUUGAUGAUGCUUCUCCCCUGGCAGCAGAAUUGCAGGCUAUCCCAUGGCCACAAUCCUACAAGCCACCUCAGCUACCCAUGUACGAUGGUCACUCAGACCCAAAGCAAUUCUUGAUGAGCUAUGAGGCAACAAUAUCCUCAUAUGGAGGCAACAUAGCUAUCAUGGCAAAGUCCUUCGUCAUGGCAGUCCGAAACAUGGCCCAGACAUGGUACUCUUCUCUCCGGCCAGGGACAAUCACGUCAUGGCAGAAGCUCAAGGACAUGUUGGUUACCAGUUUUCAAGGUUUUCAGACGAAGCCAGUCAAAGCUUAGGCCUUGUUCUAGUGCACACAAGACCAUGAGGAAUACCUUCAAGCGUAUGUCCGAAGGUUCUUGCCACUAAGAGCACGAGCGCCCACAGUGCCUAAUGAAAUCGUCAUUGAGGCCAUGAUCAAGGGUCUUCGGCCAGGACCUACGGCCCAAUACUUCACCAGGAAACCCCCCUAGACUUUGGAGAAGCUGCUUCAGAAAAUGGAUGAGUACAUCCGGGCUGAUAAUGACUUUCGACAGAGAAGGGAGGAAGUUUACAGAUUUUCUGAGAUGACUAGGGGCUUCGGAGGGAGAAUCCACCCUAGGCAUGUCAGAUCAAUACACAGCUCUAGUCAGAAUGAAGAAAAAGGAAGCCAGCUUCAGAGGCCACAGCACACCUCACAGUCUUCGGGACAGUAGCAAAGCUCCUUCAGGCCACCAGCUCUAAGGGGUAGAAGCGGCAGGGGCUUCGGAGGAAGAUAUGGGGAUCAACCCAGGAAAAUCUAUUGCUUAUUCUGUGGUGAGGACAAGGGCCACACUACAAGAACGUGACAAAUCAAUAUUCUGAAACAAAAGGAGAUUGCCGAAGCAGAAGCUCGGCAGAAUCAGCCGAAGCAGGUUUUACACACUGCUUCGUGCCACUCUCCUUACAUACCAGAAUAUGUGGGAAACCAACCUGCAGCUUCUGUUGCUUCGGCAAGCCAUUCACAAGCCUCUUGGCCUCAGCUCCCACCGCCACCACCACUACAACCUACUUAUUCCUGAAGCCAACAGCCAGAAGGGCGCCAUCACUCCCAGCAACAACAUGACUUCAGGGAGGAGUCCGAAGCUCGUACAGUCAAUAGUACUAUACCAGAAUCAAAGCACAUAUACUGAGCAAUAUCUUGCUUCUUAAAUACUUUUAUAUUCUAGGCUAUUUUGUUUUUUGAAUAAGGAACAAACAAUGAAGACUUAGUUUUAAUUUCUUGUAAUGAUUUUGCUUCAAUCAGAAUGAAAUAUAUCUUCUUCACAGAUUUACGAAGUUCAAAAGUCGUUCCUAAGGGAAUGCAGAGCCAACAUAAACGAAGCUACAAAAGUCGUUUCUAAAGGAGCGCAGCAUAAGUUUUGUGCUCAAAAGUCGUUCCUAAGGGAAUGCAGAGCUAAAAUUCCGAAGCUACAAAAAGUCGUUCCUAAGGGAGCGCAGCGUAAGUUUUCUGCUCAAAAGUCGUUCCAAAGGGAAUGCAGAUCCAAAAACCACCAAAAUAUAAGGGGAAGAAGUUCAAAAGUCGUUCCUAAGGGGAUGCAGAACUUAUACCGCCGAAAUAGAAGGCAAAGAAGUUCAAAAAACGUUCCUAAGGGGAUGCAGAACAUAUAUCACCGAAAUAGAAGGUGAAGAAGCUCAAAAGUCGUUCCUAAGGGGAUGCAGAGCUUGUGUGUUCCAUUGUGGGCGUGUGAGUGUGUGGCUUCGACAUUCUCAUCAUUUUGCAUCAUAUCAUCACAUCAUUUCGCAUAACAUUACAUUAUACAUCAUAUUGCAUCAAUGGCACAAGAAUCGAAUAUGAAGCCAAUCUUCGGCAAAUGCUUUGUCAAAAUGAAAAUGUUCUAAGGCACAAACUAAGCUUCGGGAAAUACAGAUUUAUCAGCCUUGUCACAAGAAGGGAUCUCUUUCUUUACGAAGCAUGAAAAGAAGGGAAGGUGUUUUUUCGCCGAAGGCUCAAAAACGGUAUGUGUGUAAGUUUCAUGCAUCGCAAAGAAAUAAAUUACAAUAAUUUACAUAUUUAAUUCAAAGUUACAUACAUCAAAUAUUACAUAGUAUUGUUACAAUAGAAUCUUAAUGUUCAUUCCAUUACAUCGAGCAUUUCGAAAUAUUAUUACAAUGAAGUCUACUCUUCUCUGAGAACUUUUUCUGCAACUUCGUUUAGAAGUUUAUUAACAACUUCGUCAAUAAUGGAGUCCACCAUGUUUAUAAUGUCUAGCGCUUCCUUCAUUUCUGGAUCAGCUAGGGGAUCGUACGGUUCCAGCGGUGGAGAUAGUUCAGCUGAAGUAGGUAAAAUUGAUUAGUUCGAAGCCGCAAAACAAGUAACGAAGCUAAAUAACCAAAAAAUAAUACAUAUACGCCUUUCGCGUUCAGCAGCUUCUUCAGCUUGUCUUGCUUCUGCGCGGGCGUCAUGGGUGUCUUUUUCACUCUUUUUUUAUAAUUUCAUGGGCCAUCUCUCGGCCACCAUUCACCCAGACAUCAUUGUAAAAUUUCCCGCCCAUCAAGGUUGCUUCAGCUGAAGGAUCCUUCGUAUCAUCCACGGAGAAGGCAAUUUCAGCUUGGGCUAUGGCUUAAAUGUGAUCGCACCCGGCCUUCUCCAAGAUGGCUGAAAUUCCCCACGCACCGGAAAACGCGCAAACAUCCCCGCGAUCACUCAAAAUUUCUUUGAAGGCUUCGGCUACUGCAUUUAUCCAUUCAACGAUGCCUUCGGGGUCGUCUCGUACGAAGUUUUCUUCAGCAGAGUAGGCACCCACUUGGGCGAAGCUAGAUUUUAAUUUUCUCACGCAAUCCAAGGAUUUCUCGAAGCACCUUUCCUUGGAUUCGCAAUGUUCUUUAACAUUUUUCUCUAGAUAAUUUUUCCAAUAUUCGCUGAUUUCUUGAUUAGCCUGUGCAAUUGCGCAGUUUUCUUUAGCUUCGGCCAGUUGUCUCUGAAGGUCUUCAAUUUGAGUUUUCUGGGCUUCAGCCUGAGCUUUGAAAUUAGCUUCGUCUUCCUUUACUUUGUUCACCAAUGAAAUUAAGAUUUUGUCUUUUUCCAAACCUUCGUUUCUCAAUUCAAUCACCUCUAAACAAAGGUUAUCAAGAGCCAUUGUAUAGCCUUCGUCUUCAAUAUUCUUCUACGCCCUAAGGGCAUUACUAAGAAUUAAGCCCUGCAAAGAAGAAAGAAUUGAGUAUGGCAAUGAAAUACUUUAUUUCCAACUUAAAAGUCAACUUUUAUACCUUUAUACUGUUGUAUGCUAGGCUAUCAGCAAGAUCAUCCUUCGAUAAAAUCGAAAGGCCAUCUUCCAGCUUCAGGAAUCCUAUGCUCUUACCUAUCUCCUGGCAAAUGGAUAUUUCUUUGUUGUCCGGGAGACAAUGUAAGAAGUCGUCAUCGUUAGUGCCGUUAAACACUAAAGCUCCCUUCGGAUAUUUCAAUUUUCGCGCAUAGUGUCUGGUUUCCAGAAUUUCUUCUUCGGAUAAUUUCUUCCCCGAAGCGUGUCGAAUGAUGUAGUCAAUAUUUUCGAUCAGAGCUUCGGGAGCCGGAGUCUCGAUCAUUUCAGGUGCAAUCUGCCCUGCCAUUUUUUCCUCAGGCGCGGCAGGCUUCAUCACGACGAGAGCUGAAGGACCAGCUUCGGCUUCAGCCUGAGCUUUCGUAGCUUCGGUUUCUGCUUGCCCAGUUUCGGCUUCGGUUUGCGCUUUGACAGCUUCAGCAAUUUUCUUUGUAGGAGCACGGCUCAAGGCCUUUGUAGUCUCCAGCACAGCAUCCAGCAAGUUGGCCAUCCUCAACCUCUUGGGAGUCGCGGCAGAAGCCUUUUGCACCUUCGGCAUUUCUGACAUUUUCAUUAUUUCUUCAACCUUUGGCUCUUCAGCCUUAUCAACCUUAGCUUCGACUGGCUUGACUGUAGGCGUCUAUGGCAUUACAGUUGGUUUUUCAACGCUCUGUGCAAUUGAAGCAGCUUGUCUUGCUUCAGCAGUUGAAGAGGCUCCUUCGACAAAUUUAGGCACCACGGCCGGUUCAAUGAAAUGCGGCCGAGGGGUCAGAACCUUCAUCUUUUUGCCCUUCGGCUCAGCUACAGCGGCCGAAUCAGCAGUCUUCCUCUUUUUUCCUUGCCCUCGCAGCGGGAAGCGAUAAUUGGGGUAUAUGAAGCCAAUCGCAUCAAAGACCCUGUUCAGUCUUUUCUUCCCCCAGCCUCCAAAGGCUGCAGACAAAGCAAUUAUCUUCGGCCUUGGAGUGAGCUCCAAGUAGCUCCUCACUGGUAGCUUCAAUAGACUUUAGCCAGUCGUCGUUUGGCUCAUCAAACUCCUCCCUAAAUCUGAAGGUAUACUUCAGUCGGACUAGACCACCACCACUAGAGUCGGUGGUGGUCUCCUUCGGCAUUUCCCAGCUUUCCACAAGUGGCCAUACCCUGAAGGAUAUAUGCUCUUGAAUCAAAUCCCUUGUGCCAAUGAAGGAACAAACAGUGCUAAAAGCCCUCUGACAUGCUUCAACAGCGUCAUCAAUUUCCACCUUCGGCCUUCGGAGGCCGAAGCGAGACCAGAUGGGGCGCUAGAUGAUUUCUUUGAUGUCUUCCCUUGCCUUUAAAUCAUUCUUAACAUAAAACCACUCCUCCAUCCAAGCUCCGGGCCAUCUCUUCCGGAAUGUUGGCACCAGGUGGCUUGUGUUGGGGCGAGCAAAAAAUCCAUAACAACCGAAGUUGUUGUGGUACUGUUCUUUGCCAGUAGCCUUCGUCUCAUAUAAAAGUUUGUGCAUACUACAGAAGCACUUCGCGCUUGGCUCUAGCCCCUGACUCCUUACAGUCCAGACAAAAAUCCCCAUCCUCAAUAUAGCUUCGGGGGUGAUUUGAUAAAGGAAGAUCUGGUAUAUCUUUAGCACUUCAACCACAAACUUGCUCAAAGGAAACCGAAGACCAGCCUUAAAAAGCUUCGGUAUAUAACAACUUCAUUUUCCUCAGGGGCAGGGACGAUGUUGUCUCCACCAGCUCUCACGAUAGACAGGUCACGAAAGUACCUUCCUCUCAUGUUGUCAAGAUGACUCUGUUUAAUAAUCGAUUUUCCGAAGACAGCAUGGCUUGGUCGCCAGGGCCGAUCUUCAGAAUCUUCAUCCCCACUUUCCACAUCAUAACUAUCACUGUCAUCAGUAUCUUCAGACAAACCUUCCAGUAUCUCUUUAGUAAUCUUCUCCAUGUUUGUUUUUGACAUAGACUCAAUAAACCCGGCGAUAAAACGAUCAGCAGCUUUCUUUUCUUCAAACAACUUCGUCUCCUCAGUUAGCUUCGUAUCUGCAGUCAUCUUCUUUUCCUCAGUCAUCUUUUCCCAGACAUGGUGAAAACACGUCUUUAAACUGAAGCUCGAAAAGCUUGAAAAAACAGGCGAGAGCUAGUGAACAAGAGCUAAAAGUUUGAAGAAAUAGCACAAAUGGCAGAAAUAGCAUAUCAAAUGUCGCCGCUAUGGCUCAUAUUUAUACGCCCAGUGCUUUGCAACUUGGUGGACCCCGUUUGUCAUUGACUGUUGCUAUUCUAGCAAAGGGAAGGUGUUUUUUCGGACCUUCGGCUUAAGGCCUUCGUUCACGACGCAGUUUGAAUUCGUUGUUAUAACAAAUUAAUACUGCGAGGGGCUACUGUUGGGGGCCUUCGUCUUCCGAUGGUCCUCAAAAACAUAAUUUAACAAUGUUUCCCAAGUGUAAUAUAUGUACAGGUACCUUCGGACUCGGAAUGAAACUGUACACAAUAUGAAAAGCAUGGUCGAGACGAAGGAUGAUGCAGCUCCGAAGCUACGCGUGGAGAAGCUUCGGCUUAGUGGUGGAAAAUGAAACCGACUUAAAUAGGAAAAGGCUAUCUAGUCCUCAAUAGAUUGCCCUUAAGUCAAUAGUAAAAAUCAAGGACAUGGAUGUAAUUUUACACAGGCUGCGUCCUGUGCCUAUAAAUAGAUGAACAGUAGCACCGUACUGUUCACGCUGACUUGUAUUUAUUCGUGCGUCACGCUUGGACUUUUGCCUUCUGUCAAGCUGAAGGUACAAAUGUAAUUUAAUAUUGUUCACAUUCAUUUAUGAUGAUUUAAUAAAGAUAUAUUAAAGAUGUUGUAUAAUUAUUCAUGUUGUCUCUCAUGUUUCAUAUGCUUCUUCUUUCAUUAAUAUAUAUUGUGAUGACGAAGGUACGUCCUUCAUGACCUUCGUCUAAAGAUCAUUAUAUCCUAAGGGAGCCAAUGCUUCAGAGGACGAAGGGCUUUAAUCAUUAACAUUUUGUGUUGCCUUAUUCUUAACUCAUAGCAUUUGAGAACAAGUCCCCAACAGCCGCGAACGGGGAAUCGAUGGAGACGGUUGAUAUGUGUGGGGACGGAGUGCCCCUACAUGUCGUGUGUUUAGGUUUACCUUGCAUGGUUUAAAAACUCGAUUCGAAUCGUCUUCUUCUCGCAGCUAAUGAGACUACUUGACCCCUUGUACUGCAUUGAGUAAAAAGUGAAAUAAGGUUGAUUUGAGAUAACAUGUUGAUUGUACUAAAUGAUUGUUACCAUGUAUGCUUUAGCAGGAGCAAACUUAGCUAAAAUUAAUGAUACUAGAAUUGGAAAAGCUAAAAUUGAUUUUAGGCUCAGCUAGUGCUUUUGGCAAACCAAACCCCUCAGCCAAACAACUGCAUGGUCUAGAGUUAGAGGAGUAGAAUACUCACACCGGGUAAGUCUAGCUGAGUAUUAGUAUACUCAGCCUUGCUUGUGGUAUAAUUUUUGCAGGUAUAUUUCAGGAUAUGGUUGAUGGUGUGACUUGGCCUACCACCCUACGACCGGGUUGGACGAUCGAGUGGGAUGCUGCUCCAGCAGGAGAGGAGAAGGAGGAGUAGUGGGCUAGGUCGUGCCCUAUUCCUCAUCAUUCGACGUUAUCGACUAUCCGCUGCAAUUUUAAUUAUGAACUUGUUUCAGUUUACUUGGAAAACUCCGAUUCAUGUAAUAACCCCAGUACUUUAAUUUGAGGUUUGCUGCUUUAUUGUAUUUUCCCUGUGACUCACCAUCGAGUGAGUUAGUGGUAUUUGAUCUCGGGAGUGGCUUUAUCAGACUAGAUCUGAGGGAGUGACGGGUUAUUCCAAUUUAAGUGUGUUGCGGCCUCUAAGGCGUGCCUUGGGCACUUAAGUUGGAAUAAUUCGGGCGGUUCUGCCACAGCUCUGGCCCCGCCCGCCGGCCCCGGCCCUGCCCUCGCCCCCGUCCGCCGCGGCUGCCCCGGUGCAUUGCACGGCUCUAAGUCCCUGACGACCUCGUUCCCCUCCGUUGUCUCGCCUCUCUCUUGGUUCCUCGCGACGACGACUGGGCGAGCGCCUCCUCCCCUGCCCCUCUCCGGGCCUUCCCUUCCCGGUGCGCGGAAUCGAACACCCCAAACCCUAAUGCAUUAUCUAUAGUCGGAUCUGGCCCAGUUGCGAGUGCACGCAUGGUGUCUGCUAACUUCCAGUUUUCGCAAAGUUAUCUGGUAUAUACAUGUCCUAUGCUAGUUCCGCCAUUUCGGACAGCAUGAUUAUGUCUGUGUUGGUCACUUGCUCUCGAAUGUUGUGGAUUAAGAACAAGGCAACACAUUUGUUAAGAAUUAGAUACAUUGGUCCUCCGAAACAUUAUCUCCUCUCGAGUAUAAUGAUCUUCAGACGAAGGUUAUGAAGAACAUGCCCUCCUCGUUUAAUACGAGAAUGAGAAUACAUAAAGAUAAUGAAUGUAAUUCAGUGAUUCAUUCAAAUUUGUAUUUCAUAAUGUACACAUAAAUAUUAAUUGAAUUUAUAUUAUAUUGAUACCUUCGGCUUGUUCGAAUGUGCUGAUGCGAGAGUGAUUACAAUCCAGCGUGAACAGUAUAGUGCUACUGUUCAUUUAUUUAUAGACAUGGGACGCAGCCCGAGUAAAAGUACAUUUGUGUCCCUGACAUAUACUUAUGACCAUAAUAUAAAUCAUUAAGGACUAGCUAUUCUUUUUCCCUUCUGGUCAACAUGAUGUUUGGUCUUCAUCACCAUUUUAAGCCGAAGCUAUUACACUUCGGCUAUAGCUUCGCCGUUUAUUCUUAUCAUCUUCGAAUUAUAUCUUCACCUCGUAUGCAUUUGCCAUGGGAGAAAACUUCCAUCCCGAAGCCAAAGUUCCUUGUAAUAAUGUAUAUCAUGCUGAAAACAUACGGUUAGUCAUGUUUUUUAGUACUUUCGAAGGAAUAAGGCCCCAACAAUCUGUUAUGCAAUACUUCGGGACUCGGAAGAGCUAAGUAGUAUCUGUCUCAUUUUUUAGAUGUCUAUUUCGGUUCUAAAUGAGAAGUUUGUUGAAGCGACUAGGGGUUCCAUUAGCAGCUCAACUGUGGAACCUGCCGAUGAUCCAGAUUUUACCAUCGAGAUCAACAUUUAGAUUCUGGAUUCACAAGUCCACAAACUUCGCGUAAAGAAGAAUGUAAGAGUUCUAUCGGGUCUGACACACUCAUUUCUGCUGGGAGUUAAUCGAUUAAGGGGAAACAUAAAUAUCUUUUCUGCUAAGAGCUAACAAAUUAAGGAGAGUUUUUUUAAUUCCUUGGUCCUUAAUUUUUUUCUUACAAGUUCUUCGUCUAAACAAAUUGACAGACACUCGUCAGAUAUUAUUGUACGCUGUUAUAACCAACGGUAGUACGUAGACUAUCUAGUAACAUAAAACUCUGUUUAAUACUGUUUAAAGAGUGAAGUUUUAAUUAGAGAAUCAGAGAUGUGCUGCCGAUAGCCUAAUCAUCUUGCUCACGGAUAUCCUACGUUGGCUUUUUGAUUUGUGUUUGGACUUUGAUACAUAUACUCGUAGCAAUCAGCAGCUCGCGCCUCCACGUCCGGCUCACGUAGACGCACUACCGCAAACGAUGGCCAACGCGGGGCUGCGUGCAUACCGCGAGGUGCUGCGCCUGGUGCGGCGGCUGCCGGCGGAGACGCAGCCCUACUACGCCAAGUACGCCCGCCAGAACUUCGUCAACUAUCGCGACCUCGCCGCCGACGACGAUCUCGGCGCCCUCCUCCGCCGCGCCUACACCCACUCCACAUGGGUCCUCUCCAAGGUAUCUCCUACUAUUAUGGCCGCCGCCGCUCCAUUCUCAACCUUCUUGCCUCCAGGGCCACCUCCACCGAGUUAGACGUCUAAGCAUGCAAGGCUGGCUUUGCACUUGCAGUACUCGAUCGACGCGGGGAAAGUGGCGGUGCGGCUCAAGGACUUGACAGACGGCCACGCUGUGAUGUGACGCACGCAAGGUGUUCGAUCAUAUGCCGCUCUUGGCUUGAGGAUUGAGCUCAGCUUCGAUUUGUGUUUGUUUUGGCACUUGCAUCACUCUGGUUACUUGGACGCUGUAUGGAACGAUGCAAGUUAACAACUCAUGCUCAUUUGUCAUCUCCCUUUUGUCAUGCCUGUGUAUGCCAGCCCUUUUCAAUUCAAAUCAACUUUGUGGGAGCUUCGAAUUACCUGCUCUUUUCAAUUCAAAUCAACUUUGCGGGAGCUCCGAAUUAGUACUGCUUGCUACUCGGCGUCACCGUUCGGUGUGGCCGUCGCUAAGAUCCUUGAGCAAGCCAUCGUACCACGAGCAAGCCACCAAUACCAUAAAGCUCACAACUAGAAAGAAGUUGUUUCAAGGCCACGACGAUGACUGAAAAAAAUAUAACGGCCGCAACUAGAAAAAAUAUAACGGCUGCAACUAGAGUGCAGCUGUGUAAGGCCCAAAAUAUGUAUAUAAUAUAUAUAUAUAUAUAUAUAUAUAUAUAAUAUAUAUAUAUAUAUAUAUAUAUAUAUAUAUAUAUAUAUAUAUAUAUAUAUAUAUAUAUAUAUAUAUAUAUAUAUAUAUAUAUAUAUAUAUAUAUGAAGAAAAUAAAAUAGUAAAUUCAGAAAUCUCAAAUUAUACUUGAGUUUUAAAAAUUGAGGACUGAAUUUUGAAACCAAGAAUUAUUUUAGAAAAGAAGUUAUAGAAAGGUUUUCUAAAUGAUUAUUCAUUUCAUUAAAUGAUGCAAUAUAAGCAUUUAUUUACAUGAAUAUUAAAUUUAGGUUACUUAAGUCGGGACUAGGUUUUUCUUUUAAGCCUAACACAUAAAAUUCUAGUCUCAGAAAAAUAAAUAAUUAGGAGUUUCCUAUUUAAAUUAAUAAAUGUUUCUUUCACCAAUAUUACACCUAGAAGCAUAAACAAUAAAAUAAGAUAAUAAAUAAAUAUUCCACUUUUGCAUUCAUGCUGGUGUUUUAUUUGUGCAUCUCAAGGUAAAAGUUUGGAAUUCAAACUUUAAAUUGAUUUGAAUUUAAAAUAGAAGAUUGGAAAAUAAGAAAUAAAAAGGAAAACAGAAAAUUAAUGGAAACCAGUGCUUUGGGCCCCCUCUGGUCUGUGCCUUUCGCCUGGUGGGACCCACGGGCCAGUGUGCCAACCGCUAUGGGUGCAGAUCCCAGUAUAAGACGAGUGGGCCCUUAAUGUCUGCUCUAUCCCCCAGCUCGGGUUGUUGCGACAGAUCCGCGGAGACCCGGCUGAAGCCUGCUGUCGACCGAGAUUCUUUCUCCUCCUUUCCCCUUUUUCCGCUUAGGCCUUGCCUUGCCCAUAUUCUCGGGCAUAAGUAUUGCCUGGAUGGCCCCUUUGUUCCUUUGUGCAUGCGUCGGGGGCGACUUGCGCUACGCCUUACACCGGAAGCAGUGGUGUUCCGUGGGCGGAUGAUUCCAACCACUACCGCGGGAUCCUCGGCGUUCGACUCGGGAGUCCAUGACUUCGUAGUUAAAAGUUGCGCCGUGCUCCUUCCUCCACUCGCGACCCCCUCAUCCUCGCUCGCGCCAUCCCUAUUCUCUGGAAUCCCUGCUGCCGCGCGCCCCUCUCUGGCCACUCGCCGCCGCCGUGGGCCAACUUCGAUCCUCCGCCGACUUGCCUCGGUGGGUGCCCGUGUGCCGUCACCAGGGAACCUUGGAAGCUUGCACGGGGAUCGCCAGCAAUCGGGGUCGUCUCUGGUGUGUUGAAUUCCUCAUCAUAGUUCAAUCAUCGCCACCGUGGCCGGGGUGGCGUUUGCGGCGAGCGCCAGUGAGAACCGUACCCUCAUACUCGCUAAGAACCAAGCAUCGUUUAGCACUUUUUCACUUAGAGUUCGGAGCUCGUUGACGUAGAAUCGGCCUGCACCGGCCAUGGCGCCGCUGGGGCGCGGUGGCCACCGCUGUGGCUGGGCGUCGUAAAAGGUGAUUACCGCACCACCGUUGAUCUAGCCGGGUGCGGUCGAGAUUAGAGGGCAUGCUGCUUUGUCACGACUGAUCCCAACCGUAGAUCUGCGACCGUGCGGCUAGGAUUAUAACCCAGGGCAUCGCUUAACUAUUUUGAAUCCGAAUCGUUGAUCUUGGGAUUGAGGGACUAGAUUCGGUCAAGUCGUGGAAGAUUUUGGGUCAUGGGAUCAUGAUCCGAUGGUCGUGGUCAUGAACCGAUUUUAGCUAUGGUCCGAUCUAAACUAGAGCGCUGGUUUCCAAUCGUGUGGUCUAGAUCGCAGGAUACCCCUUCGCCCCUGCUCUUCCCUGCAUUAAUGUGCACAGUCCAGAGAAUUAUAAAAUUCAGUAAAAGCGAUUAGAAAAUGAUUUUUAAUGUGAAAAUAAAUCCUAGAAUUUGUUUCAUUCCUAUAAAAUUCAUAUGAAGUCCAAAUCAACCCAUUCUAAUUUCUGUAAUUCUAUAAUAUUAUUGUUUAUCAAUUAGUGCCACUGUUUUGACAUGAAAGUCAUAUUAAAAUUAAUACCCUAAUUAAUCUUUUAUCCAACACUUAAAACUUUAUAAAUUCAUAACUUCUUUGUUUUAAUUUCGAUUUGACUCAUUCUAUUUGCGUUAGUUUCGUAUAAGUACUUACUACGCAGUAAGAACAUUCAUUAUACCAUGUCUCAUUAUUUUAUGAAUAGAUCUUUAAUUAACUUAUGUUGGUUGGUCUUGUUAAUGUGCUCAUCAUUAUUGACCAAAAUAUAAUUUAUGGUAUUUUAUAACUUAGAUUAAAGUUGAGAUAAGUAUUUAUAGAAUAACCUCUUAUAUGAUUUAUAUUAACCAAUUUAUAAUAUAGUUUAACAUUUUAAUCACAUAAAUCCUCUAUAAAAGCAUAACUCCUUAACCGUCACUCCAAUUUUAGUGGUUCUCGUUCCCAUGAUCUCGUAGCAACGCGUAGAUCAUUAUUAUGUAGUAUGUUAUUAUGUGUGGUGUGAUGUUAAUUUUGUCUAUACCAUGUUUGUUUGUAUUGCUAUGACUAGCAGUGAGGUCACGAGGAUCUGAAGAAUCACCCUGGUAACUGGAAUCUCAAGUACCAGGCAAGUUGUGCCCUUGACCACUUUUGUUACCCAAUAAUGUUCUUUAUUAUCAUUAUUCCAUGCAUAAGUUUAAUUUUGAUGGGACCCAAUAGGUCACCCUAGUCUGACUACCUUUUACCUUGUUUACCCCUGAAUCACUUGGGUAGUUUUGCUAUUGCUUUAUAUGGUUUUGGGUUAAUAUUUUAAUAUAUCAAUGUUCCAAUUAUUCUGUUAUGUUAUUUAUGUUCAUGUCAAGAUCAUUAAUUUUAAUUAGAACAUGGAGCUUAACUUGAGAAACACGUGCCACCACAAGGGUGGAAUGGGACGCCCUUGGCUGACUAAUUAGAAAAGCUAGUGAAAUACUACCUUACCUGAAAGGGGCAAGGGCAGUAGGGGAGUUGCAUGCAGGGAGGUUCUCGGGUUGAUUUUGCUGUGAUGGCGGUCAGACAAGGGAUUCUUGCAAGUGCUCUUCCCAUAAACUGUAGCGGGUUUUCGGAAGCUAGUGGAACUUUGUAAAGGUCUCGUAGUGGAUCCCUAGCCAUUCACCUUGGUAGUGUCUAAGGGUCUAGCUAACCUUGGCGACAUGUGAUACACGACUUGUGGGUACAGGGUACAACCUCUGCAGAGUGUAAAACUGGUAUACUAGCCGAGCUCAUGGUCAUGAGCAACUCAGGACUCUCGCAUGAUUAAAUUAUGGAACCUAAACUCAAUUUGUCAUUUGCAUUUGCAUGGGAUUAUGUAUUAAUUUUGUUCUAUUAUUUUAUUAUGGUUUGGUAUUUACUUACACUUAGUAACUGCUAAUAAAACUUUGACCAACUUAUAAAAGCAAUGCUCAGCUUCAACCUUUAUUUUGUAGAUCAGCCUUACACCUCACAUGAACUCCCACCUUUGGUGAGUUCAUGCCACAUUAUUCCCCACAACUUGUUGAGCGAUGAACAUGUGUGAGUUCACCAUUGCUGUCUCACAUCCCCCACUAGAGAAGAUCAGGUGGUUCAGGUGGAGCCAUAUACGAGGAGUUCGAUUCGAUCUAGGUAGCGUCUCCUAGUUGACUUUCUGGCGCCAAGGAUGGAUUUUAGAUCCUGUUAUAUUUAUCUUUUAUUUUGUAAGACCUUCGCUAUGUAACAAAAAUUCUGAUUAUAUUGUGACAUUUAUCUCUAUCACUACCGGACACAACUCCUUUGCCGAGUGUCUCAGACACUCGGCAAAGGCUAUUUUACACUCGGCAAAGGCUUUGCCGAGUGUAACACUCGGCAAAGAACGCUCAGCGAACUGUACAUCGGCAACGGCCUCUUUGCCGAGUACUUUUUGUCGGGCACUCGGCAAAGUUGGCACUCGGCAAAGAAAAGUCACCGUCACGGUGCCAAGUGACGGUGACGGAUCCUUUGCCGAGUGUCUGCUAUCAUGGCCCUCGGCAAAGAUGGCUCCAGUGGGCCCCACCGCCAGUCCCUGUGCCGAGAGCUCUCGUAGGCACUCGGCAAAGGAGGCUUCUUUGCCGAGUGUCUAGUGGACUGGCUCUCGGCAAAGAGUCCUCCAGUGGGCCCCUUUGCCAGCCCCUUUGCCGAGUGCCAUCGUCAUAGCACUCGGCAAAGAAGGCUUUACCGGUUCCCAGGUUUCCUCCUUUGCCGAGUGCCAUGGUCAUAGCACUCGGCAAAGAAGGCUUUACCGGUUCCCAGGUUUCCUCCUUUGCCGAGUGCCAUGGUCAUAGCACUCGGCAAAGAUACCCUUUGCUGAGUGUAACACUCGGCAAAGUGACCAGGAAGUCCCUUUUUUAUUUGUUUUUGUUGUUCCAUCCAAACAAACAGAAGAUAUAUAUCAUUCACAUCACAUUAUAUAUCAUUCGCAUCACAGAAUCAACACAUUUAUCAUCAACAUCAUUAUAUCACAAAUAUCACCACAUAAAUCAGGUUUCACAUCACAUAAGUCUCAAUAAGUAUCUCACAAGACCAAGUAUAACUAACAUCACCAACAUUCACGAAUAUAAGUCUGGAUCAUCACAAAACAGGUCAUCAACGAGGUGGGCAUCUAGACUGGUUCGACGAAGGGCUAGACGAAGCGUGAGGGUUGUUCGACGCCGCCGAUUGACCCUGCACAGAGAAGAGAUUGCAUGUAUGAGAACAUAUGAAUAUAUAUCAUGCAGUACUAAAAUUUUGAUACUCACAGGAGUAGUGAACUCAGCAGGGUCAGCUGCAGGGAACAACGGAGGUGGUGGAGCAUGACCCUGUGCGGCGCCAAGGCUCUGCAUGUACGCGAACAUCUCCGCCAUCCUCUUCUCCAGCUCCUCACGUUGCCUCCUCUCAUCAUCUAGCUGAGUCUGUAAUAUUUCGCCCUAAUGUUACGAUAAUGCAAAGAGAAGAUAUAUAAUAAUCAAUGAACGAUGAAUAGAUAAGGAAUAACCUGGAGUUGCUGGAUACGAUGCUGUGAGCUGUCCUGCCGAGGUCGUAUGGCUGGGCUCGCGCUCGUGCUCCUUGCUCGCACCUGAGAGAGAGUGGGAGUGGAGGACGAGUCGAUUGCCCCGUCGGCAAUCUAGUACCGCCCAUGCCUCUUGCCUCCUCCGACCCUCAUGAGGACAUCUCCGUUGAUGUCCUCGGUCCUCGGAUCGUAAUCUGGCCCAUGGACCUCCUUGGCCAUGGCGGUGUACUCACUGAGGCGGCUGUGGACGGCAGGGUUGGUGUAUGCCUCGGGCCCGUCAUCCGGGUUGUAGGUGACGUCGGACGUCGCCUUCCCCUUGUGGGCCAUAGCAUAUGCCGAGAACGUGGAGCAAGGCGCGCCACCAUGUGCCGCCGACUGCAAGAAAACCAACGAGAUGGUUAGAAAUCAUGUCUAAUCGAAAGUUAUAUACCUAAAUAAAAAAGAGCGCGUACCCAUGCUUCCGCGUAUUUGCCCAGGCUGCGGCUGCCUUGAUGGUGGGAGGGACCUUGCAUCAUCAAACGCCGUUCUCGGCUAGCGUUGCGCGCCUCGUCCCACUCAGCCGAGCACCACCUCUGCACCAUCUGCUCCCAGCACUCAGGAUGCGCGGCGCACCAGUGAGGAAUCGUCUAAAAAAAUACAAGUACACGGCAUAUCAGAAGAUAAAAUUAAGCAUAUUUAGUACCAAUAAUAAAGUUUUGUAUUUACCUGCAAGUACUGGUCCGGAGUCAACGACAUGGUUCGGGCGUCCUUCUUGCUCAACUUCUCCCCAAGGACGGAGCCGUGGUAAGUGAUGAUGGCCUAGAUGCGCGCCUCGUAGUGCAUGUCCACGACGAGCUUCUUACAGCUCGUGGUAGCCACCACAUCCGCCCUGGCCUCGUAUCCAGCCUCGCAUCUGAAGAAAUCUUACAUACAAAGACGAUGUAUCCAUACAUUAUUUCAAGAAUAUGCAAUAAAUGCGACUUAUUAAACAAUAUAGUGCGAGGAAGACUUACCCACAGCUCUUGCUUCACCCGCUCCGCCUUGUUGUUGAAUUGUCUCCCGUCCCGAUCUACUUCAUCGGGGGCGACGGCGUAGUGGUCGAAGGUGUAUGCUGGGCUCGUCACUCCGGCGUACUCGACAAGUCCAGGGAAGUGUUCCUUGCAUAGAAGGCCGAGGAUGCCAUUGGGGUUGCGGCCGUGACCCCCUGCAGUCUCCAAAACCAUCCAAGACCUGUCCAAAGGAUUAAGAUAAAGUAUUAGUUUCUAUUAUUAAUUUGAACAUAUAAUAUGAAAAGGCAGCAACAACAUCUAAAGUUACCUACCUCUCUCCAUCGGGUCGUAUCAGCGGAUGUCUGUCACGAAGUAUGGGUCGCUUAGGGAGACUCGCGGGACCUCGCAGGUAGAUACUCCUCGAACUUGAGGAGCCAGAACCUGAGACAUCCUGCUGAGUGGCGGCGGCGUCGUCGUCCUGCUGCGCCGCAUCGUCGUCUUCCUGCUGCGCCACAUCGACAACGGCUUGCUGCUCCACCUGCUGCUGUACGGCGUCGUCCUGCUGCGCCUCCUCCUCCGUCCUACGGGUGCUCCUCCUCCCCCUCCCCCUCCUCGUCCUCGUCCCACCGCCCACCAUCUUUGUCCAACAACCUGCAAUUAAGAGUAAGCAAUUAAGCACAGAUAAAAAAUAUGUAUUUAGAAACAUAUGCAAAAUAAAUGAAAUAUAGCAUUACAUCGAUUAAAAAUAGUCUUCAUAUGUGUCCGAGUUAGCCGGAUCAUAAGUGUCAUCAUCACUAUCAACCAUUUCAUAGUCAACACCAUCUAAAGGCGUAAUUUCGUCAUUGGCAUUGCCUUCAAGCAUUUCUAAGUCAUUCUCAUUUUGCACCUCAUCAUCCUCCUCAUCAACAACCAUUUCAAUAUCUACUUCCAUUCUGAUCGCUUCGGUUAAGUCUAUCUCAAAUCGCCCUUCUAGCCCAUCUUCUUGGAAGAACUCUCCGUCAUAUGUGUCCGGGUCUAAGUUAUAAUCUUCAUCGUUUGGAACAGGUAAUUUACCGUGCGGUGAUACCUUAUACACAACAUCCCAACCCUUAAGAUGUUGUUUCGUUUGGCACGCAUAUGGAAGAUAAUACACUUGUGUGGCCUGUUGGGCCACAAUAUAGACAUCGUCUCCUGGUAAGGUGGAAUCCUAUCGAAUUUCGACUAGCCCAAGAUUAGAAUGUGUCCGUCUCGUAACUUCAGGGUCAAACCAAUGACAUUUGAAUAUCACUGUUGUAAGAGGUUUGGAACCAUAAAAAUUGAGUUCAUAUAUUUCUUCAAUUCUUCCAUAAUACUCGACCUCGUCAAGCCCGGGCGUAAAGACUCCAGAACACAUGGUUUUUCGAUUGGGCCGACUUUGGUCGUAGCUUGUUGUGCGAAAACGGUAUCCAUUGAUGUCAUACCCAGAAAAUUUCCUGACCCUAUAGGCAAAGCCAUUGGCUACUUGUCUCAACUCGGCACUCAUAGACGGCUCUUUUUGGCCCUGCAAGUUCAAACACGCUAGAUUGUUAUAUUAUUCGCACGUAAGAGCAACUUCAAAUGACAAACUAAGCACGUACCUUACGUUUAAACCAGGAAAUGAAAUCGGGCAAUCCAUUUCCCGCACCCUUUGCAAGAAGGGUAUCAUAUUCCUGUGGAGUUGGGUCCCUUGAUCGACGCCAGAAUUCAUGAAGAAAUUGCUCCAUGUAUGGCGUCACCUCUUCAAGGUUGGUCAAUACAUAUAGCAUGAUAUGACGCCACUCUUCAUGUCUCAGGGUCUUGGUGGUCGAACCACUCGCGCUUCCGAGUUGCCCUCGAAAAAUGUUGAGGUUCGAUUCAUUGUCGCCAUCAUUGUAACGAGGGGGUGGAUUAUGCACGCUCGGCAGUUUGUCACCAUAGUAAGUUGUUGUGAAGUUUGACACCUCCUCCAGUAUGUAUGCCUCUGCAAUGGAAGCCUCGAUUUUGCAUUUAUUUCUACAUUUCUUUCGGAUAGUCUUUAGACAUCUCUCGUUUGGAUAGCACCAACGUCCUCUUUAGACAUCUUGUUAGGAUUGUAUCGUUUGCCUUUUUUGUGCCAUGUCAUCUGUUUCGCAGAUUCCUCUGUCAUGUAUAGACGCUGGAUCCUCGGUAUGAACGGAAGGUGGCGUAGGAUUGUCACGGGGAUGUCGAGCUGCCUCUUCUGUCCAUCACUAGAGUCUACCUCCAUGAACCAAGACGAUUUACACUUCGGACAGUACUUUGCCUCAGUGUGUUCUUUCCUAAAUAGGACGCAGCCCUUCGGACAAGCAUGUAUCUGCUCAUACGUCAUCUUGAGUGCACGAAGGAGUUUCUGUGCCUCGUACAUGCUCUUUGGCAGAACGUGAUCCUCCGGAAGCAGGCUGCCAAUAACUAUCAACAAACCAUCGAAGGCGUCUCGACUCAUGCUAUACUGCGACUUGAAUGCCAUUAUACGCCCAAUGGCAUCCAGUUGAGAAACCUUUGUCUUGCCGUGAAGGGGUUUCUGUGCCGCGUCAAACAUGUCAUAGAAUGCCUUUGCGGUCGCCUCUGGCUCGUCCUCCAUACGUCCUUCGGCGAACUGUGCCUCGUGAUAGUUGUUCAACAUGUCUGCUACCCCGGCAUCAGCAUCGUAAUCCUCGACGCGUUGUCUCACCACCUCCUCUCUCGUGCGAUGCGCUUCACCAUGGAAGAUCCACCGAGUAUAGUCCGGCGUAAAUCCAUUCUUCCAAAUAUGUUCUACCAUGGCCUUCUUUGUUUUCCUUUUCCUGUUGUCACAUUUGCUGCACGGACAAGGGACUAGACUAGCUCCUUUAGCAGCUUCGCCAAAUGCUCGUUCCACGAAAGCAUCGAUCUUCCUAAUCCAUUCAGGGGUGACAUCAUUACGUCUUACGUGGCCCGUGUACAUCCACUCACGGUCCUCCAUCCUCUAACAUAUAUAACCAAGUAUAGUUUAAUAUAGACAUGUAAUGCAUGUACACUACGUUCCUACCUUCUAAUAGGUGAGGAUAGGUCCUAAUCCCACCCACGGUUGCGUAGAUGGAGUUAGUUUCCAUGCUCUACUCCUAUCCGAGAUAGAAUUUCGGUAGCACCUCCCCGUUGUUCUCCAGAUACACGUCCUGGCAGGGAGAAUGUACUGUCCGGAGAACAACAGGGAGGUGACGCCGAAACUCUGUCUCGGACCAGAGUAGAGCAUGAAACUAACACCAUCUACGCAACCGCGGGCUGUCCAAAAAACGUGGACAAUUCGAAACUGAUACAUUUGUAGAUAUGCAAGGAUCUGCAUAUCUACACCAUAUCUCUUUCGAACAGGAGACGCCUAACUGGGUUACGUGAUCUACGACCAUGAUGCGGAAAUAGAGGUUAUACCUAGGGUGGCGGUGGAGUCAGGCUAGCGGGGCUGUGGCGAGUCGGUGCAGUGGCGACGCGACGUGGUGCAGGCAGACCCGCAACGGCUAAGAAGACCUCUGCAAAAAACACAUGCCUGUCAACAAAAAAUUUCGGCAGCACCUCCCCCACACGGGGAGGUUUCCAAAACCUGCAAAUAAAACAAAACAGCACGAUGGCUGACACGCACACAUAUUUCAUGCUAUAAGAGGAUACAAUCUACCGAAAGAUCAACCUUGUGAAGACAAAAUAACCCACAAGGGAACUAACUUGGACAUAAAAAUAGAUGGAAGAACCUUAACAAGAAAAGAGUUAUCCUCUUGGUAUGUAAAUGAGUUUUUUUUCUUUCGGUGACUUAUCCAUUUUUCAAGAAGGCGAAUUAAUCUAACAUUGUGAAAAUUCAAAUACAUGAAAAACAAAGAAUGAACAUGGAGAAGCAAAUACAUGGAAACAUGAAAUAUGGAAUACAUAUCAAAUACAUGGAAUAUCAAAUACAUGAAAUAAAAAUACAUGAAAUAAAAACACAUGAAAAAUAAAAUACAUGAAAAAUAAAAUACAUGAAAUAAAAAUACAUGAAAAAUCAAGAGAUACAAUGUGACUAUAUCAAUCUAAAAUCAUCUAAAAUUCUUAUAAAAUCAUCUAAAAUUCAUGAAAAAUCAAGAGAUACAAUGUGACUAUAUCAAUCUAAAAUCAAUCUAAAAUUCUUAUAGUAGCAGGGGGAUCGGAGGGGAUCGAGGGGGAGGGAGCAACCGAGAUCGAGAGGCGGAGGUGUGCUCGGGCCGGCGGCGGUGUGCUCGAGGCGGGCCAGCGGCGGUGAUGCGGCACGGCGGGGCGGCGGGGACGCGGCGGGCGUGGUGGCGGGGGCGCGGCGGCGUGGAGGCGGGCCGGCGGCGGUGAUGCGGCACGGCGGUGAUGCGGCACGGCUGGGCGACGGGGACGAGGCGGGCGUGGUGGCGGCGGCGGCGCGGCGUGCGUCGGGCCGGGCAGAGCAAGUGAGCGAGUGAGAGAGAGAGAGAGAGACAGAAACGGCCGUUGGUGGAGAUAUGUAAAACUUCUUUGCCGAGUGCCCGUGAUCUGGCACUCGGCAAAGAAGUUUUUAUCAACUUUGCCGAGUGUCCACCGGGUGACACUCGGCAAAGAUCUUUUUAUUUUUUUAAAAAAUUAUUUGCCGAGUGUCCUUGGGACACUCGGCAAAGUUACUUCUUUGCCGAGUGUCUUUCUCUGACACUCGGCAAAGUUACUUAUUUGCCGAGUGUCUUUCCCUAACACUCGGCAAAGUGUAUUUUUAUUUUUCUUUCUUUUUUCACCAAACUUUUUCUACUAUGUUCCUACACUAUAUAGACCUACAUGUUCCAUUUUGGCACAAUUAUCAAAGAUUUUGCUAUAACUAUUAGAUUUAGUUCGUUUAAUUGAAUUUCUUCGGAUAAUUCAAAUUUGAACUGCAAGUCACUCGAGAAAUGGAAAACAGUGAAUGCAAAAAUGAUAUUCAUGUUGUUUAGCACAAGUUACGGCCUAUUCCAGGAACAGACUGGAAUUUUCGAGCACCAUGCUCACGAAACAUGACCGUGAACUUGCGAUCCAGUUAUUUUAAAAUUGUAUAAAACACAAACAAAGUCAGAAAAUCAUGAAACUUGUCGACAUGUCUUGAUAUCAUAUGUAGAGCCUAUGAUAUAAAUUUGAGCCUAUUUCGUGAAAGUUGUCACACACUAUGUGUAGAAACCUAGCCGACCUCCAUAUAAGUUUAAUGAUUUCAUGUGAGGGUCGGCUAGGUUUCUACACAGUGCGUGAUAACUUUCAUGAAACAGUCUCAAAUUUUUAUCAUAGGCUCUACAUAUGAUAUCAUGACAUGUCGACAAGUUUCAUGAUUUUCUGAUUUUGUUUGUGUUUUAUACAAUUUUAAAACAACUGGAUCGCAAGUUCACGGUCAUGUUUCGUGAGCAUGGUGCUCGAAAAUUCUGGUCAGUUCCUGAAAUAGGCCGUAACUUGUGCUAAAUAACAUGAAUAUAAUUUUUGCAUUCACCGUUUUCCAUUUUUCGAGUGACUUGCAGUUCAAAUCUGAAUUAUCCGAAGAAAUUCAAUUAAACGAACUAAAUCUAACAGGUAUAGCAAACAUUUUGAUAAUUGUGCCAAAAUUGAAUAUGUUGGUCUACAUACUGUAGGAACACACCACAAAAAGUUUGGUGGGAAAAAGAAAAAAAAUAAAAAUAUACUUUGCCGAGUGUCAGAAAAGACACUCGACAAAAUAUAGGUUUGCCGAGUGCUCAACGGGGAACACUCGGCAAAGAGGUAAGUUUGCCGAGUGUCGUCUCUGGACACUCGGCAUAGAUAACGACCGUCACCUAUUGACGGCUGCUGACGGCUCUUUGCCGUGCGCCUCAUUUCGCCGAGAGUUUGACACUCGGCAAAGAUUUCUUUACCGAGGGUCAUUAUGUGCCGAGUGUUUCGCACUCGGUAAAAGAUAUCUGUGUCGAGUGUCGUUUUACGCCGAGAGUGGCACUCGACAAAGACUAUUUUGCCGAGUGCCCGAUAUAUUAUACUCGGCAAAUCUCGUGGCACUCGGCAAAGAGCCUGUUUCCGGUAUUGUAUACACACUGUUAUUAUAUAUAUUAUCUUCUUUGGCGCAUGUAUGAGAUGCACCCGGCUUUGUCCCUUAAAACCGGGUGUGACAGAAGUGGUAUCAGAGGCAUGUUGACUGUAGGACGAAACCUAGAUAGAAAUGGACAAACCCUUACCUCUACUACUAUGAUUCUUUCUAAACUUUUCUUAAUCAUUUCUCAUAUAUUUCCGCCUUACUCUGAUUAUUCUUACCUGUUCCUCCUAAAGACAAAAGUGGAUUUCACACUUUGAAAUCUUGUGCCUAAAGUGACUUUAGGAAUAGGAGACCUACUCUUAGGAACAAAAAUAAAACUAUUUUUCUAGGUAUCUAUACGCUUGAGUGUUUGUUCUUAUGAUACUUGUCUGAUUUGGAUUUUUGAUUGAGUGUGAUGAGUUGUGGAGUAAUGUCCACGAUUGCAUCUGCAUAUACAUAUAGGCAUAAAUAUAAAUAAAUAAAAUUCAUGAGAGAACUAAACAACUUAGAUUCUCCUCCAUUAAAGUGUAUUUAUUUUAAAUGGAUCCUUCUUACCUUAAAAGAUUAUUUCUUACUUUAAUGGAUCUCUCUUAACUCAAAGGAAUAUAUCUUAUUUCAUAUAGAUCACUCUUAUCUUAAAAGACUCUCUCUUAUCUUAAAUAGUUCCAUCUUAUCUUAAAAGAUUAUUUCUUACCUUAAUAGAUUCAUCUCAUCCCGAAAAAGAUUUCAUCUUAUCCUAAUAGAUCUAACUAAUCUCAAAAGAUUCUAUCUUAUUCUUAGAGACUCAUCUUGUCCUAAAAAAGCAUACUUAUCCCCACCACUUUGCUUAUCUCUCAUGAACAAAUAACAUAUAGAAUUUGCUAUGUAAAUUUAUAUUCUUGUUUUUAGCAUUGAGGCUAUUAAUCUUCACAAAAAAAUAAACAUUUAAUUCAUUCUAUAUAUUUUUAAAUAAUUGAUAUAAACUUCGGAUGUCUAUUCGAAUACGGAUUCGAAUGUUUUUUCACCUUUUUUGUUGUAGGGAGAAAAUAAUAUACAUAAAAAAUUAUAUAAAAAUUUAUUUAAAUACUUCAUAAUAUUCUUAAUAACAUUGCCAAAAAUUAGCUUUGAAUUCUAUGUAUAUCUAUGCUAAAAUAUUAGAUUUGUGAUACAAUUCGGAUGUUUUAGGAACAUCCCUACUCAUGACAUUGUAACAAACAUGAUCUAUUCCAAAAUAAAAUAAGUAGACCCUACCUAAUCUAAUAUGAUCUAAUCUAAAGGGAGUUACUAAAACAAGUUUGUUAAAGCUGGUAACAUAGAUUAGACUAUCUUCAUACGAAUGGGUUUUAAAACCUAAAUUGGUGUCUUAGACCAACUCGUCCGUGAAACCACGACCUCACCUAUGUUAUAGGUUGCCUAACCCAUUUAUCCCAAAGGCAAAGUAAAAUUAUAUUUAACCUACCUACCCCAUAUUACCCACAAUUGUUAUCUCAACUCAGAUAAUGGCAUCUAACACCAAAACCGAUGGUCCCUAAAUCAGACUCAAGAAGAAGGUUAACUUCGACAAGGAAGGAUAUUAGUAGAAACGGAUCUUCAGAUGAAUCAAGAUCCACCACAUGGAAUAAAAAAAUCUAUCGUACCAAACUUUCUUCUGCCCCCAAAUCUCCCCUACACUCACCUAAUGGCCAAAUUCUGAUGUAUCGUUGUUUUCUAUGCCCCACCUGUUAAUGGCAUAAAUUUUUUUAAAGAAAAUAUAUACUAAUUAGAAGUUCCAUUUAAAAAUAUAUAUAAAUAUAUAUACUAGAAUUUCAUAAAAAUAAAGUCAGCUUGAUAUGCUCAACUAAAUGGUAUUCAUAAAUAGAAUAAUAGAAUCUAAUGAGAGUCACCUGACAAGUUAACACUAGUGAAAUAAACUAGAUCCUACUUCUAUAAACCUUGUUCUCCCCUCAUGCACUUAAACCUAAAUUUAGUGCAUUAGACCAACUCGACCAAGGGCAAAAGAGUUAACCCAACCUUAGAGUCAUGAUGGAUUGUGUAAUCUGUCUAUCCCCACCUAACAUCAAACAAGAUUUUGACCUACAUCGUAUCCCCACCUAACAUCAAACAAGAUUUUGACCUACAUCGUAUAGUCUAUUUCCUCCAUAUCUAUCUUAACCAUACUUCCUCAACCCUGAUGAUAUAUACUAACCUCAAAUUAAUGAGACCAAGACCAGGGAAGAAAAGAUCGACAUCGACAAGGAAGGAUAUAACAGUCAAAGCGAAUCUCGAGAUGAAUCAGGACUUAAACAUUUUGGAUAAAGUCUUUUCCUUGCCAUAAUAUUUCUUACCUCAACCUGUUCGGUUUAUAUCCCACAUAAAUAGUAGCUGGAUACCUAUGCUCUCCCAAUCUUCCACUACCUCCACCACCACCACCAGCUCCACCAAGCUACAUAAACAUAUAUAUAUAUAUACUACUAUUUGUAAGUGUUGGGGGCCUUCGUCUUCCGAAGGUCCUCAAAAACACGAUUAACAAUGUUUCCCAAGUAUAACAUAUGUACAAGAACCUUUGAACUCGGAAUGAAGUUGUACACAAUAUGAAAAGCAUGGUCGGGGCGAAGGUUGAAUCAGUUCCGAAGCUACACGCAGGGAAGCUUCGGCUCAGCAGCAGAAAACGGAACCGACUUAAAAAGGAAAAGGCUUUCUAGUCCUCGAUAGAUUGUCCUUAAGUCCAUAGUAAACAUAAAGGGCAUGAAUGUAAUUUUACACAGACUGCGCCCUAUGCCUAUAAAUAGAUGAACAGUACCCCCGUACUGUUCACGGUGACUUGUAUUCUCUCGUGCGUCACACUUGGACUUUUGCCUUCUGUCAAUCCGAAGGUACAAAUGUAAUUCAAUAUUGUUCAUGUUUAUUCAUGAUGAUAUAAUAAAGAUAUAUAAAUGAUGUCCUAUGGUUAUUCAUGUUAUUUCUCAUGUUUCAUAUGCUUCUACUUCCAUUAAUAUACACUGUGAUGAUGAAGGUACGUCCUUCAUAACCUUCAUCCGAAGAUCAUUAUAUCCUAAGGAAAAUAAUGCUUUGAAGGACGAAGGACUUCAACCUCUAACGUUUUGUGUUGCCUUGUUCUUAACUCAUAGCAUUUGAGAACAAGUCCCCAACAUUGGCGCCCACCGCCGGUGAACUUAAUCGACCACCUUCGGCAAGCCGCGACCUUCGUCAUGCCGCCAAAGAAAACUUCUUCAGAGCUAGGGGCUGCACUGCAGCCACUGGACGUCAACCAGGACACACUAUGCGAAGCUCGAACUCAAAAGAGGAAGGCUACAAGUCCAACACCCCAGGAGGAGGAGCUGGAUCAGGAGAUAAGGGAUCUUAAAGCUAUCCAUCAAUAGGUCGAAAGGAAGAGAGAAAAUGAUUUGUCUUUCCGAUCUACAGAAGAAGAUCGAUGAAGCUGCUGAAGAAAUACAUCAUCUUACUCAAGAUGACCAGGACCGAAGACCUCCACAAAGAGAGCUUCGUCAGGACAAUUCCUACAAUGAUGAUGAUUGGUAUGAUGAUUUCCAUCAUGGAAAUUUUGCUUUUGAUGAUGCUUCUUCUCUAUCAGCAGAACUGCAGGCUACCCCAUGGCCCCCAUCAUACAAGCCACCUUAGCUCCCCAUGUAUGAUGGGCACUCAGAUCCGAAGCAGUUUCUGAUGAGCUAUGAAGAAACUAUAUCUUCGUAUGGGGGCAAUACCGCAGUCAUGGCGAACUCUUUCGUCAUGGUAGUCCGAAGUGUGGCCCAGACAUUGUACUUUUCUCUCUGGCCAGGGACAAUCAUGUCAUGGCAGAAGCUUAAGGACAUGCUAGUCACCAGUUUUCAAGGGUUUCAGACGAAGCCAGUCACUGCUCAGGCCUUGUUCCAAUGCACUCAAGACCAUGAGGAGUACCUUCAGGCAUAUGUCCGAAGGUUCUUGCACCUAAGAGCACAAGCGCCUACGGUGCCUAAUGAAAUCGUCAUUGAGGCCAUGAUCAAAGGUCUUCGGCCAGGGCCUAUGGCUCAAUACUUCGCCAGGAAACCCCCCCAGACUCUGGAGAAGCUGCUUCAAAAAAUGGAUAAGUACAUUCAGGCUGACAAUGACUUCUGCCAAAGAAGGGAGGAAGCUUACAGAUUUUCUGAGAUGACUAGGGGCUUCAGAGGAAGAAUUCACCCUAGGCAUGUCAGAUCAAUCCACAGCUCCAGUCAGAACGAUGACAAAGGAGGCUAGUUUCAGAGGCCACAGCACAGCUCAGAGUCUUCAGGAUAGCAGCAAAGCUCCUUCAGGCCACCAGCUCCAAAGGGCCGAGGCGGCAGGGGCUUCGAAGGAAGAUAUGGGGAUCCGCCCAGGGAAAUCUAUUGCUUAUUCUGUGGUGAAGACAAGGGCCACACUACAAGAACGUGUCAGAUCACCAUUCAGAAGCAAAAAGAGAUUGCCGAAGCAGAAGCCCGGUAGAAUCAGCCAAAGCAGGUCUUACAUACUGCUUCGUGCCUCUCUCCCUACAUACCAGAAUAUGUGGGCAAUCAACCUUCAGCUUCUGUUGCUUCAGCAAGCCAUUCACAAGCUUCUUGGCCUCAUCUCCCACCGCCACCACCAUUGUAACCUACUUAUACCCGAAGCCAGCAGCCAAAAGGGCUCCAACACCCACAACAGCAACGUAACUUCAGGGAGGAGUCCGAAGCUCGUACGGUCAACAACACUGUACCAGAAUCAAAGCACAUAUACUGAACAAUAUCCUACUUCUGAAAUACUUUUACUUUUUACGUCAUUUUGCUUUCUUUAUGAGGAACAAGCAAUGAAAACUUAGUUUUAAUUUCUUGUAAUGAUUCUGCCUGUACCAGAAUGAAAUAUAUCUUCUUCACAGAUUUAUGAAGCUCAAAAGUCGUUCCUAAGGGAGCGCAGCGUAAGUUUUUUGCUCAAAAGUGGUUCCUAAGGGAAUGCAGAGUCAAAAUUGAUGAAGCUACAAAAAGUCGUUCCUAAGGUAGCGUAGUGUAAGUUUUCUGCUCAAAAGUCGUUCCAAAGGGAAUGCAGAGCCAAAUACCGCCGAAAUAUAAGGCAGAGAAGUUUAAAAGUCGUUCCUAAGGGGAUGCAGAACUUAUACCAUCAAAAUAGAAGGCGAAGAAGUUCAAAAGUCGUUCCUAAGGGGAUGCAGAACUUAUACCACCGAAAUAGAAGGUGAAGAAGCUCAAAAGUCAUUCCUAAGGGGAUGCAGAGCUUAGACUCAAAAGACGUUCCUAAGGGGAUGCAGAGUUUUGUGUAUUCCAGUGUGGGCGCGUGGGUAUGUAUCUUUGGCAUCCUCAUCAUUUUGCAUCAUAUCAUCACAUCAUUUUGCAUAACAUUACAUCAUACAUCAUACUGCAUUAACGACACAAGAAUCGAAUACGAAGACAAUCUUCGGCAAAUACUUCGUCAAACUGAAAAUGUGCUAAGGCACGAAGUAAGCUUCAGGAAAUACAGUUUUAUCAGACUUGCCACAAGAAGGGAUCUCUUUCUUUACGAAGCAUGAAAAGAAGGGAAGGUGUUUUUUCGCCGAAGGCUCAAAAACGGUAUGUGUAAAUUUCAUGCAUCGCAAAGAAAUAAGUUACAAUAAUUUACAUAUUCGAUUCAAUGUUACAUACAUCAAAUGUUACAUAGUUUUGUUACAAUAGAAGAUUAAUGUUCAUUCCAUUGUCCCAUACAUCAAGCAUUUCAAAAUAUUAUUAUAAUAAAACCUAUUCUUCUCUAAGGACUUUUUCCGCAACUUCAUUCAAAAGUUUAUCGACGACUUCGUCAAUAAUGGAGUUUGCCAUGCUUAUAAUAUCCAGUGCCUCCUUCAUUUCUAGAUCAGCUAGGGGAUCGUACGGUUCCGAUGGCGGGGAUAGUUCAGCUGAAGGAGGUAAAUUGAUUAGUUCGAAGCCACAAAACAAGCACCAAAGUUAAAAAACCAAAAAAUAAUACCUAUACGCCUUUUGCGUUCUGCAGCCUCUUCAGCUCGCUUUGCUUCUGCUCGGGCAUCGUGGGUGUCUUUUUCAUUCUUUUUUUAUAAUCUCGUGGGCCAGCUCUCGGCCACCGUUCACCUAGACAUCAUUAUAAAACUUCCCGCCUAUUAAAGUUGCUUCGGCUGAAGGAUCCUUCGUAUUGUCUAUGGAGAAGGUCGCUUCAGCCUGGGCUUUAGCCUUUACGUGAUCACAUCCGGCCUUCUCCAGAAUAGCUAAGAUUCCCCAAGCGCUGAAAAACGCACAAAUAUACCCGUGAUCAUUCAAGAUUUCCUCGAAGGCUUCGGCUUCUCCACUUAUCCAUUCAAUAACGCCUCCAGGGUCGCCUCAGAUAAAAUUUUCUUCAGAAGAAUAAGCACCCAAUUUGGAGAAGCUAGUUUUAAUUUCUUCACACUAUCAAAGGAUUUUUCAAAACACUUCUCCUUGGAUUCGCGAAGUUUUGUAACAUUUUUCUCUAAUUUAUUCUUCCAAUAUUCGCUAAUCUCUUGGUUAGCCUGUGCGAGCGCGUAGUUCUCCUUAGCUUCGGCCAGUUGUCUCCGAAGGUCUUCAAUCUCGGUUUUCUAGGCUUCAGCCUGAGCAUGGUAAUUAGCUUCGACUUCCUUUACUUUGUUCACCAAUUGAUAUAGCUGAGGUGCCCGAUCUUUUGGCGAGUAGAGAUAAUUCCGAUUUGGCGGAAGAUGACCCUUGCGAUCCAACUACGACGAGCAAGCCCGAGGCGCCAAUGCAAUCGCUGAACCAACUCCCUGUGGUUACCGACCUUGCUGAUGCGAGAUCGGCCUGAUCACGAAGAUCGUUUCCUGUGCGCAAUCGAAGAACGAACAAGAAAAAGAUGCGAGCAAUCUAAUCUAUUACUCGAGGGUGGAGUUCUGAAUACACGAAGACAGCGCAGAUUUGUGCGUGUUCGAGAGUAGCUAAAGCUAACGUAAAACAAAACUCGCAGAACGAAGGAGGCGCAGCUCCUGGAUAAAUAGAGAGGGGGCGCAGCCCCUAGGGGUGGCCAACCCUAGGUCGUCCACUAUGGGCCGCAGUUGGGCUGGUCGUCUAUUCUUCUGGGCCCUUAUUCUUCAGUAGCAUGACGAAGUUAAGAUCUCUGGCACAGGCCCGAGUGAUUGGCCCAGCUAAUGAAGGAAGUGGCGCAUGAUGUGGAGGUGCUGCUGGUGUAGUCGUACUCAUAGUGAUGUCCUCAUCAUCCUCCCCUUCUUGAAGUGAAGUCGUCCUCGACGACAACUCCUCAUCCUCGGCCAUAUAUGGUUUCAAAUCUGCAACAUUAAAACUAGUGGAAACACCAAAUUCCAUAGGCAGGUCAAGGAUAUAAGCAUUAUCAUUAAUCUUUGUUAGCACCUUAAAAAGACCAGCAGCACGAGGCAUUAAUUUAGAACGGCGCAAAGUAGGAAACCAAUCAUUUCUCAAGUGCAACCAAACCAUAUCACCUGGCUCAAAAGUAACAUGUUUUCUUCCUUUACUACAAGCAACCUGAUUUUUUGCAUUAGUAGCAGCAAUGUUCUGUUUCGUUUGUUCAUGUAUGGUAAUCAUUUGUUCAACAUGUGCAGCAGCAUCUACAUGUGGGGCGUUCGCAGCAUUAAGUGAAAUCAAAUCAAUAGGUGGCCUAGGGAUGUAACUAUAAACAAUCUGGAAAGGGCACAUCUUUGUAGAAGAAUGCGUGGCAUGAUUGUAAGCAAAUUCAACAUGAGGCAAGCAAUCCUCCCAACGUCUCAAAUUCUUGUCUAAAACAGCCCUAAGCAUGGUAGAUAAAGUUCUAUUUACUACCUCAGUUUGUCCAUCAGUCUGAGGGUGACAAGUAGUGCUAAACAACAAUUUAGUUCCCAAUUUAUUCCAAAGAGAUCUCCAAAAAUGGCUUAGAAACUUAGCAUCGCGAUCAGAGACUAUUGUUUUUGGAAUACCAUGUAAACGAAUAAUUUCUCUAAAGAACAAUUCAGCAACAAUGCUAGCAUCAUCAGUUUUAUGACAAGGUAUAAAGUGAGCCAUUUUAGAGAAUCUAUCAACAACCACAAAAAUACUAUCCCUCCCCUUCUUAGUUCUAGGCAAGCCCAAAACAAAGUCCAUAGAAAUAUCAAGCCAAGGAGAAGAAGGGACGGGCAAAGGCAUAUACAAACCAUGGUUGUUCAACCGUGACUUAGCUUUCUGACAAGUAGUGCAGCGUGCAACAAGGUGCUCAACAUCAGCGCGCAUCCGAGGCCAAAAGAAGUGGGCAGCCAACACCUCAUGCGUUUUGUAGACGCCAAAAUGCCCCAUGAGACCGCCUCCAUGCGCUUCCUGUAACAACAAAAGACGAACCGAGCUAGCUGGAACACACAACUUGUUAGCGCGAAACAGGAACCCAUCCUGUAUGUGAAAUUUGCCCCAUGGUAUCCCAUUAAUACAAUGGCCGAAAGCAUCUUUAAAAUCAGCAUCGUCAACAUAUUGAUCCUUCACAGUGUGCAAACCAAAGAUUUUAAAAUCUAACUAUGACAGCAUGGUAUAGCGACGAGACAAAGCAUCAGCAAUAACAUUGUCCUUCCCGUUCUUGUGUUUAAUAAUGUAAGGAAAGGACUCAAUGAAUUCGACCCAUUUAGCAUGACGACGGUUCAGAUUUAUUUGGGUACGAAUAUGUUUUAAAGCCUCAUGAUCAGAAUGAAUUAUGAACUCACGAUGCCAAAGAUAGUGCUGCCAUGUAUACAAAGUGCGCACUAAAGUGUAAAGCUCCUUAUCAUAAGUAGAAUAUUUCAGACUAGCACCGCUUAAUUUUUCACUAAAAUAAGCAACUGGUUUUCCUUCUUAUAACAAAAUAGCACCUAGCCCAAUACCGCUAGCAUCGCAUUCAAGCUCAAAAACUUUAUUAAAAUCAGGCAAUUGCAAGAGGGGAGCUUGGGUUAACUUAUCUUUCAAAGUGUUGAACGCUACCUCCUGCGAAUCACUCCAAGCAAAUGGCACAUCUUUCUUUGUAAGCUCAUGUAGAGGCGCUGCAAUGGAGCUAAAAUCACGAACAAAUCUGCGGUAGAAACCGGCAAGUCCAAGAAAGCUCCGAAUUUGUGUGACGGUCGUCGGUGUAGGCCACUCCCGAAUGGCAGCAAUCUUGCUGCUAUCCACCUCAAUGCCCUGCGGAGUAACCACAUAACCAAGAAACGAGACACGUUGCGUGCAAAAUGUGCACUUUUCCAUGUUACCAAACAAGCGAGCAGCACGCAAAGCAUCAAAAACAGCACACAAAUGUUCUAAAUGCUCCUCUAUAGACUUGCUGUAAAUAAGGAUAUCAUCGAAAUAAACAACAACAAACAAACCUAUGAAGGCCCAUAGAACUUCGUUCAUUAAACGCAUAAAGGUGCUGGGAGCAUUAGUCAAUCCAAAUGGCAUAACCAACCAUUCAUAUAAACCAAUCAAAACUAUUUUUGUAAAUAUUUGGUAUGCCUGAAUGUUUGUUCUUGUGAUACAUGUCUGAUUUGGAUUUUUGAUUGAGUGUGAUGAGUUGUGGAGUAAUGUCCACAAAUACAUCUGCAUAUAAAUAUAAGCAUAAAAAUAAAUGAACAAAAUUCAUAAGACAACCAAACAACCUAGAUUAUCCUCCAUUAAAGUGUAUCUAUUUUAGAUAGAAUCCUUUAAGUUGAAAAAAAUAUUCUAUCUUAUCCUAAUAGGUUCAUCUUAUGUUAAAAAAAUAUCUUAUCCUCAUAAAUUGUUUAUAAGAUAAACUAGACCAACUAAGAAUACCCCACUAGAAAAUAACAAGCCUAAUAGAUCCAUCUUAUGUUAACAGAUUCUCUCUUAUCUUAAUAGAUUCAUCUUAUCUUGAAGGAUUCACAUUAUCCAAAUCACUUGACUUAUCCCACCAUGAUCAUGACCUAACCCAAAUUAAUUGGAUCUUGUCUAGUCGAGGCUAGUCAUACCUAGAUCUGAUCUAAUGUGGCAGAUUAAUCUAACCUAAUGAAGGCUAACCUCAAGUUGAGCUAAUCUAAUGUAAGUUGCUUAACAGGAAAGUUUACACUGAUAAAAUGGAUUAGAUUCUACUCCUAUAAAAUAUGUUUAACUUAAUUCACUCCGCACUAAAUUAAGAACGAGAGACCAACUCGGCCUUAUGCAACUGCCUUACCCAUCUGAUGGUUGCAUAACCCCUCUGUUUUAACCUAACAGAGAUUCCGACUUACCUACACCAUAUAAUCCAUCCUAUCUCAAAAGAUUCUAACAUAAUCUAAUGAUAUAUAUCCUACCCUGGUAGAUCUAUCUAACUUAAACUAGUCUAAUCUAGUUAUAUCCAAUCUAAAGGGAGUUACUUAAAUAAGUUAGUUAAUACCGGUAACAUAUAUUAGACCAUAUUCCUAUAAAUGGGGUUUAAACCUAAAUUGGUGUCUUAGACCAACUUGUCCGUGAAACCACGACCCAGCCUAUGUUAUAGGUUACCCAACCCAUUUAUCCCAAAAGCAAGUAAAACUCUGUUUAACCUACCUACCCCAUGUACCUGCAAUUGUUAUCCUAGCUCGGAUAAUGGCAUCUAACACUGCAACCGAUGGUCCCUAAAUUAGACCCAAGAAGAAGGUUAACUUCGACAAUGAAGAAUACGAGUACAAACAAAUCUUUCGAUGAAUCAAGAUCCACCACUCGAAAUAAAAGUCUCCCUUACUUAAUUUUCUCUUGCCCCAAAUCUUCUCUACACUCACCAAAUAGCUACAACAUGAUGUACCCUUGUUUUCCGUGCCACACCUGUUAAUGGCAUGAAAAUUUUAGGUAUAAAAAAUAUACUAAUUGGAAGUUCCACUUAGAAAAAAAAUAUACUGGAAUUUCUUAAAGAUAAAGUCAGCCUGAUAUGCUUAACUAAAUGGUAUUCUUAAAUAGGAUUAUAUAAUCUAAUGUGAUCUAAUCUAAUGUAGUCUACUUAAACAGAUCAGUGAUAUUGGUAGAAGAGAUUAGACCCUACUAGCCAAAUGGUAACUUAACCUAGUACAUUAGACCAACUCAACCAUGAGUAGAAGAGCUAUCCCAACCAAUAGAGUCAUGAUGGAUUGCAUAAUAUGUCUGUCCCCACCUAACAUCAAACAAACUUUUGAUUCAUCUUGUAGUCUAUCUCACCCAUUUCUAUCUUAACCAUACUCUGCUAACUCCAAUGAUAUACACUAACCUCGAAUCAAUGAGACCAAGACUGGAGAAGAAGAGAUCGACAAGGAAGGAUAAACACCAACUCAAGUCUUCAAAGACCAAGCUGGAUCAUCAGAUGAAUCGAGACCCUCUAUGCAUGAUGGAGUCUUCCCUUGCCAAAAUCUUCCUUUCUUGUACUUAUCUUGAUCUUUCUUACCCCAACUUUCUUACCAACAGCUAAAACAUGAUUAUAAGCUACCCAUGCUUUCCUAGUCACCUAAAAGCAAUUGAAAAACUAGAUACAAACCAAUCCUUUUGUAUCCCUUUCUUACAAAUCUCGAGGAUGAGAUUUCUGUUAAGGGGGUAGGAUUUUUAAAACCCAAAAUUGGUCCAAGAAAAAAUGAAUGAUGAUAAAGUAAAUGAAUAAAUAUAUUUGAGGAUUUUGGAACCUUGGGAAAUUUAUUUGGACCCUUCUAUCUUCAUAGCCAAUUAAUGGAGUAAUAUUAGUCGAUUAACCCAUAAAAAAUAGGAAUGUGCAUCCCAUGCUUAAGAUUAUGUUGGGAUACAUUUUGUUCGACCUCAAAUUAUAAAUGAAAAUAUAAAAUAGAUGUCGGGGACCAUAAUUAGGGUACCCUCAAGACGCCUAAUUCUCAGCUGGUAACCCCCAUCAGCAUAAAGCUGCAAAGGCCUGAUGGGUACGAUUAAGUCAGGGAUCAGUCCACACGAGUGACUCGAUCACGCUUCACCCGAGCCUAGCCUCGGCCGAGGGCAGCCAACCUCGAGAGACUUCCGUCUCGCCCGAGACCCCCCUUUUUACGGCGGACACAUCACCGGCUCGCCCGAGGCCUUGGCUUCGCUCAGAAGCAACCUUGACUAAAUCGCCACACCGACUGACCAAAUUGCAGGGGCAUUUAACGCAAAGGUGGCCUGACACCUUUAUCCUGACACGCGCCCCCCCGGCAGAGCCGAAGUGACCGCCGUCACUCCACCGCUCCUCUGACCAGUCUGACAGAAGGACAGCGCCGCCUGCGCCACUCCGACUGCGGUGCCACUCGACUGAGUGAGCCUGACAGGCAGUCAGGCCUUGCCAAAGGCGCCACGGCGAACUCCGCUCCGCCCGACCCCAGGGCUCGGACUCGGGCUAAGACCCGGAAGACGGCGAACUCCGCUCCGCCCGACCCCAGGGCUCGGACUCGGGCUAAGACCCGGAAGACGGCGAACUCCGCUCCGCCCGACCCCAGGGCUCGGACUCGGGCUAAGACCCGGAAGACGGCGAACUCCGCUCCGCCCGACCCCAGGGCUCGGACUCGGGCUAAGACCCGGAAGACGGCGAACUCCGCUCCGCCUGACCCCAGGGCUCGGACUCUGGCUAAGACCCGGAAGACGACGAAACUCCGCCUCGCCCGACCCCAGGGCUCGGACUCCGCCCUGGCCUCGGCCGAACGACUUCCGCCUCGCACGACCCCAUGGCUCGGGCUCGGCCUCGGCAACAGAGGACAGACUCAACCUCGGCUUCGGAGGAGCCCCCACGUCACCCUGCCUAGGGCACAGACCCGCCACGUCAACAUGGAGCGCCAUCAUCAUCCUACCCCGAAUCGACUCGGGUCACGGAGAACAAGACCGGCGUCCCAUCCGGCCAGCUCCGCCGGAUGGGCAAUGAUGGCGCUCCACCAGCUCUGUGACGACGGCGACCCCCAGCUCUCUUACGGAAGCAGGACGACGUCAGCAGGGACUCGACCGCUCCAACAGCUGUCCCUCCGCCAAGCUCCGUCGCACCUCCGACAGCCACGACAUCACGCCAGCAAGGUGCCAAGAUCUCUCCGGCUGCCACAUUGGCAUGUACCUAGGGCGCUAGCUCUCUCUCCGCUAGACACGUAGCACUCUGCUACACCCCCCAUUGUACACCUGGAUCCUCUCCUUACGACUAUAAAAGGGAGGACCAGGGCCUUCUUAGAGAAGGUUGGCCGCGCGGGACCGAGGACGGGACAGGCGCUCUCUUGGGGCCGCUCGCUUCCCUCACCCGCGUGGACGCUUGUAACCCCCCUACUGCAAGCGCACCUGACCUGGGCGCGGGACGAACACGAAGGCCGCGGGACUUCCACCUCCCUCACGCUCGACUCCGGCCACCUCGCCUCUCCCCCCUUCGCGCUCGCCCACGCGCUCGACCCAUCUGGGCUGGGGCACGCAGCGCACUCACUCGUCGGCUUAGGGACCCCCCUGUCUCGAAACGCCGACAGUUGGCGCGCCAGGUAGGGGCCUGCUGCGUGCUGACGAACAGCUCCCCGUCAAGCUCCAGAUGGGCAGUCUCCAGCAACCUCUCCGGCCCGGAACGAUGCUUCGUUUCGGGACUCUUGAGUUCAUGUCCUUCGACGGCAGCUACGACAUGAUACUUCUUCCACCGCCGCGCGACGACGACAAUGGCGACCGACAACCCGCCCGCCGGCGGCGGGAUCGACGACAUCUUCCCCGCGUGGUGGAAGAGCAACAUUCGGGCUCGCUCCGUCCUCUCCCCCGCCAACGGAGGAGGAGGCGGGGCCAUCAAGGCCAGGCGGGAGGCCUCGCUUCGUUGGCCGUCGAGCGAAUCGACGCCCCCGACGCCCCGACGGAAGGCACGCCGGACGUCGACCUCGCGUUCAAGACGGAGGCAAGCGCCGUCCCCCCGCGACACGCUGACCCCGAACAAGAAGACGACGCCAGCGCGCUCGCGGAAAGCCUGCAGGACGUCGCCCUCGUACCUGAGAUGACGGUGCAACCAGUCCCCGAUGUGACUACGUCGCUCCUCGUCGACCAAAAGGUACCGACUAACUCCCAUCUUGCGUCAUUUCGACUCGGCCUCAACCCGCCAAACGACCUCGUUUUGGCGGGCGCUCUCAUUGAGGCGAGUGCAACCCCACUGGGGUUUCAUAUGCGGUCGCCUUGGGACCGGCUGACGGACGUCUCGACCUACGGGCCCUCUGGGUCCGAGGAAGAUGACGAUCCCAGCAUCUGUUGGGAUUUCUCCGGACUUGGCAACCCCAGUGCCAUGCGGGACUUCAUGACCGCAUGUGACUACUGCCUAUCUGACUGUUCUGACGGAAGCCGCAGCCUUGGCGACGAGAGCUGCGGCCCAAGCCGCGAAUGUUUCCACAUCGAGCUAGGGGAUCCCUCCGAAGGCAACCAUCUCGGCAUGCCAGAGGACGGUGAUCUUCCUAGGCCGGUGCCUCGCGCCGACAUCCCACGGGAGCUAGCUAUGGUCCCCGCUCCGGCGGGGGGUUACGACCCACAACUCGAGCAAGUCCGCGAGGCGCAGGCCAGGCUCAACGAGGGAACAGGAGCGCUUGAGCCGAUCCGUCGGGACGUCGGGCAGGCAUGGGCGGGCCAACCCUUGGCCGGAGAAAUACGUCACCUGCCCCAAGGUCUCCAGCACCGCGUCGCCAACGAUGCCAGGGUCAGGCCGCCGCCCGCAUCCAGCGGGGUUGGUCAGAACCUGGCAGCCGCAGCGAUGCUCCUCCGCGCGAUGCCAGAGCCAUCAACCACCGAGGGUCGGCGAAUCCAGGGAGAGCUCAAGAAUCUCCUGGAAGGCGCUGCGGCCCGACGGGCCGAGAGCACUGCCUCCCGAAGGCAAGGAUAUCCCUCGGAACCUCAUGCCGCGACUUCCCGAUUCAUGCGGGAAGCCUCGGAAUACACUGGGCGCACGCGCAGCACCGCGCCUGCGGCCCCGGGCCACCUCGGCAACGAGCACCAUCGGCGCGACCGACGGGCCCACCUCGACGAAAGGGUGCGCCGAGGCUACCACCCCAGGCGUGGGGGGCGCUACGACAGCGGGGAGGAUCGGAGUCCCUCGCCCGAACCACCCGGUCCGCAGGCCUUCAGUCGGGCCAUCCGACGGGCGCCAUUCCCGACCCGGUUCCGACCCCCGACUACUAUCACGAAGUACUCGGGGGAAACGAGACCGGAACUGUGGCUCGCGGACUACCGCCUUGCCUGCCAACUGGGUGGGACGGACGACGACAACCUCAUCAUCCGUAACCUCCCCCUGUUCCUCUCCGACACUGCUCGCGCCUGGUUGGAGCACCUGCCUCCGGGGCAGAUCUCCAACUGGGACGACUUGGUCCAAGCCUUCGCUGGCAAUUUCCAGGGCACAUACGUGCGCCCCGGGAAUUCCUGGGACCUUCGAUGUUGCCGGCAACUGCCGGGGGAGUCGCUCCGGGACUACAUCCGGCGAUUCUCGAAGCAGCGCACCGAGCUGCCCAACAUCACCGACUCGGAUGUCAUCGGCGCGUUCCUCGCCGGCACCACAUGCCGCGACCUGGUGAGCAAGUUGGGUCGCAAGACCCCCACCAGGGCGAGCGAGCUGAUGGACAUUGCCACCAAGUUCGCCUCUGGCCAGGAGGCGGUUGAGGCUAUCUUCCGAAAGGACGAGCAGCCCCAGGGCCGCCCAUCGGAAGAGGCUCCCGAGGCGUCUGCUCCGCGCGGCGCCAAGAAGAAAGGCAAGAAGAAGUCGCAAUCGAAACGCGACGCCGCUGACGCGGACCUUGUCGCCGCCGCCGAGUACAAGAACCCUCGGAAGACCCCCGGAGGUGCAAACCUUUUCGACAAGAUGCUCAAGGAGCCGUGCCCCUAUCAUCAGGGGCCCGUCAAGCACACCCUCGAGGAGUGCGUUAUGCUUCGGCGUCACUUCCACAGGGCCGGGCCACCCGCUGAGGGUGGCAGGGCCCGCGACGACGACAAGAAUGAAGAUCACCCAGCAGGAGAGUUCCCCGAGGUCCGCGACUGCUUCAUGAUCUAUGGAGGGCAAGCGGCGAAUGCCUCGGCUCGGCACCGCAAGCAAGAGCGCCGGGAGGUCUGCUCGGUGAAGGUGGCGGCGCCAGUCUACCUAGACUGGUCCGACAAGCCCAUCACCUUCGACCAGGCCGACCACCCCGACCAUGUGCCGAGCCCGGGGAAAUACCCGCUCGUCGUCGACCCCGUUGUCGGCAAUGUCAGACUCACCAAGGUCCUGAUGGAUGGGGGCAGCUGCCUCAACAUUAUCUACGCCGAGACCCUCAAGCUCCUGCGCGUCGAUCUGUCCUCCGUCCGAGCAGGUGCUGCGCCCUUCCAUGGGAUCAUCCCUGGGAAGCGCGUCCAGCCCCUCGGGCGACUCGACCUCCCCGUCUGCUUCGGGACGCCCUCCAACUUCCGAAGGGAGACCCUGACGUUCGAGGUGGUCGGGUUCCGAGGAACCUACAACGCCGUACUAGGGAGGCCAUGCUACGCGAAGUUCAUGGUCGUCCCCAACUACACCUACCUGAAGCUCAAGAUGCCGGGCCCCAACGGGGUCAUCACCGUCGGCCCCACGUACAAACACGCGUUCGAAUGCGACGUGGAGUGCGUGGAGUACGCCGAGGCCCUCGCCGAGUCCGAGGCCCUCAUCGCCGACUUGGAGAACCUCUCCAAGGAGGUGCCAGACGUGAAGCGCCAUGCCGGCAACUUCGAGCCAGCGGAGACGGUUAAGGCCGUCCCUCUCGACCCCAGUGGCGACACCACCAAGCAGGUCCGGAUCGGUUCCGGGCUCGACCCCAAAUAGGAAGCAGUGCUCGUCGACUUUCUCCUCGCAAACGCCGACGUCUUUGCGUGGAGUCCCUCGGACAUGCCCGGCAUACCGAGGGAUGUCGCCGAGCACUCGCUGGACAUUCGGGCCGGAGCCCGACCCGUCAAGCAGCCUCUGCGCCGAUUCGACGAGGAAAAGCGCAGAGUGAUUGGCGAAGAGAUCCACAAGCUAAUGGCAGCAGGGUUCAUCAAAGAGGUAUUCCAUCCCGAAUGGCUUGCCAACCCUGUGCUUGUGAGGAAGAAAGGGGGGAAAUGGCGGAUGUGUGUAGACUACACUGGUCUCAACAAAGCAUGUCCGAAGGUUCCCUACCCUCUGCCUCGCAUCGACCAAAUCGUGGAUUCCACCGCUGGGUGCGAAACCCUGUCCUUCCUUGAUGCCUACUCAGGGUAUCACCAGAUCCGGAUGAAAGAGUCCGACCAGCUCGCGACUUCUUUCAUCACGCCGUUCGGCAUGUACUGCUAUGUCACCAUGCCGUUCGGUUUGAGGAAUGCGGGCGCGACGUACCAGCGGUGCAUGAACCAUGUGUUCGGCGAACACAUCGGUCGCACAGUCGAGGCCUACGUCGAUGACAUCGUAGUCAAGACAAGGAAGGCUUCUGACCUCCUCUCCGACCUUGAAGUGACAUUCCGAUGUCUCAAGGCGAAAGGAGUCAAGCUCAAUCCUGAGAAGUGUGUCUUCGGGGUGCCCCGAGGCAUGCUCCUAGGGUUCAUCGUCUCCGAGCGAGGCAUUGAAGCCAACCCGGAGAAGAUCGCGGCCAUCACCAGCAUGGGACCCAUCAAGGACUUAAAAGGUGUACAGAGGGUCAUGGGAUGCCUCGCGGCCCUGAGCCGCUUCAUCUCAUGCCUCGGCGAAAGAGGUCUGCCCCUGUACCGCCUCUUAAGAAAGGCCGAGUGUUUCGCUUGGACCCCUGAAGCCGAGGAAGCCCUCGGCAACCUGAAGGCGCUCCUUACAAAGGCGCCUGUCUUGGUGCCCCCGGCGGAUGGAGAAGCCCUCUUGGUCUACGUCGCCGCGACCACUCAGGUGGUUAGCGCCGCGAUUGUAGUCGAGAGGCAAGAGGAAGGGCAUGCAUUGCCCGUUCAGAGGCCGGUCUACUUCGUCAGCGAAGUGCUGUCCGAGACCAAGAUCCGCUACCCACAUGUUCAAAAGCUGCUGUAUGCUGUGAUCCUGACAAGGCGGGAGCCGCGACACUACUUCGAGUCUCAUCCGGUAACUGUGGUGUCAUCCUUCCCCCUGGGGGAGAUCAUCCAGUGCCGAGAGGCCUCGGGCGGGAUCGCAAAGUGAGUGGUGGAAAUCAUGGGCGAAACGAUCUCGUUCACCCCUCGGAAGGCCAUCAAGUCCCAGGUGUUGGCGGACUUCGUGGCCGAAUGGGUCGACACCCAGUUGCCAACGGCUCCGAUCCAACCGGAGCUCUGGACCAUGUUUUUCGACGGGUCACUGAUGAAGACAGGAGCCGGCGCGGGCCUGCUCUUCAUCUCGCCCCUCGGAAAGCACUUGCGCUACGUGCUGCACCUCCAUUUCCCGGCGUCCAACAAUGUGGCCGAGUACGAAGCUCUGGUCAAUGGGUUGCGGAUCACCAUCGAGCUAGGGGUCAGACGCCUCGACGCCCGCGGUGAUUCGCAGCUCAUCAUCGACUAAGUCAUGAAGAACUCCCACUGCCGCGACCCGAAGAUGGAGGCCUACUGCGACGAGGUUCGGCGCCUGGAAGACAAGUUCUUCGGGCUCGAGCUCAACCACAUCGAUCGGCGCUACAACGAAACCGCAGACGAGCUGGCUAAAAUAGCCUCUGGGCGAACGACGGUCCCCCCGGACGUCUUCUCCCGGGAUCUACACCAACCCUCCGUCAAGAUCGGCGACGCGCCCGAGCCCGAGGUACCCUCGGCUCAGCCCGAGGCACCCUCGGCACAGCCCGAGGUACCCUCGGCCCCCGAGGGUGAGGCACUGGACGUCGAGGAAGAGCAGAGCGGGGCCACGCCAGAUCGGGAUUGGCAGGCCCCGUACCUGCAAUAUCUCCGUCGAGGAGAGCUACCCCUCGACCAAGUCGAGGCUCGGCGGGUAGCACGACGCGCCAAGUCAUUCGUCUUGCUGGGCGAUGAAGAGGAGCUCUACCAUCGCAACCCCUCGGGCAUCCUCCAGCGAUGCAUCUCCAUCGCCGAAGGUCGGGAAUUGCUGCAAGAAAUACACUCGGGGGCUUGCGGCCACCACGCAGCGCCCCGAGCCCUUGUCGGGAAUGCUUUCCGGCAAGGCUUCUACUGGCCAACGGCGGUGGCUGACGCCACUAGAAUUGUCCGCACCUGCGAAGGGUGCCAAUUCUAUGCGAAGCGGACCCACCUGCCCGCUCAGGCUCUGCAGACAAUACCCAUCACCUGGCCCUUCGCUGUAUGGGGUCUGGACCUCGUCGGUCCCUUGCAGAAGGCGCCCGGGGGCUACACGCACCUGCUGGUCGCCAUCGACAAAUUCUCCAAGUGGAUCGAGGUCCGACCUCUGAACAGCAUCAGGUCCAAGCAGGCGGUGGCGUUCUUCACCAACAUCAUCCAUCGCUUCGGGGUCCCAAACUCCAUCAUCACCGACAACGGCACCCAGUUCACCGGCAAAAAAUUCUUGGAUUUUUGCGAGGAUCACCAUAUCCGGGUGGACUGGGCCGCCGUGGCUCAUCCCAUGUCGAAUGGGCAAGUAGAGCGUGCCAACGGCAUGAUUCUACAAGGGCUCAAGCCUCGGAUCUACAACGACCUCAACAAGUUCGGCAAGCGAUGGAUGAAGGAACUCCCAUCGGUGGUCUGGAGCCUAAGGACGACGCCGAGUCGUGCCACGGGUUUCACGCCGUUUUUCCUGGUCUACGGGGCUGAAGCCAUCUUGCCCACUGACCUGGAAUACGGCUCCCCGAGGACGAGGGCCUACACCGAUCAAAGCAACCAAGCUAGCCGAGAGGAAUCGCUGGACCAGCUGGAGGAGGCUCGGGACAGGGCCUUACUACACUCGGCGUGGUACCAGCAGUCCCUGCGACGCUACCACGCCCGAGGGGUCCGGUCCCGAGAACUCCAGGUGGGCGAUCUGGUGCUUCGGCUGCGGCAAGACGCCCGAGGGAGGCACAAGCUCACGCCCCCCUGGGAAGGGCCAUUCGUCAUCGCCAAAGUUCUGAAGCCCGGAACAUACAAGCUGGCCAACAAUCAAGGCGAGAUCUACGGCAACGCUUGGAACAUCAAACAGCUACGUCGCUUCUACCCUUAAGAUGUUUUCAAGUUGUUCAUAUACCUCGCACCUACGCAAAGUUUAGUCGUCAAGGAAGGGUCGGCCUAGCCUCGGCAAAGCCCGACCCUCCCUCGGGGGCUAAAAGGGGGGAGACCCCCUCUGCGUCGAAUUUUUCCUCGAAAAAGGAUCUCUUUCUAGCAGGAUUUCUUUCGUGCUUCUUGACUACUUCGGAAAGCGGAUCCUGGAAACGACGGAGUACACGUAAGCAGCCAAGGCUGACCGAGCCGAGGGACUCCUACGCCUCCGGAAUACGGAUACCUCACUCAUCACCUUCUGCGAUAAGUAACUCGCGCUCGGAUAAAGCGACUCCGUGGACCGAACAAGUCUUCACGUUCGGAAGCUCUCCUGCCGAAGCAGUCCUUCAAGCUUUCUCGACUAAGUCGGGGACAGGGCCUCAUGAACGGGUGAAAGUACGCGUAAACGGCAAGGCCGACCGAGCCGAGGGAUUCCCACGCCUCUGGGAUACGGAUACCUCACUCGUCCCUUCCGCGAGAAGCAACUCUCGCUCACACAAACAUCCCUGUUACCGACAGAGUCCAGAUGCUCGAAACAAGAGGAAAAAAGACGCAGCUUCGCAAGCGCGGCGAGGGUGUGUUUUUUCCGGCCUCGGCGGCCGCAGAAGGCACACGCUACAAGACGAUCUGAUCCUGCAGGCUCGGGUCUUCACGCCGAGGGGAGCCAUAGCACCCUCGGCAUCGACGACGUCUUCAGCAAAGUCCGACCCAGCCUUGGACGGCGACGCGGUCCAGGGACUCCUCCGGGAAUCCGGCCCGAGCAGGCGGCUCGGCCGGUUACCCCUGGGGCCUCGGUCAACCGGCUUCCAAGGGCGCCAGCCCGACCCGAGGCCUCGGCUGAUCGACUUUGGCGUCGGCUCCACUGACGGACAACACGACUAGGCUCCGGCCAACUAGGUUCCCAUUCUCGAGCCAACUCCGCCUCUGUUCAUACUGAUAUCGCUACCCCUGGCCUCGGCCCAUCGAAGGGCGGCCGAGGGGUCUCUUUAACUAAGCUAGAGGAGCCCCAGACAACAAGGCCGAUCGGGCCGAGGGAUUCCUACGCCUCCGGGAUACGGAUACCUCACUCGUCACCUUGACACGGGGCGACUCAUGCUUGGUAAAGCGGUUCAGAUAAUCAACAGGCGAGACUUAGUGCUCGAAAAUGAGGAAAAAACACGGCUCCGUGCCGAAAUUACAUACAUGUUCAGGCCCGACAGCCACAAUGAACAUAAAACACUGGCAUUUAAGGUGCCAUCACAAACGGAACUCCGGUUCCGUCCCCGAGGGUACAAGCGACCUUGGGCCUGCGGGGUGACGAACGCCGGGAGGCUCGCCAGCGACCUCUGCGGCGGCAGCCAUGGCCCCAGGUGAACGCGGCCACCGGAAGGCUCUUGUUCGCGGUCCCGCUCAAGGGACGCGAACAAGCCAUCAAAGCCAAAGAGCGGGCCGCCCCCAAGCGCUCUGGUAGAUCCUCGCUGCCGUCCUCGCCUCGAAUACAAGGGGGAAGGCGGAAUGUUGCAUCCUAGCUGGACAGCAACAGUUCGCCUUCCCCGGCGUGACUGGAGGACGACUCCGUCGUAGCGCGGGAGGACGAUUGCCACCACCAGAAGCUGGAAGAGGAGGUGGUUCGCCGACCCGCACACGAGGUAGAGCCCCGGCUCGCCUCGACCCCCGCCCCAGCAAGGAUGACGAACACACCCGAUGCUGAGGGCGGGAUCGCAGCCUGGUUUGCCUCUCCCCAUCCAGGAGCUGGAGGUCACCGUCUUGGGUGGCCACCGGCGGAAGGGAGCAACCAGGCUGCCUGAUGAAAAUCCUUGAAGCCGAACGAUGGCUGAGAGGUACCAACUCCCAUGGAGUUGCGUCCCUCCAACGAGGAGGCGGAAAGGCGGCGAAUACCCCCCAUCCGGGGGCUUGGAAGAUGGAAAGACACGACGCAUAAGCGAGGAAGAAGACAUGGUUGCCUUCCGAAAGGAGUCUCCCUCCUUUUAAAGGCAACUCUCCCUACGUGCGCCCCCAGACGCCGCGGGCUGAGUCUUCUCCAACACGCUCCAAGGCCCUCCCCUGCGACUCGGGGGCUGGGUCCCGCAUGUCAUGCAAACCGGCUCAGGGCAGAAGAAGCCAAACCGCCGCGCGUGGUGCGCACGACCGUCCAGCGGUUACAAGCGACCCCCCACUUUUGCCCAGACCAACGGGCGGAAGGGGCAGGCAGCCAUGCAUGCGGCAUGCAACCGCGCCAGGUGGACGCGGUUCUCCGACUUCUGACACGCCAGCUUGGAAGCCCAGGCCCACGCGUCAAGCAACCGGCGCGCCAGUUGCUGCAUGCAAGCAACCGCACCGCCACUUGUGCCACCGUCGCGCCUCUUCGGUUGUGGAGCCUAUGCCACGACUUGAGGCGACCCAGCGCACGACCCAACAGCGCCAGCCUGGCGCGUCGGUCAAAGCGACCGAAAGUGGGCCGGCAGUAAUGGCGGUGGCAGGCGGGCGGGCGCAGCAGUCACGUCGUCAGCCAGGCUCACAUCCCAUCCUGGGACAGCAAGAGAGCCUCCUCUCACGGCGUGAAGACGAUGCACCCGUGACCCGUUCCUCGAACGGAUCGCGCACGCGCAACGGCCGCCCCACCAACCACUCGCCCGUCGCAUUAACUCCGCGGCGGGACAGGCGACGCCUCUGACGGGAGGAGCGCGCGACGCUUCGCCUUCGCCGUAAUAGCCGCGUCAGAAAAGGUACGCCACGUCGUUCGAUUUCGUAUCCUUUUCCUUUUUCCUCUUUCUCUAUCUCUUGCAACAGGGACCGGGAAAGGGGGAUACCCCGAAAAGGAUCCUUCUCUACGAAGGAACCGGGCUCCGAGCCCCCCCUACUGAUCAGGGGUUCGAAGGCUGGCCCUCCGAAGGGUUCAACAGUCGCCUCAGAUCGCGUGGGCCCGACACCCACUACUGGUCAGGGGUUCGAAGGCCAGCCCCCCCGAAGGGUUCCAUGGCCGCCUCAGGCUACUCGGGCUCCGCGCCCAUUACUGAUCAGGGGUUCGAAGGCUGGCCCCCGAAGGGUUCACAGUCGCCUCAGACACCGAGUGAGGGAUGACCAGGGGUACGUUCGAUACAUAACCGAGGCUCGGGCUGCGCUCCCGAGGUACCCUAGGACAUUUCCGAGACCAGCGGGAACGAUCUUGUAACGGAAUCCCAUCGGAGGGAGGCAUCGAGCCCUCGGACCCCGUCGCCAGGGGACCAGGUCCGGCAAAUCACCCGCAGGUACUUUUGGGCGUGCCUCUGGGCCCCUAGCCGACCCCAACGAACGGGGCACGGACGUCCACUCGGAUUACCCGCUUGCAGCUCACCGGAGACACCGUGUUCGGCGCCCAUCGAGGGUAACAUGGCGCACUCCCCCCCUCCUCCUUGCGGAAAGGCGACGUAGGGGCGUAUGUAAAAAGUCGAGUCUGUCCCUGAUCGUCCUCUCGCCCUGUGCAGAGGCUCGGGGGCUGCUCUCGCAAAAACCGGCUCCGGCCAAACCGUUGACAGCGUCAACAUACCAGCCCGAGAGCUUGGGCCCCGACCGUGCACCUGGGCUACGGACAGUUCGCAUGAGGGAACGACCAGACCAGCCGAAGCAUUACGCAAGGUAUUAAGACCUCGAAGGAGUGUAACCACUCCUCCGAGGCCUCGGGGGCUACACCCGGCGGGUGCGCUCGCGCGCACCCACCGGAACAAAAUGCAACCGAGAAAGGCUGGUCCCCUUGCAAAAAAGUGCGACGAAAGCCUCCAAGCGAGUGCUAACACUCCCUUCGAGGCUCGGGGGCUACUGUCGGGGACCAUAAUUAGGGGUACCCUCAAGACGCCUAAUUCUCAGCUGGUAACCCCCAUCAGCAUAAAGCUGCAAAGGCCUGAUGGGUACGAUUAAGUCAGGGAUCAGUCCACACGAGUGACUCGAUCACGCUUCACCCGAGCCUAGCCUCGGCCGAGGGCAGCCUACCUCGAGAGACUUCCGUCUCGCCCGAGGCCCCCCUUUUUACGGCGGACACAUCACCGGCUCGCCCGAGGCCUUGGCUUCGCUCAGAAGCAACCUUGACUAAAUCGCCACACCGACUGACCAAAUUGCAGGGGCAUUUAACGCAAAGGUGGCAUGACACCUUUAUCCUGACACGCGCCCCCCCUGCAGAGCCGAAGUGACCGCCGUCACUCCACCGCUCCUCUGACCAGUCUGACAGAAGGACAGCGCCGCCUGCGCCACUCCGACUACGGUGCCACUCGACAGAGUGAGCCUGACAGGCAGUCAGGCCUUGCCAAAGGCGCCACGGCGAACUCCGCUCCGCCCGACCCCAGGGCUCGGACUCGGGCUAAGACCCGGAAGACGGCGAACUCCGCUCCGCCCGACCCCAGGGCUCGGACUCGGGCUAAGACCCGGAAGACGGCGAACUCCGCUCCGCCCGACCCCAGGGCUCGGACUCGGGCUAAGACCCGGAAGACGGCGAACUCCGCUCCGCCCGACCCCAGGGCUCGGACUCGGGCUAAGACCCGGAAGACGGCGAACUCCGCUCCGCCCGACCCCAGGGCUCGGACUCUGGCUAAGACCCGGAAGACGACGAAACUCCGCCUCGCCCGACCCCAGGGCUCGGACUCCGCCCUGGCCUCGGCCGAACGACUUCCGCCUCGCCCGACCCCAUGGCUCGGGCUCGGCCUCGGCAACAGAGGACAGACUCAACCUCGGCUUCGGAGGAGCCCCCACGUCACCCUGCCUAGGGCACAGACCCGCCACGUCAACAGGAAGCGCCAUCAUCAUCCUACCCCGAAUCGACUCGGGUCACGGAGAACAAAACCGGUGUCCCAUCCGGCCAGCUCCGCCGGAUGGGCAAUGAUGGCGCUCCACCAGCUCUGUGACGACGGCGGCCCCCAGCUCUCUUACGGAAGCAGGACGACGUCAGCAGGGACUCGACCGCUCCAACAGCUGUCCCUCCGCCAAGCUCCGUCGCACCUCCGACAGCCACGACAUCACGCCAGCAAGGUGCCAAGAUCUCUCCGGCUGCCACAUUGGCAUGUACCUAGGGCGCUAGCUCUCUCUCCGCUAGACACGUAGCACUCUGCUACACCCCCCAUUGUACACCUGGAUCCUCUCCUUACGACUAUAAAAGGGAGGACCAGGGCCUUCUUAGAGAAGGUUGGCCGCGCGGGACCGAGGACGGGACAGGCGCUCUCUUGGGGCCGCUCGCUUCCCUCACCCGCGUGGACGCUUGUAACCCCCCUACUGCAAGCGCACCUGACCUGGGCGCGGGACGAACACGAAGGCCGCGGGACUUCCACCUCCCUCACGCUCGACUCCGGCCACCUCGCCUCUCCCCCCUUCGCGCUCGCCCACGCGCUCGACCCAUCUGGGCUGGGGCACGCAGCACACUCACUCGUCGGCUUAGGGACCCCCCUGUCUCGAAACGCCGACAAUAGAAAAGAAAAAGGGUUUCUAAUAAUGAUCUAAUUCAAGGAUGCAUAUAAGAUUUUAGUUGAUCCUGGUUCAAAUAUACAUAUUUGUAAGGAUUACCUACAAAGUAUUUUUAUACAUUAGAAAUUAUCUUUAAAAAUAUCUAUCUUUGUGUGUAUGUAUCGCAUAUUUGAAACAAAUGCCUAAAUAAAUGACUAAAAAUUUAGAUUCUUCGAUCAUGCUGAAGGAUUUUUGUUGGUUAUUUAAACAUGUGUGAAGUUUGAACUCAUUCAAAAUUUGAAUCUUGGUUUGAAAAUAAAUAAAAGAAAUAGGAAAUAAAACAGGAAAAUAAAAGAAAAAAAGAACAAGACCCUGCGCCUAGGCUGAAACCGCCGCUCGACCCAACUUGAUUCCUCUCUCGCGCGACCCAUGGUACACUGCCACCCGCAUGUGUGGCUUACCUGUGGGGCCGCCCUGUCAUCACCCUCUCCUUGCUCCAUACUCAUCUCAACGGAGUCCGCUGUUCUCACGCGGCCGAUUAUGCUGGAUCAAGGUUUUAAAUAGCCGGCUAUAGCGGUCGAUAUAUCCCGAUAUAUCCUUUUUAGCAGCAAAAAGUUACGCCGUUUAGCCCGAUAUAUCCCGAUAUAUCCAGCUAUAUCGCGAUAUAUCCCGAUAUUUGCACUUUUUCAAAAUUUGGGGAUAAAUUCAUUUUCCCGCUAUUUAAAACACUACGCUGGAUCCGCAGCAACGAACUCCGCUUCUUGCUCCGUUCCGUGCGGACCGAUAGUGGGCAUGUGCGUACCGUGGUCAACACAGCCUCCAUCAAAGCAAACCACAGGCAUCGCAACAAUAUCGCGUUCGGAUUUUCUCCCACCAUAGGAACAUAAACACACACACCUCAGACCUCACCCGGGUUCUCGCCGAGCUCGCCCGCGCCUCGCCCAGCCCCCUGCUGGCGGCAGUGCAUUUCUAUCCACUGACUCCCUCCCGGCCUCCAUCACCUCCCUGACCGCCGCCUCAUCCGCUGGUGGUGAUUAGUGCCUGCGUCAACUGCCUUGUCCGCCCCCUCUAAUCCCUCCUCCGCAAGCCAGACUGUGGACGACAUUCACCCAAGCAUCCGAGGGACGGACAUGGAGUAGAGCCUCUAUGACGAGUGCGACCGAUGUGGACGUCGGUGGUGUCAUCGUGGCUCGUGCAGGAGCUCAGGCUGUAUGUCGCUAGCGCCGCGCUCAGCUGCCUCGUCCUCUUCGCAGGCCUCUGCCACCUCGACCCCACAAGAAAUGGCAAUGGGUACCCAUUACACGAAAUCCGGUGGGUUUUUUCUUUAUUAGGGUAUGGGUUUGGAUCAAUUUCUCUACCCAUGGGUUUGUUAAUGGGUUCAAAUGGAAACCCAACGGGUACGUGGGCAGGGUUUGUUCUUCCACUACCCAUACCCGCAAACCCAUGGGUUUUUAAAACCCGCCUUAAAAUCAACAUUCCUUAUAAAUAUGUCUCAUAAUAUUAUUAAUUGAAUAUGUUCUAAUUGAAAUAAACUUCAUGUAACAAAUUUUAGGCUAAAAUUAGUUAUGACUUGUUCCUUUUAUGCUAGCUUAUUAAUAUAUUGAUUGUCAUUUACAUGAUGAAUUAUUUUUUAUGUUGAUGUUAGUGGGUAUGGGAAACCUGUUGGUACCCAAAACCCGCAUGGGUAUGGGUUUGGGCAAAAUUUUAUACCCAUCAUGGGUAUGAGUUUUUUAGCGGGCAUAUUUUUUCUUCGCGGGUAUGGGUUUGGGCAAGUAAUACCCAGUGGGUUUUUACCCAUUGCCAUCUCUAGACCCCACCGCGCCGCUUCCUAGAGGGCGCAACAGCAGAAGAAGGAAACCGCCGCAGUUCCCAUGGCUGCCGUGUGACUACAUCUCUGCGCCGGCGCCGGGCCUAGAGGCCGCCUACACGCCGCCUUCUCUCGAUGCCACCACCGCGGCAGCCGAUGUUGCCACCGCGAAAUCCUCCUCCGACGCGGUCACUUGGGCUGGCGUCUGGGCGUUGCCCUCGCGACAGAGGGCCUGCAUAGCGGUCUGCAUCGCCACUUUCAUCGCCUGCACCACCUUCACGCUUACCAUGCCGCCGCCGUGCUCAAUCGGAUGGGGAAGGAAGAUGGAGUGUGUGCCAUCGAUUCUUAUGCGAACAACCCUGAUUUGAUGUGGUUACCCCUUCGGUUUAGGUGCGCUCGAACUGUUGCGAUCAAAUCUAAGGGCUCGGGCGUAAUCAGUGUGUGAGCGUAUUGCGAGCCGUGGAUCUCAGAUCGGUGGCCCAUGGUGAGUACCGGUUUGUUAAGUAAUUUGAUUUAAUUGUGACCGUCGAAUAGUGAUCCUGCGGCUCAGAUGGCCCCGUACCCCUUUGUUCGCUCAUUUUGCGAAUGAGACCCUAUUCUUUUACCAAAUAAACCUGUAGUCCGUCCUGAUGGUAACUUGUGUCUUAGUUAUUUUUGCGCCAGGGCCCCUGCACUUCUUGAGAAUUGACGCACAAUCCAGGAAAUAGAGAAAAUAGAGAAAUAGUUAUAGAAAUUGGUUUUUAAUACAAAAAUAAUUUUAGAAACUUGUACAAUUCAUAUUUAAUUCAUUUUAACUUCAAAUUGAUCCAUUCCAGUUGCAAUAAUUUUGUUUUAAUAUUGUUCAUCACCUAGUACCUUUGUUUAGCCAUGAAACUUGAAUUAAAACUAUUCAGUUGAAUUACUCUAUUCUUGGUACCAAAUAACUUCGGAAAAUCUUAAUUAAUUCAUUUUAAACCUGUUUCGAUUCGUUCAAGUUGCGUUAGCUUCGCAUAAAUAUUUACUAUGCAAUAGCAACAUUGAUUAUAUGAUAUCCCAUACUUUUAUAAUUAGGUAACUAAUUUGAUUAAUCUAUAUUUUCGGGAUUAGCUUUUUCUAAUAUUAAUAUAGUAUCAUGAUCUUAGGGUUAUCUUUGGCCUAAUAGAUGAUUUAUAAUCAAGUAAUGACUUAGAUUAAAGUUGAGUUAACUAAUUAUAAGAUAUUCUCUCAUAUGAUGUAUACUAAUUAAUUUAUAUUAUAGAUUAAUAUUUAAAUCACAUAGAUCUUCUAUAAAUCAUAAACAUAAUUGAGCAAAAAUUUGAUUAACACUUUUCAUCUUAAGGAUCAUACCUUAACCAUAUCAUGCACCACAAAGUGAGAAAAUGCCCAAGCCCUAGAAUAACCCUUCUUAAGCCAUUAAGUACAAAAGGGGAAUUGGUAAAAAGGCAAUGAAAAACAUGGAAUCAUGGCCAGGGCCAACUAUAAAACCUGAAAUACACUAAUGAAGCUACAAUAGUUAGUAAGGGAGUUCGGCCAAAAGAAUUUUUCAAAAUCCCCAAAAAGACCAAUCAAGUGGAGGCUUUCUAGAGAAAUCUGAAAUUCAAAUUUCUCUAUUUCAGCCUCUAACCCAAACUCGAGCGCGUUCACCUUAAUCCCUAACACAAAUCCCUAGGCUCCCAUUAGCAAACACUACUAAAAAAUCACCUUCUUGCAAUGGGCAAAAAUCGUUGCGAUAGGCUAUAAAUCGUUGCAAUAGGCACCAAUUGCGAUAGAACAACUGUCGUUGCCUGCUGUUGCAAAAAAUUGAGUGGCAAUAGGUUAUAGCAACAUUUUUACGUUCUGUUGCAAUUACUACAUCCUUUGCAACGUGUUCAAGUGUUGUAACUGUUUGUUGUUACAAUGGAUUAUUAUGUUGCAAAUAAGUUAUAUUGCAACAUUUAUAAUAGUUGCCAAAAACUAUAUUGCCACAACAUAUUUCAUGGUAAUAAGUGUUAAUGCCACAUUUGAAUCUGUUGCAAAUGGCUUUGUUACCACAAGAUGUUUCAUGGCAACAAAACACUAGUGCCACACAAGUGACUCGUGGCAACAAGAUGUAUUGCCAUGCAAAUAAUUUCGUUGCAUUUGAUCAUUUUGUAACAUAAUGUGUCUCAUGGUUAUAUGACCUUUUUACUAUAAAAAUUAAUCCAUGGUACAAGUCUUUAUGGCAACCAUGGUACAAGUCUUUAUGGCAACAAAAACAUCGUUGUAACUAAUGAUAUUGCAACAAGGAGAAAAUGUUGCGACAACUGAAGUCCCAACGAAGUAGAUCCAUUGUAAUUACAUCUUAUUGCAACAAAAAAAUCAUUGCAAUUGAUGAUGUCGCAACUAUAAAGAUAGUGCAACUGAACCAUACAACAACUAAUAAAACCGUUGCAUUUACACAUAUUCAAACCCACAAUUUAUACGACAAUGCAUUUUGCAUUUCUAUUGGGUAUAAAAUGUUAUGCAAAAGAAUUAUAUUUUACAUCAGUAACGUCAGAACCAAAAUUGGCAACCAUAAUAUUUGUCUCUUGUCUCAUAUAUUAACUAUAUCCAUACCAUAAGUUGUAACAAAUAGGUUGCACCAAAUAAAUAGUGGCCAAAUACAAAUUAAUUUGAUAACAUAGCUCACAAUCACAGCAUCCUCGUACUAGCUUGGAUUGUGAUAACAUAGAUAAUAAACUACUCAAGACUAGCAAAUUAUUGGAUGUUUUUUUGCCAUCGUGUACCCCUCCAUCCCCUCCAUUGAUGCAAGCGAUGGUUAGCUAGGCUGACGACGGUAUCACGACGACAAGGAACCUGUUGGAAGUGUUCAAAACAAUAAUUAGUAAAGCUACAAUAACUUGGUUAAUCAUUAGUGGAAGACUACAACUGUAGUGCCUACAACUACAGCUACAACUACAGCUACAACUACAGCACAACUCCUAGCAAGCAGCAUCAGCAGCAACCAUCAGCAAGCAGCAAGCAGCAACACGCAACAAGCAGCAAGCAGCAUGCAGCAAGCAGCAGCAACAACACGCAGCAGCACACAACUAGCAGCGGCAAGAAACAAACAGUAGCACGCAGCAACAGGAAGCACACAAUAGCAAGCGUUCUACUCUAUCUCUACCAGAGAAGGCAGCUGCAGCACCAGCCUAACAAGAGCGAAAACAAGCUACCAAAUAAGCAUGCUGCACAGAGCCACAAACAUGUGUACUGCUCCUAUGGUUAACUAAAAUCUGUUUAGGCUACUAAAAUCCAUUGCAUGCACAACUACAAAAGAAAUAAAAAUAGAUUGUUGACAUACCUUAAACACACUUUGAUAGAGCUUCUUAAGUUGAUCUACCUUGCUUCUCGCUUGCACUUGCGGAUUGUACCUAUUAUCAUAUUCAGGAUUACAAAAACAAAACUAUCAAAAAAAUGUUGUAAAACAGUUUAUAUGAUCAUAAUGCAAGAACAUUUGCAUUCCAUACACAUUCGCUUCUUUUGUUGCCCCUUGCCUGCACACGUCUUGUCACAGCAUUCCUUAGAGUGUAAGAGCUAAUAUAGUUUGUUGGCAUAUUGUCUUUCUUAUUGUUUGUGUCUGGUGUACGAACGUUGUUUGCACUACUUGGUGCAGGUGCAGGAGGAUCAGCUGGGAUGAGUUCAGGAGGUUUAGUAGGGACAACGGAAGAAGGAUCGAUUGGAGUGGUGCUUUCACGGUUGCUCUGCAUUAAACAAUUGAUCAAACAAUUUAUGUUGCAAAAGUUUCUAAUAGCAAUGAUGGUAAAAAUACAAAUAUCAAAUUUUAUACCUGUUGUGCUACAGCAGCAAGGGCAGCAACCAUUUCUUGCCUCAUUUCUUCUCUAAGCACUUGUCUUUUUCUUUCUUCUUCUUCUUGCAGUGCUUGCAUUUUUCCUGUAGUAUUCUUUCUCGUUCUGCAACCUCACACGCAAGUUUUUCAUUUAACAACUGGACCUGACUUUCGAGUUCAAUGUUCUUUUGGUUUGUUGCAACCGUGGCACGAGCUUGUUCGAGGAACUUUGAUUCCAUCACUUGACUUCUUGUUGGAUAUCUUGAUAGGUACCCAUGACCAUGAAGUCUGUUUGCCUUACAUCCUGUUGUUUCCUUGAAUGUUGUUUGGAAAAUAGCAUUUUCCUCUUCUCUUGUUAGCUUAAAUCUUUCUGUUUGAUAUAUUUUCUCAACAAUUUUCUGAGCUGCCUUCUCCUGAAAAGAACAAUAUAGUUCAAGUUAGCUCAACAUGCCCAGUAUUUUAAAGUAUGUUUUAGUAGUAAGCUUUGUGAUUUACUCACAUAAAUGCCACGUGAAGCCUCUUCCGACCAUUCAUCAUUUUUACAAUGAGUAAUCAUCCAAAGGGAUAGAUUGGUUGGUUCUAUACCAGUUUCUGGAUCUCUCUGUAAUGUGAAGAAUGUAUCAUACAAGUUUGUCAUUAAUCAUGGAAAAUAAAGUAGUGGUCAUAUCAUUACCUGUUGAAAGCUUAUUUGGGAAAAAGUUCUAGAACCCAUUAUAUGCUUCGUUCUUUGUUUCUGACGGUUUUCCGAGUUCCGGCUGCUUAUUUUCUAGAAAAUAAUAAUAGUUGGAAAUGAAUUAAUAAAUAAAUCGCUAGAAUCAUCCAUAUUAUGCAAGUGCCAAUCGUUAAAGUAAAGGAAAUGAAACAGCAAACCUGGAAUUUCUCAGAUCCAAAAUACAACAUCAUGUAAUGCCACUCGACGAUGUCUACAUCUUCAGGCUUGUUUUUCAUCCUUUCAGCAUAACUAUUGUAUGCCUUGUAUGUUGAGCUUAACGUUGAUCGCCAUCCUUUGUAUCUCUCCUUAGCAAUAGACCAGAUCUUUUCAUGCGCGUCCUCAUUGGUUAGAAACUCCCACCUUCGCUGUUUCAGUUUUGAUAUAAAGAGAAGGUUAAUUGUCUAGUAAUUUGGGAAUAGUAGACCACUAAUAGUUCUAGCUAACUGUUAGGGCUCAAGUAAAGAAAUUUCACAUACCAGUACGUCAGAGGCUAUAGAAGAUCUAACAUUGAGCUCUAUAUCUUUCCACUUUUUCACUCCAAUGAGUGGUGCCUUUUUCUUUGUAAACAAUACGAUUUCAUCCACAAAAGUGCGAGCGUUUGGUCCUACAGGACCUCCAAGCUUAGAUGAAAAUUCAAUCUUAAGUUUGUGAUCACCGUUCUUGAUUCGCUUGGUGGCUGCUGCUAUACCCUUAAGGGUACCACGCCCCUCCUUUUUAAAGACUCCAUCGUUAUCUACAUAUAUACCAAUAACAUCUGAAUGGGUAGAAAUAUUCAAAGUAGAAGAUUGCAACAUUUGAAUAAAAAACACUCUUAGUAAAAAAUACCAGGAUCUCUUUUCCUAUGACGUCUAGCAUGAGAUGGCCAAUUAGCAGUAGGUUUGCUGCUACCAUGAAUUUCUUCAUCUGAUAAUAUUAGGUCAUCAUUGCUUUGUCGUUCAUACAAUACUGCGGAUAACAUAGGCAUCAGUUACAUCUCUAACAAUUUGCGAAAAUAUACACUAUAUGUUAGUAGGAUGUAAAUAAAAGAAAUUACAAAUAUCUGGAAGAUCGCCUUGAUGCCUUAACCAUUCUUUAUAUGUUUUGAUCGUAUCCUCCCUGAAGUCAUCCAUUAAAUCUGCACUUAAACAAUAUGUAAGUUUAACUGUGGAAACUAUAACAUAUCAUGUAUUUAAUGUAAUGAGUUUGACAUCUUAACUUACCCAUUUCUGGAUUAUCAUGUUGUAGUAUUGCAAGCCACUCCUUAUAUGCAUCAAUCGACACUUCUAUAGUUUCUUCAUCAACAUUUGUUCGCUGCCUUGGACGCUUGAUGGGAGUUAUGCUUACCUCUAGAUCACUGGGUGGAUCUUUUGUGAGCACAAAACUUAUUUUUCUCUCAUCCAUGUUAUCAGACAGCAUGGCCUCUUCUUGGUGGAUGUAAUCAAGUGCCAAUAGCCUGGAUCGAUCAAUGCCACAUCGUUUCUUGUAAAACAAGAAGUCCCUCCCAGAAUAUCCAAGUUUCGAUUUUAUGUACACCACGUUGUAAAAGGCAACAUAAGCUUUAUCAAUAUUUACUGUGACAAUUUAUUUUCCAGGUUGUGCUCCAAUGCAAUGGAAUUUCAAGGUCCAUAUCUCACCAGUCAACCUGCCACACAAAUAUAUUCUAAGCAAACAAUGACUAAAAUAGUGUUGUAAAAAUAUUUCAUUCAACAAUUAAGAGGUAUGAAAACAAUAUACUAUAAUUAUGAUCUGCGCCAAGGCCAAAGCAGUAGAGAACAAUAUGGGUAGAUAGAUUUUUACUUGUCAGGAAGAUCAAAGAAGACGUUCUUCCCGGCCAUAAUCUCGUCCACAAUCCGUGUACCAAGUUGGCUACCAUUGUCGUUGGUGCACAUAUUAGCUUCAUUGCUUGUCGGCUGCAAACCUCCUUGAGUCGUCAUCAUAGGUCAGGAAAAUAGAUGCUGACAGGGCAGGGAACGAAAAAAUCAUGUAAGUAUAACAAUAGAUUGGUUUAUGGAAUUAUGUGCAGUAAUAGAUGCUGACGGUGCUUUGCCUUCUACUUUACUUUUCAUCUGUAGAUAAGAGAGACACCAAACAAGAAACACCAUAAGUUUAUUGAGUUCUAUGAUGUAAGAGCAGCAGAGGCUGCUCUUCGGUCACUGAAUAAAAGUGAGAUAGCUGGAAAACGAAUCAAGUUGGAACCAAGUCGUCCUGGUGGAACACGCAGAAAGUAUGACACUGAUUUAGUUUUCAAGGCUAUUUGCUUGUUACAGCUUCUCACCAAUAUUUUGAAUUAUAUAUAUAUAAUUAUAUAUAUAUAUAUAUAUAUAUUUGCUGGAGCUGUCAUUUUGCUGUGGUUCUGGGUGCCACAUUCUUAUGAUGAUACUCUAGAGACUUAUGAAGUUACUGCUUCUGAUAAGCUUGGAAGUUAGAUGUAUAGUGCAGUGACGGCUGACUUUAUUUUGAAUAAUUCACUUGCAAUUUAAAUUGUCCGUUUCUUUACUCCUUCCGGAGUCAUUUAAUGUGUGUGAAUCUACAUGUCUGAAAUUGAGUUUUUGGCACCAUGCUGUUUCACUUACUUUUCCUACAUGUGAAUUUUUCCCAUGUAGUUUACUGAUCAUUACUUAUCUGAUAUUUUUAAAUUUUUUCUAAUGUAGUUUACUGAUCUGAUAUUUUUUUGUUUUCUUAUGACUUAGCUUGAUGCAGCAGCUUGGUCACGAUUUGGACCAAGAAGAGCCAAGAACCUACAGACAUUCUCAUGUUGGUUCACCUAUUGCUAACUCUCCUCCAGGUACUUCUGUUGGAACUAGUUUUUGUAUAACGCUGCCCCCAUGUAUUUUGGAGUCAAUCCCCCUGUAUAUAAAAAUUAAUUAAGUUUUUUUCCCUAAUCCUUGUGGCAGGGGCAUGGGCUCAAUACAGUAGUCCAACAGAUAGCAAUAUGCUGCAAGCUUUCACCAGAUCUCCAACUGGAAAUGGAAUGAGUCCUAUCAGAAUUCCUUCCCUGAUUUCAAAUGCUCCAAAGAUUGCUCCUAUUGGCAAGGAUAGCAACCGGUCUAAGUAUGAUCAAGUGUUUUCAAAUGGUAACCAGUCCCUGGGAGCUGCAUUUCAGCACUCCCACUCAUACCAAGAUCACAACAGUGAACACAUGAGUUCUAGUCCUGGGACUUUAUCAGGGCCCCAGUUUCUCUAGGGCAGUCCAAAGCCAUAUUCAGAACAUUCAAAAUCCCCUAUUUGGCAUCCACCAGGAAUCGUGGGAGGUCUCCUGCUGGGCAUGGCUAAUCGUGCUUCUGUGAAUCCUGGUUCUUCUCUAAUUGGAAGUCUGACAGAUAACACACAACAGCAAGAUCCAAAACGCACAACAGCAAGAUCCAAAACGCACAAGCCAAAACAGUAACCAGACUUGGCACCGACGCGUGCAAGCUGCCGACAAUAGAGAAAAAAAAGAUACAGCCGAUGCUUCAGAGAUGAACGACGGACCAGGGAGAGUGUGUGCCGGUGCGUGCCUGCUCGGUCCCAGGUCGGCCUGGAGAGUGGAGCCGAACGACGGACGGUGAACAGAGAUUGGGGGACGGAGCUCGGAGAUUAGGAAUGGAGAUUGGGGGCGGCGCGUACCUCAACCUGAAACCCGGACGAGCGACGACUAAUGAAACCCUUGCAGUAGAGCAGAUUAGGAAGGAGGAACGAGGAAUGCCUGCCCUUGCGCCCUUCCCAUUUGGGAACGUUGCCUGGAUGAAGAAAGGUGUAAUUGUUGUGAAUAAUGCUCGAGGAGCAAUCAUGGAUGCUCAAGCAGUCGCAGAUGCAUGUUCUAGCGGUCACAUUGAUGGUACUUACUACGUUAAUAUGUUUUCUUUGUCUCUUUACACAACAGUAUUGCUACAUAAGUUAGUCUGAUUCUACUGAAGGGGUCCAUGAAUUAAUAUUAUUUUCCUUAAGCUUGGCAUGCUUUGUAUUCCGUGGCUUCAGUAUGAAAACUUCAAAUGAGCCGUUUUCCUUUUUGCUUUCCUGAAAAGACACCCUGCCUACAUUUUAUCUGAAGAAUAGGGAAAUAAUGCGACUAUAUUCCUACAUUGACCGGUACUUUUUGUAGUAACAUGGAGCAUCUCAUUCCCAUUUCUCAGGAUAUGGUGGUGAUGUGUGGUUCCCACAGCCAGCACCAAAGGAUCGGAUCACCCCUGGCGCUACAUGCCUAACAAUGCCAUGACCCCUCACAUCUCUGGGACUACAAUUGAUGUGCAGGUCAGGUUCUGAGUUUUGUUACCUGAGUUUGAAAAUCUAUCUAAUUCUAAUACCUCAUAGGACACUAGGUCUCUGCUUCAUGCAUUAGCAGAACUCAAUAGAAUGGCAAUCACCUUAAGGCUUUACUGGAUUAAAAUCGUACUGAGAACUGGAACAAUUAGCUAAUAGUGUGUCUGUGUACCUUGAGACCUUGACGACAUGUACACUGAUAGCGCAUUUUUCAUGAUGAGUAUUUGCUAUUCGUUCUCGUGCAUGCUACUGACUAUUGCGGGCAAACAAACAAUUCAUACAGCUGCGGUAUGCGGAUGGUGUGAGGGACAUGCUGGAUAGGUAUUUCAAGGGCGAGGACUUCCCGGUGCAGAACUACAUCGUCAAGGAAGGCCAGCUCGCCAGUCAGUACCAGUGACCGCGCGAGAUGUUGCUGUGCUGUGUAGGCUUUUCUGGUGAGAAGCUGCGAGGAAGAAACUCCUGUUGCGUACUUGCGUUACUGUAUGAGUAGCUCUGAGAAAUCUGUCAGCGGCCACCUGUAAUAAAAGAAUGCCUUGCUGGUAUCUCACAGUGGAGAUCAGUAAUAAGUCCCUUUUUUCCUUCUCUAUCACUGAACUGCAUGCACUGUCUUUUUUCGGCUGUGACAACGCAAAUGGUAACGAACUGCAUGCGCUAUGCCAUUUGUCACAUGUUUGGUUCAACACGCACAUGGUAAUGAAAUCAGGUUGCUCUGUAACCAGAGAUGGGAUCAGAGUGCCUCCGGCGGGGUAACCUGUUUUCAAAGAGAAAAAAAACUAAUGCGACACAGAAAUGGCCUAGCAAGGAUUCUAAUGCUUAGCUUCUAUUUCCAUAUCAAGUUUAUGUCAUAAUUACUUUUUUAAACUGUUGGAUUUAUUUUGGAAAUUAGGGUGUGUUCAUUUCUGUGUCGCAUUCAUGGUUCCAAAUUGAUUUGGGUUUGGUGUUCAUUUAUCUUUGCAUGUAUUGCAGUGAAGGAGGAAUGGGUGGAGGGACGAGCAAGAUGGCAACGUUCUAUUGAAACAAACUGCCUCGAUUAUUAGGCUAUCACUACUGAAACAAACUACCUCUAUCGUCAACCUACUAACUUCCAUAUUCUUCACAUUCAGUUUGCAAAAUUUACUUGACUGGAUUUUUUAGCUUAACAUAUAACUCAGGGAGACAUGCGAUUUUGGGACGAUCAAACUGUUGGUAAGUAAAUACUUGUUGGCCUGUUGCUCUUCUUUUAGCUAUAGCUGAC
RNAcentral lists this long non-coding RNA (91240 nucleotides) under Zea mays. RNAcentral's name for it is "long non-coding RNA (ZMAY_LNC004302)". Lineage: Eukaryota; Viridiplantae; Streptophyta; Magnoliopsida; Poales; Poaceae. The record is from RNAcentral.